GAAAAUCUGACUUGGGGUAUUUUAAAUUUUGACUUCUCCAAAAUUACGAUUGUGCCACUUCAUUUAUGUAGAUCACAAUUUCCCCGUCAAAACUCUGAUUUGAGCUCACUACGUGUCUACGGACUCAACUCAACACAAUCUAUGUCAUGGUUCCAUUCGUUUCUCCAAAAUCCUUCUGGAUUAAAAAGUGACCAAAAUGACCCUAUCUUCGAGAGCAAAAUUGAAAUUUCAGAAUUUAUUAAUUUAAUUUAAUUAACGAAUAAUUACAUUUUGGGUUGGGAUGUUACACAUGAGGACGUCAUACAUCAAGAAAUUUAUUUUUACUAUCGUGGUAUAUUGCAUUAAUACGACGUUGAUAAUUAAUCUUCCAACGUGGAUUCUAGUAAAAUUAUUUGACGCUAAUGAACAAGAGUUUAUCCUGUUUAACUAGCAAUUAACACUGCAACAGUUUUGGUAAAACGUUGUCUUUACUUUCUAUAUCGGUAGCUUCAACAGCCAACCAGCAGACGACCACCACCCAACCCCAAUGGCGGCAACCCCUAUCCUCCACAGCCCAACCUCAGCGGCGGUAACUCUAUUAAUUGUUAUUUAUAUUAAACAGUAUUAGAAAAUUAAAAUAUUAAAAUAAUUUUAUUCACAAGCCCCUUCGUCUUCUCCACCACCCACCUCGCAGUGCCAACAGAUAACGAUCCAUAUAUGCCUUCAAUUAUUGUCGUCCCUUUAUUUCAACAAGCACACCCUCCUUCUCUCUCUCUCUCUCUCUCUCUCUCUCUCUCUCUCUCUCUCUCUCCCUUCACAGUGCCGCACCAGAUCUGGAAUCUACAUGUCCUCUGCAUCAAAGAGGCCGUCAAGCUUCAUCGCGAGCUCGACACUCUUGCGCACCGCUUCAUCCCAACCUUGCCUUUUCCCAUGACUGCUUCCUCCAAGGAAGAACAAUCCAUAAGGUUGGUGGACGAUCUGAGUCAAAAAAAACGUAAAUAUGGUCUGUUAGGCUAGAAAUUUGAUGAGAAAGAGGAGGGAAAGGGACGCUUGGCUGGGUUGUUGAGGACAGAGGGUUGCCGCUGCUGGGGUUGGAUGGUAGUCGUGUGCUGGGAAUUUUUUUUUACUUCAAUUUCUUUUGUCAAACAUAUAUUUUAAUAUUUUUUAAUAUAUUUUUUUAAAUAAAGGGAUGAAGAGAGUUAACAAAGUAAAAUUAGUGUUAAGUUGUGUGCCACAUAUCACAAAAUUAAGGAGGAAACAUGGGGCCACAUGAGAUUUGGUAACAGAAAAAUUGGAUUUGAAAGAGAGAGGGAGAGGGUGGAGGAGUUGACAUAUUUAAUUAUUUUAUUUUUAUUAAGAGAAAAUAGAGUUAGAGUAGGAAUAACUCUAUUAAAGUAGCGUUAAAUGAGAUGUCAGGUAUCAAAAAAUUUAGGAAAGGAUGGGGAAUGAUAGACAAAAACAUGACAAGGAUUAAUUACCUUAUCCAAGUUGCUGACUUGGCACCAUCUGGUUGGGAAAUCUCACUAGGGUGGUGAUUUUAUGAUCAUUUUAGACUAUUAAAACUUAAAAAUAUCUGAACUUAAAAAUAUCUGAUUUUGUUGGAGGAUUCCACAUCAACCAGUCUUAACUACCUCAUCAACUAGUCUUAACUACCACCCAAGUCCAAUUUCAUCAAUAAUUACGAGAUCACUUUCUGUUUUGUUGAUUUCAUCAACUUACUUUCCUGUAAUGGUAUUAUAGAGACAUUCUCUAAUAAAUAUUUAAGUGAAUGAUUAGUUACAUCUAAUCUCGAUUGUUGGAUUGCAUCUAAUAAAUUGUCAACACAUUUAAUGAAUGUAAUCCAACGACUAAGCUUAGAAGUAUGUAACAAAUCCUUAAUAUAAAAUACUUAUUGAAAAAUCUCCGGGAUAUUAUAUAGGCUAGCUUAUUGUUUUUCCUUGAGCUGAAUUUAUCCUAACCCAUUCAUAGCAAUAAAGUAAUAUAUUUUAGUUUUAGGAUUCACAGCAACUAGCUCUUGGCUGUGAUUCUUUAUCUGUAUUAAAUUUAUUGUGACAAGCAUUUAAACUGAAGUAUAAAGUAACAUUUUUUAGUUUUUUUUUUUUUUGGUCGAAAACAUUUUUUAGUUAGUAUGGUGGUUUUUCUUAAAUUUAUCGUGACAAGCAUUUAAGGUAAUUUAAAAGCUAAUAGUAUCCAUUAAAUCUGGUUCCUCCUAAUAAUACAAAUCCAAAUGUUAGGUUGAAAUAAUUGAGUAUUUAAAGCUAAUAGUGGCCCCACUUGACAAUAUCAAAUCUCAGAUCUGUCAUCUAUUGUCUAUAUAACUUAUGAGGAAUGAGCUAUUGCUUUCAUCUUAUUUUGCAACCUUCAAACGCCCCUUAGCCUUUUUGUUUAUAGUUUUGAACCCAUCCAAUCCAACCAACCCUGUAUACGGCCAGCGAUGUCUGCGAGUAAGAUUGAAGCCAAGAGUCCGGCGGCAAUACUAGCCAUUGGUCCGACAAACCCAGCCAACUGUCAUUACCAACAAGAUUAUCCUGAUUUCCUAUUCCGAGUCACCAAUAACGACCACAUGACAGAAUUGAAAGACAAGUUCAAGCGCAUAUGUAAGUGGUACUCUUUGUACAACACGUAUAUGCAUGCAUAAAAUUAAUGUAUUAAUUCAUACUAAUUAAUAAAAUUAUAUAAUGCACUAAGUGAUUUAUGAUUUAUUAAUAUGCGGGGCAUUCAGAUUUGGGACCUCUUCCAAAUAUCAUGCAAUAAGUUAACCCAUCUGAAAAUGACAAAGUUGGGAGAUAUAUUUAGUUUUCCUAUACAAUCACAUGGUGCCGCUAAUCCAUGUGUUAUAAUAUGAGUUGAUAAGAAAGUUAAUAUUUCAUGAACACAUGAUACAUUAUUAUUAUGAGUUUUUCUAUUUAAACUCUACAUUUUUCUUUGUUUGCCCCAAUUCUUAAAUUAUUAAGCUCUUAAGUUUUAUUAUUAUAUAAAAAGACAAAAAAAGUCAUCCAACUUAAUAUUUAACCCUAGUAUAUCUAUACACACACACCACCACUCUUCAUAUUAAGUUUUAGAAUAACACAAACUCCUCUACACCCUAUUGCCAAAUUACUUUUCCCUUCCAAUCCAAGAAACCUACUACACUUUCAUCUUCUCUUCACAAACUGUAGAUACGGUAUGCAAAUAGUGGCUUAUGAGUCGUCAAUUGAGGUAUGUAAUGUGAGAUUAUUUCUUGGGUAGUCAAUUAAGCUCUUAAGUUUUAUUUCUGUUUGUUAUCAAUACAUCGUUUCUCUUCGAAAAAAAAAAAUUUGAAGAACAUAAUGCAUAUAACAUCAUUGAGUAAUAUUAUAUUGUUUGAUCAUAAUAUGUUUUUAUGAAGUCCAAAAAAAAUAUAUAUAUAUAUAUAGUCCCCUUUUAUUGAGGGACACCUUUUAGGGUCCCCUACGAAUUUUUUUCAACGAUCCAAACAAUCAAUUUUUUAAGUCUAUAUUUAUAGAUCAUCCUUGCAAAAAAUUAGAUAAAUCUGAAACCGUUUCGACAUCCAGUUGUGUCCUACAUUCAAUUGAAGCUCACUCUGUGUGUCUGUCUGUGUGUGUAUAUAUAUAUCUAUAUCUAUAUAUUGAAUAGUUGACAACAGUGUUUUUAUCUCUUUAAGUAGUGUGGAGUGUGGGGUUGAUGAGUUUUUAUUUUUAUUUUGUGUGCUGGAUGUGUAUUUAGGGCUAGUUUGGGAAAAUAGUGAGGUUUUCUUAGAAAUUAUGAAAAUUUGAAUUACAAGUUGGAGUGAACUUUUAAUAUAGUGAACAAAGAGAAAUACGGAAUUUAAAUAGAAAAACUUUAUUAUUAUUGAUAAAUAUAUUAGAUAUAUAUGUUAUAACAUGAGUGAAAUAACACCGUGAAAAGGCAAUAACAAAAUACCUCAAGUGGCAUUAGGGAACAGAUUUUUCUUCUUUCAUUUUUGAAAAAUGAAGGCCACUAGAGUAGGGUAAUAAAUUUGACGAAUGAAGCCAAGUUAGUAAAAUUAAGUGGGAGGAUAACUGUGGAUACUUUUAUGAAAUUUGGUAAUUAACAGGUGAAAAAUCAAACGUAAAGAAGCGUUAUCUACACAUCACGGAAGAGAUCCUAAAGGCAAACCCAAACAUAUGUCGCUACAAGGCACCCUCACUGGAUCCAUGUCAGGACAUGAUGAUUCCAGAGGUACCCAAGCUUGGCAAGGAAGCGGCAUUGAAGGCCAUCGAAGAGUGGGGCCAACCCAUUUCAAACAUCACACAUCUCAUCUUCUGCACGUCUUCCUGCGUCGACAUGCCUGGCGCCGACUUGCAACUCGUCAAGCUCCUCGGCCUUGACCCCUUUGUCAACAGAUUCAUGAUCUACCUACAAGGCUGCUUCGCUGGUGGGACUGCCCUAUUGAAAUAUAAGUGAUGAGCUGAUGUGAGUUUGAUUAAAGUCCCUAAGCUGAAAUGGUGUAUUCACUUAGUCUCUAAAAUAGGCAAGUGUGAGGCGUCGGUUAGUGUUAAGUGGCUAUAGCCACGUGUAAAGAUCUUAGAAGGCAGUUUUGGAUGUAAGGCUGUGAUUCUCAAGUGAUGUAAGAGAAUCCAGCUAUUUCUCUAACGGGCAUAUAGCACACACUGUGCUUGCCCGAAAGUUUCAGAAUAUACAAUACAAAAAAAUACAGAAGUCUGGUUUUUAGCUAAGCUCUCAGUUUUCUCUUACAUACUGUUUUCUCUUCUUCUCCAAAACCUAUACAAAACUCUAACAUGGCCUCAGAGCCAGGUUGGGUCUCUUAAUCUGGGCGUAAAACUGUGAAGGUCACUGAGCUAAAAUCGAAGCUCAACUGAGCAUCGGAGAAGAGAAGCAAGCUGCUGAGAUUCAGACCAAACGAUGGCUGGAUCUGGAAGUUCUGAGGUACGAACUCUGAUCUUUUCCGGUGAGAACUACGAGUUCUGGAGGAUCAAGAUGGUGACAAUCUUCAAAUCGCUUGGGCUGUGGAGUCUGGUAGAAAAGGGGAUUCCAGUCUCUGAUUCGAAGAUGAAGACCAAGAAAGUUGAAGAAUCAUCGGAGGAAGAAGCUGAAGCAGAGAUGUGUGCUGUGCUCAUGAAGGAUGCAAAGGCACUGGGCAUCAUACAAAACGCUGUCUCUGACCAGAUCUUCUCUCGGAUUGCAAAUGCCGAUUCAGCAAAAAUGGCUUGGACUCUGCUCUACAGUGAAUAUCAUGGAGGUGAUCAGGUUAGAUCUGUAAAGCUUCAGAAUCUUAGACGAGAAUUUGAGUAUAUGAGGAUGCGUGAAGGUGAACAACUUUCUGCAUAUCUUACUCGAUUAAAUGAAUUGAUAAAUCAAAUGAAAACAUUUGGAGAGGUGUUAUCAAACGAGAGGCUGGUUCAAAAGGUGUUAAUCAGUCUUAGUAGAGUUUAUGAUCCCAUCUGUUUGGUGAUUGAAAAUACAAAGAGUUUGGAGACCAUUGAAUUGCAGGAGGUUGUUGCAAUAUUGAAAAGUCAAGAGCAACGUUUUGACAUGCAUAAUGUGGACAUAGCUGAGAAAGCAUUUGGUUCUUUCUCAAUCGAUCAAAAGGGGCAGAACAAGAAUAAUGCUCAGUCUGGUACUGCCAAGUCUCAGAAGAGUUGGAAGUCUAACAACAAACCAUGGGAGUCUAGACAGAAGCCACAGCAAGCUGGCGCUGGACAGACUUCAGAUGGAGCACAUUCUGUGCAGCAAGAUGGGGUGAAGCCUCAAUGCAAGGUCUGCUCUAAAUUUCACUAUGGAGAAUGUAGAUAUAAGGGUCAAUCUAAGUGCUAUAAGUGUGAUAGAUUUGGACAUUGGGCCAGAGACUGCACUGCAAACAAAGGAGGACAGAAAGCAAAUAAUGCAAGCCAAGUAGAAGUAAGAGGGAAUCUGUUUUUUGCAAACUGUGCAAUUUCAGACAAGGGUGAAAAUGGAGAAUGGUAUGUAGACAGUGGCUGCAGUAACCACAUGACUGGGAAGAAGGAGCUGUUAAUUGACAUAAACUCAAAAGUCACAGGCAAGGUGCAAAUGCCAACAGGGGAGCUUGUAAGUAUAGCCGGCAUGGGCACUGUGGUGCUUGACACAAACUCUGGUGCAAAGUAUAUCAGAGAGGUCAUGUAUCUGCAUGGUUUGAGAGAAAAUCUCUUGAGUGUGGGCCAAAUGGAUGAACAUGGUUAUCAUUUGGUAUUUGGGAGCAGCAUGUGCAGCAUCUAUGAUAGUUCUUCUCUUGAGAACCUUGUUAUGAAGGUGGAAAUGAGAAAGAAUAGAUGUUAUCCACUAUCAUUACCCUCAAAUGAUUUUGUUGCACUAAGAGCUGGUGUAGUCAACUCUACUUGGGUUUGGCAUAAAAGAAUGGGGCAUUUACACUUGAAAGGCCUAAACCAACUCAAGGAAAAGGAGAUGGUACAUGGGCUGCCACAUUUGGAAACUGUAAAUGAAGUGUGUGAAGGCUGCCAAUUAGGAAAACAACACAGAGAGUGGUUUCCUAAAGAUCAAGCAUGGAGAGCUAGUACACCUCUUGAACUUAUUCACAUGGACUUGUGUGGACCAAUGCAAAAUGAAUCUCUAGGAGGUAACAAAUAUUUCUUGUUACUCAUAGAUGAUUUUACAAGGAUGAUUUAGGUCUACUUCUUGAGAUACAAGUCGGAUGCACUAAAUUGUUUUCGAAAAUUCAAGUCUAUGGUGGAGUUGCAAAGUGGUUACAAAGUGAAAUGUGUUCGAAGUGAUAGAGGUGGUGAGUUCACUUCUAGUGAAUUCAAUAAACUAUGUGAAGAUGCAGGGAUUCAAAGACAAUUCUCCAUGGCUUACACACCCCAGCAAAAUGGAGUGGUAGAGAGGAAAAAUAGGACUGUGGUAGAGAUGGCUAAGGCUAUGUUGCAUGAGAAGGAGCUGCCCUAUUAUCUAUGGGCAGAAGCUGUCCACACAGCAGUGUACAUCUUGAAUAGAUGUCCUACCAAGGCUCUUAGGGACAAGACUCCUUUUGAGGCCUAUAGCACCAGAAAACCAGGUGUUGCUCAUUUAAAAGUGUUUGGCAGUGUGUGUUUUGUGCAUAAACCAGAGGAGAAUAGACAGAAAUUGGAUGCCAAAAGCACAAGGGGAGUUUUUGUUGGAUAUGCAACAUGUGAGAAGGGCUAUAGAGUGUUUGAUCCUAUCACUAGAAAACUACUCUUAUCAAGGGAUGUUGUAUUUGAUGAAGAAACAAGCUGGAAUUGGAAGGAAGUGUCUGACAAUUCUGUGGUUAUGAUGAACUUUGAGGAGCAGCCUAGAAAUUCUCAAGUGGAUUCGUUUGAGACACCUAUAGGGCCUCAAAAUUCUGGUUUCACUGCUGGAAACUCAGCAGCUUCCUAUGGAGAAUCAAGCAAGGAAAGCAGUAGGUUGGAUGAUACUCAGACCUUCGAUCAUACACCAUUGAAAUGGAGGAAGUUGGAUGACAUUUUGGCACAAUGCAACCUGUGCACAAUGAAGCCUGAGAAGUUUGAAGAAGCUGUGAAGGAGGAAUCAUGGCUGAAGGCAAUGAAAGAAGAGUUGAACAUGAUAGAAAAAAACAAGACAUGGGAACUUGUUGACAGACCUAUGGAAAAACCGAUUAUUGGAGUUAAAUGGGUGUUUAAAACUAAGCUGAAUUUGGAUGGCUCAGUGCAGAAGAAUAAAGCAAGACUGGUGGCCAAGGGAUACUCACAAAAACCAGGGGUGGACUACAAUGAAACGUUUGCACCAGUGGCUAGAUUAGACACUAUUCGAACCUUGAUUGCCCUUGCAGCUGAGAAGGGUUGGCAGCUGUACCAAUUGGAUGUCAAGUCAGCUUUUCUAAAUGGUAUUUUAGAGGAAGAAGUGUAUGUAGACCAGCCGGAAGGAUUUGUGGUAAAAGGAAGUGAAAGCAAGGUUUACAAACUACACAAAGCUCUAUAUGGCUUGAAACAGGCGCCAAGAGCUUGGUAUAGUGAAAUUGAUGGUUAUUUUGCUGAGUGUGGAUUUACAAAGAGUCAAAGUGAAGCUACACUUUAUGUCAAAGCAAGAGGUGCAGAAAAAAUCUUGAUAGUUUCCAUUUAUGUAGAUGAUAUAGUCUACACUGGAAAUGAUCAUGAAAUGCUAGAAGAUUUCAAGAAGGACAUGAAAGAGAAGUAUGAAAUGACUGAUCUGGGACUCUUGCAUCACUUCUUGGGAAUGGGAGUGAUUCAAACACCAACAAGCAUAUUCAUUCAUCAGAAGAAGUAUGCAACAACUCUGUUGAGCAGAUUUGGCUUGAAUGAGUGUAAGCCGGUUUCUAUUCCACUAGUCACCUCAGAGAAGCUAAGUAAAGAUGAUGGGAGUGGCUUGGCAAGUGAAGAACACUACAGAAGGAUUGUUGGAAGUCUGCUGUACCUCACAGCUACCAGACCCGACAUUAUGUUUGCAGCUAGUUUGCUAGCAAGGUUCAUGCAUUGUCCCACUAGCAAACAUUUUGGAACAGCAAAACGUGUUCUUAGAUAUGUGAAAGGGACUCUAGAUUAUGGUCUGGAGUAUGUGAAAGGAAAAGGGGCGGUUCUAAUUGGCUAUUGUGACAGUGAUUGGAGUGGUUCAGUGGAUGAUAGCAAGAGCACUUCUGGAUAUGCUUUCUCUUUUGGUAGUGGAGUGUUUGCUUGGGCCUCUGUCAAGCAAAAUUGUGUUGCACUCUCCACUGCAGAAGCGGAGUACAUCAGUGCAUCUGAAGCAACAACACAAGCUAUUUGGUUGAGGUUUGUCCUAGAAGAUUUUGGAGAGCUUCAAGCAGAAGCAACCCCUCUACACUGUGACAACAUUUCAGCCAUUGCCAUUACAAGGAAUCCUGUGUUUCACCAGAAAACAAAACAUAUCGAUCGGAGGUAUCAUUUUAUUAAAGAUGCUUUGCAAGAAGGAACUGUGGAUCUGAUUUAUUGUCCCACAAAUGAGCAACUAGCAGACAUUUUUACUAAGGCAUUGGCUAAGGAUCGUUUCUGCUAUCUCAGAGAGAAACUUGGUGUGAAAUCAGCUCACAACUUAAAGGGGAGUGUUGAAAUAUAAGUGAUGAGCUGAUGUGAGUUUGAUUAAAGUCCCUAAGCUGAAAUGGUGUAUUCACUUAGUCUCUAAAAUAGGCAAGUGUGAGGCGUCGGUUAGUGUUAAGUGGCUAUAGCCACGUGUAAAGAUCUUAGAAGGCAGUUUUGGAUGUAAGGCUGUGAUUCUCAAGUGAUGUAAGAGAAUCCAGCUAUUUCUCUAACGGGCAUAUAGCACACACUGUGCUUGCCCGAAAGUUUCAGAAUAUACAAUACAAAAAAAUAGAGAAGUCUGGUUUUUAGCUAAGCUCUCAGUUUUCUCUUACAUACUGUUUUCUCUUCUUCUCCAAAACCUAUACAAAACUCUAACAUGCCCUACGUCUUGCGAAGGACGUCGCAGAAAACAACCCUGGUGCACGCGUUCUGGUGGUGUGCUGUGAGAUCACAGCUAUGUAUUUUCAAGCACCCACUGAGAGCCAUGUGGAUGCUUUGGUAGGACAGGCUUUGUUUGCAGAUGGUGCGUCAGCUUUAAUUGUUGGUGAUAAUCCUGACCCCAAAAUUAACGAACGCCAGGUGUAUGAGAUUAUGUCAACGAGAGAGACUAUUGUCCUAUACUCGGAGCAUGGCGUGGUGGUACACUUCCGUGAAAUGUGUUGCGAGUAUUAUCUUUCACCAGAUGUGCCAAAGUUGGUUGGUGCAAACAUUGAGGAGAUUUUGGUAAAAGGGUUUAGAGAAAUUGAUGGGAUAAAUAAUGAUUGGAACUCGUUGUUCUAUAGCAUCCACCCUGGUGGACCGGCCAUUUUAGACAAGGUUGAAGAAAAACUGGGUCUGAAUGAGGGGAAGCUGAGAGCAACCAGGCAUGUAUUCACUGGCGGACCUAGAAAUUUUUUAGCGAAGAUGCAAAAUUGACUCUAAGUAUGAAAAAUGAUUUUUCAGAAUAAUCAUUUUCUCAAUUUAAUUUUUGACAGCUUUUAUUCCUUACAUAUCAAAUAAGAAAACUUGAUUUUAUGGGAUUUAGUAUGAAGUAUAUAUUGACUUAAUGAGCCAUCAUUUUUAGCCUAAAUCGUAUUUUGCACUAAAAUCGAUUUUUCAUAUUUUGAUUUGGUGGGAAUUUGAUUUUCUAGUAUUUUUAUUUGAAUUCAAAUGGGAGGUAUACUUUCAUAUUUAUAUUGCAAACUUAAGUAAAUGGAGUAAUAUAAAAAUAAGAUAAUUUGUAUACUAGUUGAGCAAAGGGGCAAUUUGAAGCACCUACAAUGUUUUUCCGGUGACAGAAGGUGCAGCACCUCCUUGCUCCUAAAUGGGUCCGCCUCUGCAUGUAUUGAGGGAGUAUGGGAACAUGGGAGCUCCAUCUAUUUUGUUUAUUCUCGAUGAGAUGAGGAAGAAGUCGUUGGAGGAAGGAAAAGCCACGACUAGUGAAGGGCUGGAAUGGGGUGUUUUGAUUGGGAUCGGGCCAGGGCUAAUCGUGAAGACUGUUGUACUACAUAGUGUCCGCAUUGCUGCCUGCUAAUUAAGUCCUUAAUUACUGAUCAUUGAUUAAGGGCAAGUUUGGUAUUACAAUCAUGUUAAAAUAAUCUCUCUCAGAUUUGCUGUGAGAGAGAGCAGUUUGGUGCUUGGUAAACUUUUUGUUAUAAGUGUUGUUUGUAUAAUAAUCAGUUUCUGAGUGUUUGGUAAAUAUUUGUGUGAAAGUGUUGUGAGCUGUGUAUAAUGACUAAAAAGGGCAUUAUGUUGAAAUGACUUUUCUGUUCAAGUGUUUGGUAAAAGAAAAAACACUUUCACUUUAUAUAUAUAUUGUAUUAAAUAUGUUUCCAUCACACCCUAAAAAUUAUUUUAAUUAUAAAAUAAAUAAAGUAUUCCAUUAAAAAUAAAUAUAUUGUCUAUAAUAUGGUCAUAACAAAAAUUAAGCUAGUCAUAAACAAGCAAUCAUAUGUUUAGUCUUCUGCAGUUUCAGCAUACUCUCCCGAUGACAAAGUCGAGAGUUAAAUGACCGGGCUGGACAAAAUGGAUGAAUUAUUGUUAUGUUUGUUGUAUCAUAUGGUUUUGUACAAGGAGUUUGUUGCAUACAAGAAUUGUAUACUACAUGAAGGUGAGAGUUAAGUUAAAUGUUUACAAAACUGUAUUGAAAUGCAGGUGUUCGUUUAUUUUCUUUCUAACUUCUAAUUAAUUUUACUUUUAUUAUUCAUAAUAAGCAAUUACACAUUAACUGAGUGAGAGCAUUGGUUGCUGUAGGGAUUUGGGUCCUCCUCAUCUGUAACUCCUUGUUAGUUGGGUUCCAAGUUGUAUAUUUGUUUUCUAACUAUCUUGUAAUGCUUAAUUGGUGAUGUUGUUACCAUCCUUGUAUUGCAAGAACCUCCUUUUGGGGCUGUGUUCUUACUGUUGUAUUUUGAUUUUGUGCCAUGUACUUCAAUUAAAUCUCUACUGUUUCGCAAAUUAAAUAUUAAAAAAAGGGGGGGAGGGGGAGGGGGGGUUCUGGCGUGUUUUAAUAUUCCACCACCAUUAAUUCAUGAAUCGAUUAUUGACACCAUGUUGAUGUAAUUUGUAGUAUUUAUUUUCCAACGAAUCGAUAAGAUGUUUAACCUAUAAAUAACAUGAUCAAUAAAGCAGUGAUGAAAUGAUGGAAAUAUAAGUUGGCCCUGGCUGGUAUUUUGGGAAUUAAAAAAAUGAAUGAUGGUAUUUUGGGAAUUAAAAAAAUUCAUUAAAAGUUCAUCUCUGCUUCUUUUGAAAGCUGCUUUGAAAAGAAACUCAGAGUCUGCUUUUAAAAGCUGCUGUCAAAAGGCCAUUACUUUUAAAAUAAUUAGGAUAUUUUAUUUUUACCAAACACCUUAAACUGCUUAACUUUAAAGUGAAGCAGAUUUUUGGCAAAAAAAAGCGAUCCCAAACGGGGCCUUAAGCUAGUCAUAAACAAGCAAUCAUAUCUUGUUGAGUCUCCUGCAGUUUCAGCCAGUUCUCUCGAUGACAAAGCCGGGAGUUAAAUGAUCGGGCUGGACAAAAUGGAUGAAUUAUUGUUAUGUUUGUUGUAUCAUAUGGUUUUGUACAAGCAAUCUGUUGCAUACAAGAAUUGUGUACUACAUAGCCUGUUGUAAAGUCAUGCUUACGGUUUAAGUUAAAUGUUUACAAAACUGUAUUGAAAUGCAGGUAUUCAUUGUUGGAAGUUUGAAAGCAAAUGUCCCACAUUGGAGAAAACAAAAAGUUCCAUAUGCUUUAUAAGCAUGAAACCUUAACAUCAAUUAAAUAAGGAUUGGUGGGCUGAUGGGCUUGGUAGUGAAGAUUAUCAUGGUUGGCUUGCUUGAUUAAUAUUAAUAUUUAAAUAAUCAAGACUUGGCCUUGGGCCUGGGGUCUCUGGAAAAUAAAAGAAAUAUACCUAGCCCGAAAAUAAAAUAAUUAUUUUUUAUUUUUCGGAUUUCUUUGGCAGAAGUUAAAUUCAAACCAGAAAGACUUAUCUUUUUGUUUGAAUUUGAACAAGUAUAACGGAUACUAACUGCUAUUUUGAAGGGGUGUAAUUCUAUUAUAAAACCACAAGUCCUAGGCCAUAAGACGGAUCUCUUUUUCUUAAAAAAAAAAUAUCUCAUAUUAUUUUAAAGUUAUCAACUGUAUUGGAGAGAAGCACACCAACGUUCGCCAGAAUUCAAGGAUCCGGUGCUGGACCCUUGAAUUAUAGAUAGUUGAAUCCUGGGAGAUAGACGCCUGUUGAACUUCAAGCAUUGAGAAGAGGCGAAAUUCUGUCUUUAGGACAUUGCAAAUACGCAAGCCUCUAUCUUCAAUAAAAGUCAGUAUUCUGUACUUAAUUUAUAUAUUUGCACAUUUAUACAGAUUUCAUAAUUUUGCUACUGUUUAUAUUUUAAGAAUUGUGCAAUAAUAUAGUGAUCCUAUAGCAUACAACAUUUACUGAUUAUUUUUCUAACAAUCAUUUAUUUUCUUUCUAACUUCUAAUUAAUUUUACUUUUAUUAUUAAUAAUAGAGCAAUUACACAUUAACUGAGUAAGAGCACUGGUUGCUGCAAGGAUUUGGGUCCUCCUCAUUUGUAACUCCUUGUUAGUUGGGUUCCAAGUUGUAUAUUUGUUUUCUAACUAUCUUGUAAUACUUGUGCUUAGUUGGUGAUGUUGUUAUCGUCUCUGAAUAGUAAGAACCUCUUUUUGGGGCUGUGUUCUUACUGUUGUAUUUUGGGUUUGUGCCAUGUACUUCAAUUGAAUCUCUACUGUUUCUCAAAUUAAAAACAAAAAACAAAAAAAUGGGGUUCUGGCGUGCUUUAAUAUUCCACCACCAUUAAUUCAUGAAUCGAUUAUUAAUACCAUGUUGAUGUAAUUUGUAGUAUUAUUUUUUCAACGAAGACAUAAGAUGUUAAACCUAUAAAUAACAUGAUCAAUAAAAGCAGUGAUGAAAUGAUGGAAAUAUAAGUUGGCUCUGGCUGGCAUGCUGCUUGGGCUUCAUAUAGAAGAAGUAUACGUACUGCAUGCGCAUGAGAAUAGUAAGCAAUGAUGAAAUAAAUUUCUUUGCAAAACACACGUGCAAUUAGAAGGGUGUUGAGGGCGCAACUCUGUAGAAUGUGUCAUGGUACAAAAGGGAAAGUUUCAUAUUUGGAUGAAUAGUCAAACACGGAAUAGUGUGAGUAGCUGCAAAUUCUGAUCGCAUGUCCUGACCAAAUGGGUCAAAUUUUGAAAACAAUAUAAGUUUGUAGAUUGUUAACAUUUUUGUGCAUAAUAUAUGUGAUUUCUUUUUUCUUUUUUUAAAAAUACUCUUUCGACGUUUUCAGGAGAUAAUAGAUGUACAUUCUUUUUUCUUUUCAAAAAUACUAUACGGUCGAGAAGAAUUUGGUUUCGCUGGCUCCAUUAAAGAUUUUAUGUUAAGUUGGUUAAGGACUUCCACUUGUAGCCAUUAGAUUGCAUGAACGGUAUAUUUUAAAAAGUUAUUUUCCAAUAAAAAAAUAAAAAUUAUUAAAAAAUGUGAUAGAGAUCUCCUCCAUUAUAUUUCUAGUUUAAUAACUUAAGCACAUAACUCAUUAGGCUCAUGGGUUGGUUUAGGGUUUCAGUUAUGUUGGGUAUGUUAUUUGAGCUUAUGGUUAAUUGUGACGUGACCUAGUUGUUUUAGUGUGGCUUUUGUCCGUUUUAGUUUUGUUUUUAACAUGUUAGUUUGUCGCCCUCUAGGGAUUGGAACUUUCGAUGUCGUUGAUUGUACUGCUGAAGUUUAUCUUUGAUCCCAAAAAAAAAAAGCACAAAACUUAUUAAAUGACGUGAGAAAAAAAUCGUGGAAAUUGGGGAUCGAGAUUUUCGAGUUUAAUUUCCGUCAAUAGAGGAGUCAUUUCACAAUUGAUAUUGAGAAUGAAUUUGUUCUUUCCAGUAAUUUUUGUCAUUUAGCAAAUUCGAAGUACAUAAAUCCAAAUGCUAAAAUUAUUAAUUGCCAGAUUUAAAGUAUGGAGAUUUAAAUUCCGUCAUUUUAGAAUUCUAUGAUAUUUUCAAUUCUUUCAUCCAAACGGAAUUGAUUUUAUACUUAUUACCAACUUGGAUUGGAUUAUAUCAGAAUAAACUUGAAUCGGAGCAUACUGAGCAUGAGUCAAUCUGAACAUUCCAUAAUUGAAGUGUAAUUAUUAAUACUAUGAAAUCAAAAAUGAAAAUGGAGCAAAUUAAACGGCUUCAAGGAAAGCUUAUUAUUGUGGGAAGAAACAUAGCUGUUAAAUAAAACAUUCAGAAAGGAAGGCAUAUUUUUUAAUUUAAUUUAUUUUAUUCAGUGGUAUUUUGUGGUACGUACUGAGUAAUGACUUGGCUAUGAAUAUAAAGUAUUAUUUCUUCAAACGUAGUGAUAUUUUGAUGAGAAAAUAAGAACGUGAGGAAUUAAUGAUGAUUUUCAGAUGCAUGCUAGUGAUUGAACAAGUAUAUGGCUAGCGUAUGGGUACACCAAUUAUUUAAACUAGCCUCUCUGCACGCGCUUCCGCGCAUGCGAGAGAUUUUUUUUAUAAAAAAUUUAAAUUUAUUUUAGAAUUAAAAAAGAUAAUGGAUAUUUGUGUUCCAUAAAAAUAGGACCCAUUAUCUGAAUUUUCUUUUAAUUUUAAUUUUUUUAAUACGAAAAAUUGUGAAUUUACCAUAUUAUCUUCAUUUAAUUAAUAAUUUCAAUUCUUAAUGUUUGCAUUAACCAAGGACAUUUUCUGGUAUUUUGAAUGUUUCACCGUUCUCUAUCUUUUGCUUUAUAUAUAUAGAUAAAUGCUAAUUUUGCUAUAUAUAAAAAAUAAAAUAAAAACCGGCUUAAUAAGUUUCAACAAUCCAGCCAUGAUGUGUAAUUUGGAAUUACUAAAUCGAUGCACUGUAAUUUAUGUCUGGUAGGUAUUUUGGGUGCUUAGGGUUGAUUCAUAAAUUCAUAAAUUCAUUAAUUUAUUGACAAGAAAGGCGCAACUGGCCACUGUCAGGAAGAAGAAAGGCGCGCUUUUUCGAAACAGGCUCGACGUGACACUUGGGCUAAGGGGAACUACAGCCUACCCAUUUUUACCGUGAGCUUGCUUUUUCUCUUUAGCCGUUCAGAUAAUUUGGAUGGAUGGAUUUGGUUCUCAUAUAACGUUCGCACAUAAGCGUUCUCACUAAAUAACCGCCCAACUAUUAUUUACUUUACCUAGAUUUCGAUAAUACCACUAUGCCUACAACCAAAAAAAAAAAAAAAACAUUGAGGAGAUUUUGGUUAAAGGGUUUAGAGGAAUUGAUGGGAUAAAUAAUGAUUGGAACUCGUUGUUCUAUAGCAUCCACCCUGGUGGACCGGCCAUUUUAGACAAGGUUGAAGAAAAACUGGGUCUGAAUGAGGGGAAGCUGAGAGCAACCAGGCAUGUAUUCACUGGCGGCCCAGAAAUUUUUUAGCGGAGGUGCAAAAUUGACUAAGUAUGAAAAAUGAUUUUUCAGAAUAAUCAUUUUCUCAAUAUAAUUUUUGGCGGCUUUUAUUCCUUACAUAUCAAAUAAGAAAACUUGAUUUUAUGGGAUUUUAGUAUGAAGUAUAUAUUGACUUAAUGAGCCAUUAUUAUGCAAUUUCAUUUUUAUAGCCUUCACCUCACCAAGACCUAGGUACAAGUACACUUAAUAAAUCUUGACACUAGUACCUAAAGUAAGCGUCUAGCAUGAAUAAAUCUUUUCCCCAUUCUACAUGAAAGAGUAGGACUAAAAAUGCAGUUUUCUUGAUAUUAAUUAUGCUUUCUUUUAUAGGUGCACAUAUCCUUUAAAAUUUCAGCACAAACAUGAACUUAUUUAAUUGCAUCCAUAGUCUAAAAUAUCGAUAAUAUCGACGAAAUAUCAAGGAUAUUAUCGUUUUUUCGAAUCACGGAUAUUUCGAAACUUAUCCAUGCACAUAUCGUAUAAAUAUCGAUAAUAUCGGAAAAUAUCAACGUCGAUAAUUUUGCUCACACUUUAGCAAUAUUUUGUUACAAUAUUGCUAUAAUAUCGCUAAAAUAUCGAAAAUAUCGAAAAUAUCGAUGUGAUGAAAAAAAAAAGGGAAAAAAACACAAAGGGGAUUCAAGGUGUUUCUCUUGUAAAAUUAGUCAUCCUUGGUUUGCUUUGUAUUGUGGCGUCCAAGUGGUAAGUUCUUUUUUCUUCUAAAUAUUGAGACAUGGACAGAGAAGGAAUGAUGGACCUUACAUUUCUUACGUUGACAAAGUUCAGAAGAUGAGGACCAUGAGAGUAGGCGGGAAGGACCAGGAAUUGGUGCCAUAGGGAAGGACUAUACUUGUAGAGAAAGAGGCAAGGCGAUUUUGUCAAGUCAAGAAGAUGAUUCGUUAUCUAUAACUUCGGACUCUGUUGGAAUGGGAAGUAGUAAUUAUGGUUAUACUCAUAACCAACCAUUUCUCUACCCUUCAUAUCCCAUUCCUUUUGGGAAGGAAUCGAGCAGCUCAUGGAAAGAAUCCGAGACUCAAUCUUCAAAUGAUUUUGCUCAUGGACAACGUCAAGCAAUCUCGGAUCUAUAUGGGUGGCAUGUUAACAAUUACACACAAAACUAUUUUGGGGAUUUAUCAUUUGAUGACUACUCUUCACAAUACACUUAUUCUAGAUGAUGAAGAUAGUGAAAAAUUUGAACCUCAUAGGAACUCUAUGUGGUACUAUGUCACUUAUGUAUCUUACCAUGCAAUGUAUAAAAUGUAAAAUAAUGUAGUAAAUCAUUAUAUAUAAAUGAUUGUGGUGUGUUUAAUCUUCUUUCAUUAAUUACUACAUAUUUUCUAUACUCACAGUGUUUGUCAGCUCGCUAUAUAAUCAACUUAAAUUAGUUAAAUCCAUUAUGCAAUGCAUUUCAUUCCAAUUUUUUGUGAUAAAUUAAUAGAUAAUUGACUAAAUAAGCAUCCUCCAAAGUUUCAAUAAAAAUUUUCAAGUUUUUCUUACAAUUUCUGUGGUUUUUAUUCAAUUUUUAUCAAUAUCGAUAAUAUCCCGAUAUUUCCAUCGAAAUUUCUGUGUUUUUGGACUACCGAUAUUUCCGAUAUUUUAAACCUUGAUUGCAUCUAACAAUAGAAUAUUAAUUUUUACAUGUUUAAAAAGAUCCAAAAUUCUGGAGUUUUGACCAAUUUCUUUUGAGGAAGCAAAUAGUGUUGGGGAAAAGUAUUUUCGACUCUUAAUUUCUUUUGUAUAUUUAAUAGCCAAAAUGUUAGUUAACUUAGAAAUUUGACUCUUAAUUAGAAAUUUGACUCUCUUAAUUUCUUUAUUUUCUUCAAAGAAUUGACUAAACAAAGAAUCAUACAUUUGAGUUUGCUUUUGGGGCUUCUGCAUUAAAAGCUUAAAGAGUACGAUCCUACUAAUGGUUUAGAAUUAAACGAAUUAGCUUACAUAAGUCGACUCCCAAAUACUUGUCAAAUCACACCCCAACCUUGAGUUUUGUGAACCAAAAAAUAAAAUUUUAGUUGGAAUUUGUAAAAUAAAUAUAAAAAAAUCAAGUUUGAAAUAAAAAAAAGCCGAAAACUGCACCUGAAUUAGUGUAAACUGAACCAGCCAGUUUCAUAAUUUUUUUCACCAAAACUAGACCAAAUCACACCGAUUAAAUAGUACCAAUUUCAAUUCCAAUGUAAGAUGGAAACUGAAUUGGACAGGACCGCACCACCCCUACUGAAAAGAACUGGCAGGGCCACAGCUGCGAGAUGGAGUUUCUAGCUCCAACAAAUAUCCAGUUUGCAUACAUUUUAGUAGUAUAAAUAUUUUUGUUUUUGGGACAUGUGCUACUCUUUCUAAUUGGCUGGGCCUUUACUCGACUGCCCCCAUGCCCUUCAAUCUGACCCAGCCCUCCAAUAUCGACUUCUCUCACUCUAAUUUAAUUUAUUUAGUUAUUUUUAUUUUGUCAAUUUUAUUUAGUUAAUUUAUUAGUUAAUGUUUUGUUUAUUUAGUUUAGUUUGUUUAUUUAACAUAAAAUGAUUAUAAAAAAAGUACUUCACACAAGACAAAAUGUUAAAAUAGUCCAGUCCUUAAAAAAUUAGACAAACAUGUCCAGUCAUUGUCCGACAGUGAUAUGAAAUAACUCUUAUGUUAUUGUCGGAUAGUGACACGAGAGUUGUUCAAUGUCACUCUCAAUGAGUGAUAUAAAAGUUAUUUCAUGUCAAUGUCGGAUAGUGACUGGACUGGGUUGUCUAAUUUUUUAGGGGUUGGACAAUUUUGUCUUAAUGCCCUCCUAUUUAUCCUUAUAUGGUAAAGCCCCUUUAUUUAAUUCGUUUAGUUAGUGUUUUAGUUUCACUAAGUAGUUUUAAUUCUUCCGAAAAUAGCUACUUUUUAAAUGAUUAACUUCAUUAAUUCAUAAUAGUUGAUGACUAGCGUUUAUUAGGAAUUCCUCGUUGAAGACCAACAAUUGUAAUGAUCUAUAUCAAUCACGAUGAAAUUUCAAAGAUUAUCCGGGCCUGUCAGCCAAGGUUAUAGACUCGUUGAAUACAUCAAUGUAAUGCAUAUGCGUCCUAGAACAUCUAAGGGAAACUAACUCCACCAUUAAAUGCACAUUUUCAUGACCAUUUUGUCCAAAUUAACAAUUUGGAACUACAAUAUAUAGUAGCAGAGGCGGCCUUAGGCCAGGACUACAGCUCGGGGCCCACAGCUAGGGGGGCCCAAAUAUUUUUUUUAAACCUAUGUAUAUAUGUGUAUAAAAAAUAAAUAAAUAUUAAAACAAAAGAAGUUGCCGCCUGUACCUGUCAAUGAAAAGGGAAGCCAAUCAGUCCAAUCAGUCUUUAUAUACUCAAUAUCAAGAAGAACGUAUUGAGUAAGGAAGUCCCUUAUUAAUUAUAUAAUAUAAUAUAAAACAAAUCAACAAAUAUGGAGAAUCAAAACAGAUUCUUAGCCACAAAAAGAAGGAAAAACCCUUCAACCUUCUCAGUUCAUGACGCAAAGCAAGCAAAUUUUUUUUUUUUUUUUUUUGGUGGUGAUUCUCCUCUUCUCCAACAGAGUUGGAAAAUAAAUCAUCCACAAGCUAGACCAAUGCCUUUCUUUGAAGGUAAUUUUUUUUUCUUCAGAUACAUAUAGAAUCUAGAUGUAUAAAUUUUGUAAAUUGUAAUACAUAUCUUUGUUAACUUUUUCUUAUUUAUUAUUUGAUUCAACAGAAAACUUGGCUGGGAUUCGUGUUCUUUAUAAUUUGAAGUUUCAAGUGGAAGAAAAUAUGCUCAAAUCCAGGUUUUAUUGUUCUUUGUUAAUUAUUUUUAUUAUUUUUUAUUGUGUUGUGUUUAUUAUAAAAAUUAACAAAAUAUUUCCUAAGAAACAACUUUCCGGAAAUCUCAAGAGACAAAUAAAGAAAAAAGAAGAAGAAAUUGUUCAAAGUUUAAGAGGAUCUUUGAAUAAAUAUUUUGUUAAAUAAACCAAUGCUUCACUUGAAAAUUUAGAUGAAGAUUUACCAAAUGAAUAUGAACAACCAAUUCAAUUGGAAGAAUUAGUAGAAAAUGAGAAUAUGUAGUUUUCAUUUUUUAAUGCAAUGUUUACAAUCUGGGGUACUCUUUUUCCUUCGUUUGGGGUUUUGUCCCAUUGGGUUUUCCCUAAACAAGGUUUUAAUGAGGCCCCAAAUUGUUCUUCCUUAUCUUUUGUAAAUUCUUAUAAUUUUAAUAAAAUUAAUUAGUUGAUAAUUUAUUUAUUUUUGUUUAAUUUGUAUAAAGGGGCACACUUGAGAAAAUUUGCCCUGGGCCUUAGAAAACCCAGGACCGGCUUUGUAUAGUAGUAAAUGCAUCCUUUUUUAAUUUAAUUUGAUUCAUAUUUCUAACAUGGGUAUAAUUAAACAAAGUUUAUUUUGCUUUCUUACACAAACCAACACAUGAAAAAUGAAUCUUGAACCUUCCACUUCCAACAAAUCCUUUCCGCGAACUAAAAAGGGCCUCACUUUAGACAAAGAAAGAUGUUCUAAUGUGCUUUUAUUAGUAUAAGUAUUUUUCUUUUUUUGUUGAAUAUUAUUCAACAACAUUUCAUCUUCUAUUUAGGAAAAUAAGUAGACACUCGUCACUGGAAUAGUCGAUAAAAAAUACUAUCUCCAAAACCCACAUACAAAUUUACACUGCAAUGACCAAUGUAUUGAUCUAAAAAAUCUUCAAAUAAAGAAAUUUGAAAGAUAGAAUUGAGAGGAAAGAUUGAAAAAGCAUGGUAAAUGUUAUCUUACAUGGCAUUGAAUAUUGUAAUUUAGUGUAUAAUACAAAAAUAAAAAUUAUCUUAAAUAUGAGUUAAAGAAUGAUUGGGUUUAUGUUAAAAUAUAAUAAUUACAUGGACAUUUCUAUUAGCAACUCCUAUAACUUUUUCUGUGUUGGAGUGAUAGUACAUGGUAUCUAUUUUAGGCACUUCAACAGUGAAGAAGACAAAAAAUAGCAGAGAAGUGAAAGCAGUCAGAGAAAGCUGGCAAGCACUCGCAUCUCUCGAGCAACACAGACCACUAACCAGUCCAUUGAAAAUUGAACCAUCUUUGCAGAGAUUCGCGUGACUCAAUAUAAUGACCUUGAAGAAAUCAAAGGCCACAACCCCUUCACAAACAGCACAAUAACUUUGUUUGUUCACCACACCCAUCUGCUUAAAAACUUGAAGAAUUCCAAAAGAUAUUGUUGGGAAAUUAUCUUCGUCUCAUACACCAAGUUGGGAAACUCCAACCAGAAAAGAAAUUCAGGUAGUUUUAUGUUGCAAUACAUGAAUUCUUUUUCUUUAGUUUUUAACGCUUUCAUGCUAGAAGGAAGUGAAAAAUAUUGAUGUCGUGUUUCUUGCAGUUGAAGUGCACGGUAUCAGUUUCAGUGGGUUAGCAGAAAUUUAAGGGAAGGGUCAGAUUUUGAUUGAUGAUGUUAACCAUUUGUAAGGGCUUUGCUCUUAUAUAUGCAACCAACAACCUCCAACUUCCAUUUCAAAAAGAUAUGUUGUUAUUUAUGGCAUCAGGAGAGCGUUUUGGAAUGGGCGGUUUCGGAAAACAAGAGGUAUUAUAAGUUUCAACCUUAUGAUUCUUUUUGUUUUGGUAUUCAAAUAAUAAAUAAUUGUUAUAUGAAUUUUUUAGUGAAUAUUGUUAUCUAUUUGCUAAGUAUGAAUUUAUUAUAGAAAAUGGAAUUUUGUUCCAUUUUGUUUUAUCUGUGCUUUCAGUUUUUUAUUUUUUAUUUUUUAUCUGUUGAAAAUUUGCACUUUCAAAUUUUGGUUUCAUGCAUUCUGGAAUCUGGAUGACAAUGAAUAUUGAGUUUGAUUUAAAAAAUAUACAUAUAUAUAUUUAAAUGACCAGUUUUUGUUUUGGGAAAUAAGCUGAUAUAAUCACUUUUCACAAGUGGUAUUCUGAAAUAAUCAGGUUACAAAUUGUGUUCUGAUAUAAUCACUUGUGAACGUGAAAUGACCAAACUGCCCUCCAUAUAAAAGCACAUGUAUCAACCCGUUAUUGGCCUUUGAUUGGCGACCUAACGCAUCUGGCUUCUCUCCCUUUCUCAGCGCUCAGUCACGGUUCUCUUCCUCUCUCGGCGGUUUCUGUGUCCAUCGACCACCACCACUCUAUUUCUCCCUCUGUCACGAAAACCUAAGUAACACUCUGUCGUUCUCUCUCUGCAGUGAAUGUUAGGGUUUGCUGAGGGGGCUCUUGACGGUGAAAGAGAGGGUUUAAUCGUGAAAUGCUCUCUCCCUUAAACGAUGUCUCAGUUCCCUCUAAGUUCGAGUCUUGAAUCGACGUCGUUCUCUUCUUCUCUGCUCCUUCAGGGCCUAAAAAAACCCUAAAUUUUGGUUUCGGUUAGGAAUUUGUUCACAAACGUCCUCCUCCUUCUCAAUCCUGUGAGACUCGGUUAGGACAAAAGUCGCGAUUUGCUGUAGGUGUUGCUGGGAAUUCGAAUUCUGUUCUGUGCAGAGAAGGAGUGAUUCUAAGGUGGGUUUUGUAUUUGUUAUUGACUAGUUUGUGUUUUUGUAUGGUUAUCAUUUGAGAAGGAUAAUUUCACUAACCUGUGACUGAAUUUGUGAAGUUUAGUAAUUAGAGAUAUUGCAAUAAUAAUGUAAUUUAACUGUGAAGUAGAUCAUGCUGGGAUGAAACUUGUAUUGGUGUAUUGAUUUUGCUCUAUGGAUGAUGCAGUGCCUCAAAUUGCUAUUUGUCAUAUAGGAUUGGUUCUAUGGCAAUGCUUGUUUUCACUUCCAUUUUAUGAGUCAUAUUUAGUGUGGGAAAUUAUUCUGGUGCCAAGGGCUAUUCCAUUAUAACACACCAUUACCUCAGUAGGCCCUGAAUUAGGUGUUGAGUAAUAAUGCACAAGUAAAUUUGUUGGUAUCAUUGGUGUUUCAGCACGUAGUAGCAUAUUUUGCACCCUUCCAGUGUUAAUGGUUAAUUAUGUGAUUUUGAAAUACUAAAGUUAGUUGCCGUGGAAAUUUUCUGUUCCCUGUGGUAUAAAACGUGCUAAAUUGUGUUGUUAUUCCUUGCUUGCAGCUUGUGAUAUAUGUCUGAAAAUGGUAUUUUAUGGGGCUUUAGUAUCUGUUUAGAAAUUGCAUGUUCAUCCAUCUAGGUUUAGCAGUUGCAGUUGCAGUAACAUUUUGACGUGUCUAGUUUGCACACAGAGUCCAUAACUGUGAAUACUGAUGUUCCAUGUGUGGUACUGUAUUGCAUAUGAGCAUAUUGUAGUAGGCAUUGAUGCAUUUGGAGUAAUUUGUGUAGCCAUUUCAGCCAAACCCUGUAUGAAGUGGAUCCGUGGUUGAUGAAAUUGUUUUCAGACUUGGGUGGUAUUUGGUUUUUUGAUGGAAUGGGAUGUACAUUUGGCAGAAGGGAAUGUAGAUAAGAGGAGAGUGUGGAGAGAGUUGGAGAGUAGAAAAGAGGCUUAAAAACAUUUAUGGUUUUAUCAAAUGUAUAUACAUAUAUCAAAAUGGGUUGAAAGUAUUAGUUUGAGUAAUGUACGUAUGAAAUAUGGGUAACCAAUGAUCCAUAUGUAUGAUGUUGUUGUGCAGGGAACUUGAGAAUGGCUUGUAAAGCAAAGCUUAUGAUUCCUGAGGAUGAGAAGUACGAAGGAAAGCCAUAUGCCCUUUCACACACAAGGACUGCCAUUACAACAAUAAAGGCGAAGUUGAAUACGCAGCAGUUACAGAGGUUCGAGGGAAGUUGUUUUGGUCAUCUAUUACUGAUAGAGGACCUGAAGUGGAAUUCACAAAUUGUCCACGGCCUGUUGAUGAGGAAGGCUGAUCCUAAGACAGUUACACAGGUGAACGGAAUAAAAUUCAUUGUGGGUAACAAGUUGAUACAAUUCACAGCCCAACAAUUUUGCCUCAUCACGGGGCUAAGGUUCGGAAAGCUCCCUUUCAUUUUGAAGGCGACAAAUGAAAAUUGCUCGUUGAAGCGAAAAUACUUCAGCAGCAAUAAACCUGCCACCCUUUCGGACCUACACACCGCCUUCAUCGAGUGCACAGAUGAUGAGGAUGCGUUAAAGCUUGGAAUGGUCUAUUUUGCCAAUUUUGUUCUAUUGGGUACUGAAAAGCAUGUGCUUAUUGACAUGCGCUAUUUGAAGUUGGCUGAAGACCUAGAGGAGUUUGACAAGUAUCCAUGGGGCGCAGUGUCAUAUGCAAUGACAAAUGCUUCACUGUUGAGGGCAGUUUCUGCUGAAUACCAACGAGUCAAAGUGCCUCAAAAAAGAAAAAUGCCCAAACAACGUGGAAAGAGAGCGCAGACAAGAAUGCGAAGUGGUAGACCAAGAGAGUACAUCAUAAGGGGGUUUGGCUUCGCUCUUCAGGUGAACACAUAUCCAGCAAUUAACUAUUUGAUGUAAAUACAUUUACAGAUAUUGAUGUUUCAUUGUUGUGAACAGAUUUGGGCUUUUGAAGUGUUCCCAGCAUUGGAAGCAUUGCAUUUCACGGUCCAUGAAGACAAUAGGCACAUCCCUCGAAUAUUACAUUGGAGGAGCAACACGGUGGCCCGUUUUCGGGAGGUUAUGAGUCAGGUUUUUGAAAACUUUGAGGUUAGAUCUGUUUGUAUCAGUGAUGUUAUGAUUAGGAAAAAGUACAAAGUUAACUGAUUUUUUUUAUGUGUUUCAAUUGGAGGUUGAUGUGCAACUUCUCCGGCCAACAGAUAUUGAGAAGCAACAACCUUACUGGAGUUGGGGUGAUGAUGACAACGAAGAAGCAAUGGUUGAAUUAUUUGGGGAUGAGGCCGAAGAAAAAACCGGCACUUCUAGUGAAGAAAAAGACGCGGAUGUUGAGGAAACAGGCACCCUUCCCUCCUCUUCUAAGGUGAGCAUGACCUUUUUCCAAUGUUGUGAAAAUAUAGCGAAUACGAUAGGAAUGAAGUGGAAAUAGUUUCCUAGUUUUUUGUAAGCUUUCUAAAUGUUGCAUUAUAACUGUAUGCAGGCCAAAGGGUCUGUUAAUGACGUUCGCAGUUUGAAGCAUCAAUUACGCAGCACUAAGGAUCAGUUGGCUAAGCUACGUAGUUCAAAUCGGGGGCUUAGGAACAGAGUUCGUGACUUGGAAGCUAUUGUACAGAAGAACUGUUUGAAGCAUGAGAACGAGUGUGACAGAAAUAACAAGGCUAUUCGGGAUUUGACCCUAAAAAUUGCUGAAGUCGAACAUUAUUUGAAGUUGGAGAUGGAGGAGUUAAAAAAAAAUUAUGGUGGAGAAGGCCAUGAGGAAGUCUGUACUGCUCAGAUGAAUGAAGGAGGGCAGAAUGAUUUGUCACCCGUAAAUGAACCUACUAGUCCGACUACAGCAGCACCUAAAAUGGACACUCAAGUUCCAGCUGAUGGAGUAGAACCCUUCCCAGGCAUGCAUACAGAACGGGGUGAAAUGGAAGCAGCAGUCUGUGGUGAUGGAGUGGAACGCUUUCCAGCCUCAGAUCAAGAAGGGGCUGCAAGGGAAGCAGAAGUCCCUGCUGAUGGAGUGGAACCCUUCCCAGUCAUGGAAGUCAUAGACACUGAAAUUGAAACUUCAGUUCGUGAGAGGCAAGUGGACCAACAACCUCACAAGGUUCCUACCUCUGAAGAUGUGAAGCUUCCUAGUGUUGAAGAUGCCCUCCUUCCUACUCCGGAAGAUGGGAAUGGGUAUAGAGUUAUUUGUAAAACAAUGUUACAUUUGUUACAGGAUUGGAAGAAGACAGAAAGUGAGGGGGUGGGAUGCAAGGUCAGGCCUCCCAUGAAAUGUAACAUAACUCUGGUUGGUGAUGAAGGGGACAACGAGGCUACUGGCACGGUUCGGAAACCAGAUGGUGAAGGCAAAGGGUGCAGACUUAAGCGGGCUGCGACACCAUUGUUGAGUCCAUUCACCGAUCCCUCCAGGAAAAAGAGGAAGGUUACUGAUUUGCAUGCAGAGACACCUCAGCCCCGUUUUGAUCCAACAAAACCCGUGGCCAUGGACGAUGUUAAGGCUAUCAUACAACUUUGCAGGGCUUGGAAAACUGACAUCAGGUUAGGAUUUGUAUCUUGGCAAAACCAAUAUACUUGUUUUUUGAUGUAUGCAAACAAUUUAUACACAGCUAUACUAUACAUGUGUGUGUCAUUGUCAUAUUAUACAAGGUGUUCCACUUGUCUAUUAUAUUUGAAUUUACCUUUGUAAGUGUUGUUUUUGUAGUGCGGAGCUGGAGCUCGAACCAUUUGAAGUUGGGGCAGAUUUUUUGUACAAACUGUUAGAUGAAACUGCAUGGAUGAGCUCGAGGGUAACAAUUUGAACCCGGCUUUAUUUCGAUCAAUCUCUUAUUUGAUGACAUUGACUAUGUGUCAUUUGUUGUGAUCUUGACGCGGUUGUUGUGUUCUGAAAUAGCAGCACCUUGACAUGGCCAUGUUUCUAAUACGCAAAAGACAACUCUCUCAUCCGCAACUAUUUGGAAGGGAGUGGACAACCGCCGAGUUUUGUCUGCAGGUAAUUUUGUAUCCAUAUUAUGUGUCACUGCAGUUCUUGCAUUGGUAGGAGUCAUGUAGGUCUCUCCUUUUGGUGCUUUGGUUUGGGUUUAUGUAACGUGUCUUUCACACUUGGUUGCAGCAAUUUUUACAGCCGUUUGCAAUGCCAAGUGGGAAACGAGUCACGAGGAAACAAUCUGCUGCAACGACCGUUGACCCUCCCCCUAACUACCUAAAAAAUGUACACCACUUUGUCAAUGGGUCAUGGCAACAUGGGUAUGCGCAAGCAUGGACGAAAGUGCGCAAGGUCUAUCUCCCGUAUAAUGUUCGACAGUCCCAUUGGGUGGCAGUAGAAGUCGACUUUGUGCGACAUACUGUCACUGUCUAUGACUCGUAUUCUGAUUUUACCUCCCAUAGUAUGCUUGUCCGAUUCAUGGAGCCUAUUACCCAUACGCUUGCAAAGGUGCUGCAUGAAAUGAGGUUUUAUGAGAAAUCGGAGGUUGAAGCGGUGAAGAGAAAGGGGACUGACAUGUCAAACUUUAACCCAUUCACAAUUUGCAGAAUUUCCGAUGUUCCUCAACAAACUGAUGGGUAAGUUGUGUUCUUUUAAAUCACUAUACUCGGAUGUUAUGAAUAGGUGCACUUCUAACUUGUGUACUGCUCGGGUGGACAGUACUUCAUGUGGCAUUAUGACAGUCAAAUAUAUUGAGUACCUUAGUGCCGGCAUUCCUUUACAUACCAUUGACCCAUCCAAGUUUGGCUACUACCGAUUUAAGCUUGCAAUCGAGGCUUUCAGGGGGGAGGCCUAUGUAUGAGGUAAAAGUCCUAAUCUGACCUCAUUGCUGCUUUAUUGUUAAUUACUGCCUUUGGAAUUGCGUUGUUAUUUACUUCAUUCUAGUUACGUCGUAUGUACUCACCUGUGAUGUCAGUGUUCAUUUAAGAGAACUUACAUUAUGUUGGGAACUUGUCCAACUGUGAUCACUAAAAAUGGCUACUUUUGUUCUUCAAAGUGUAGGGUACUGGGGAUUUGAACACUAUAGAUGGUAAUGUCAAUGUUUCGCAACUGGCAUCUGAUUUACGUAUGUCAUAUGUUCUAAACUCCGACUGUGUGUAAUCCAAAACUUGUUUCAUGUUCUUUAAGAAAGGUUCAAACAAUUACUUCUUCAAAUUGAACAUGUCUUACGACAUCUCAUUUUCCCUUUAUAUGAAUGCUGAAGUGGCACAUAUGUCCUCCUUCUGCAGGUGGUCCUUCCAGCUUCAUACCCAUAUUGACAUCUCAGAUUCUGUACAUGUAUGUGAAAGAAGUUGCAGGAUGUUUUGUCGUAUUGUGAAUAUUGAAACUGCCUAAGCAGUUUUUGCGUAACAUGGCACAAUUUUUGACAUUUUGCUCACCACGCGAUAAAGUGGGGUGAUUUUGUAGUAGGUUGCAGGGUGUUAUUUAUGUAACGGAAUUCAACUGUACUUGUCUUUCAUGGUAGAAGGGCUGUAUUCACUUUCCUUUGUUAGAACUAAUUGUUGACAUUCUGUGCUUAAGAAAUUCCUGUAAAUCCAUAAUUUGGCACAAGUUGCAGCGAAAUGCAAUUUUUUGGGGCCACCCACAUUGUAGCUUUUCCCAUUAUUUUAUUGCCACUAUAGCGAAAUAUUCGACUCUCAUUUGGCAAUAUAUUAGGGUGUUCAUUUUCGUGACAGUUGAACGUAUAUAUUCGGUGGCUAUGUCAUUUUGAACUUGUAAACUCCCAACCAUAUCAUACUUUUUGUUUGAGAAUAAUGCUUGUUAAUUCGACAUAUUUUUGUAUAACUUUGUUUACUAAGUUUAGGGCUUGCAUAUUGGAUAUGGAUGAGUUUUGUUUAGAACCAUAUGUGCUGUAAUAUGAGUUGUUUAAAAGUUUGCUGUUUUGUGCUUCAUCAUUGUGUGCUUAAAAGAAAGCGGGAAAUGAGUGAAGAUGGGAACCUACCACCAGCAGCUGUGGUUUAGAGAAAUGGGGACAUUGAUUUUGCUAUAAGCUAACUGUUUAAGCUUUUGCUUUUGUUGUUUGUGUAUGGAUACUUAGAGAACUCUGUUUCUGAGGAGAACUUAUAAUUUUGUAAUUGUACAUGUCUUACAAACAUUUUAUACCGUUUUGAUGGUUUAUUUAUGAAUUUAUCUUUGAUUUUUUGUUAAGAAACAACUGAAGGGAUGGUGCCAAUUUCUUUCAUUUUCUUACAUUUGAAAGGAGGGCCAUAGUAGCGUCAGUACUGUCGUUGCCACUAAUUCAUAGGAUGUUCCAUUACAGUAACUGCCGAGUCGUUUUUCAUUUCAUGUAUUUGUCCGUGGUAUUUUGUUCCCCAAUAUUCUGAUUAUGGUCAAUAUGUAAACAUUACUGUGGAGCUUAUUGUAUGUUUUCUUUAUUUUGUGGCCAUGACUUAUUUUGUGGCCACCAUACCAAAUUGACUGCCCCUUGAAUUGCACUUGACGCUACCACAAUUGUAGGGGUGGACCUUGGCCAGGGUCUGCGGGAAUGGAUAUUCAAAAGUACAUAAAGGUUGAGAAGGUUCCUGGUGGCCAGUUGGAAGAUUCAGUGGUUUGCAAAGGAGUAAUGAUUAACAAAGAUGUUAUUGCACCUGGAAAAAUGAGAAGAAAGAUUUUCAACCAACGCAUCAUUCUUCUUGAUUGGCCUCUCGAAUAUAAGAAAGGCGAGAACCAAACAAAUGCUGAGUUGCUUAAAGAAGAAGAUUGGGGAGUCCUGCUACAAUUGGAAGAAGAAUACAUCGAGAGUCUAUGUGUGCAAAUAUUGAAGUUUAAACCAGAUGUGGUUAUGACAGAAAAGGGGCUUAGUGACUUGGCAUGCCAUUAUUUUAGCAAGGCCGGCGUCAGUGGAAUGAGGAGGUUGCGGAAAACAGAUAAUAACAGAAUUGCCAAGGCUUGUGGGGCUGUAAUUGUUAACAGACCAGAUCAAUUGCAACAGUCUGAUGUUGGUACAGGCGCUGGGAUAUUUGAGGUUAAGAAAAUUGGUGAUGAGUUUUUUGCAUUCAUUGUUGAUUGCAAAGAGCCUAAAGCAUGUACUGUACUCUUGAGAGGUCCUAGUAAGGAUCAGUUAAAUGAAGUGGAAAGGAAUUUGCAGGUAUAAUGGUUUUACUUCUUUGUCCCCAUUACGUAGAAUAAAUAUAUUAUGCUGAAAUGUCUUAUUUACUCCCUUAUAUCUGGUCAUAGGAUGCCAUGUCUGUAGCAAGAAACAUCCUCAAGAAUCCGAAACUUGGUCCUGGUGGUGGUGCUACACAGUUAACUGUAUCUGCUACAUUGAAGCAAAAGAGUUCAUCUGUGGAAGGUAUAGAAAAGGUAAAAGCUCCUUUCCUCAGCCAAAAGUUUGGUAUUUCUUGUGUAAAACUCGUCCAAGAAUAACUCCUUGUGGAAGUAGAAAUCUAAAUUCUGUGAAUAAACUGGCUGUCACUUCAAUUCACAUGCUCCUUGACAUACUUUAGAUUAAGAAUUAGUUGUGGUUUCACUUUACAUGCAUUUUAUUGGAGUUUUAUGGCUACACCUGUUUUUAUGGUAAAACAGUGGCCGUAUGAAGCUGCUACUAUAGCUUUUGAGGCUAUACCACGUACUUUCGCUCAGAAUUGCGGGGUGAAUGUGAUUAGAACAAUGACGGCGCUGCAGGGAAAGGUUUGAAUCUGUUUUGUAUGGCUUUGUUCAGUUUUGUUAUGAUUUGUCAUUUCUAUUUACGUUCUGCUGCAUCAUUAUUAUUUUGGUCAGAAUAUGAUGCAUCAUUUAGAUCCUAACCACAAUUUUUUUUCCAUAGCAUGCAAAUGGUGAAAAAUCAUGGAUUGGCAUUGAUGGUAACACUGGUGUGAUAACUGAUGUGAAAGAGAAAAAGAUAGGUGGAUAUCUUUUUGGCUUACUAUUGUUGCUCUCUUUUAUUUCCUUCGCUAUCUCAAUAUUCAAAUUUGUUGGGUGAUUUAUAUUUGCUGAAAGCUCUGAAAUAGGACUUUUAAUGUAGUAUUGUUCUCAAAUGUAUCCAUUAUAUGUCCCUUUAUUUAUAUGGCAUAAGUGUCAAUCUUCUGGUUUAUAUUGUCGAUUUGCUUCAGUAGUAGUUCUAGUUUAGAGCUUCUCCCAAUAUAUUUCGACAGCACUCAUGUGAGGGGAAGUGCUGUUGUCGUGGUUAUUACUAAAUUUCCCAAUAAAUUUAUUUUGUUGGUAAGGCUGUUCAUUUUUAGGAAUUAUGAUGUCAGAUCUGGGAUGCCUACAAUGUGAAGGCCCAGAGUUUUAAAACGGCCAUAGAAGCUGCUUGCCUACUUCUCAGAAUCGAUGACAUUGUGAGUGGGAUGAAGAAGAAGCAGCCUCCUGGUGCCAAAGCUCCUUCCAAGCCUCAAGUUGAGACAGAAGGCGAUGCAGAUAAUGAGCAUAUAAUUCCGGAGUGCUUAUCGAGACCACGUGGUUAUCUCAGUUUGAAUGAAGUUUUGCUUUAAAGAAGAAAAUAAGGAGCAUUAUAAGUUUGAUGAGGAUAUUUUUUAGGUUUGUAAUGUCACCUUAACUUGGUAGUGUGUGUUUUGUCCCUCUUCUUUCUUUCUCAAUCGACAAGGGGUUGGAAAGAAGAGAAGUCUUCUUAUUGGAGAAUGCUAAUGUUAGUUUCACAUGUCAUCUGUGUAUCGAACACAAUUUCUUUGUUCAACUUCGUGGAUUGGCACAGUGGAGCUUAUUUCUACCAUUCUUCUGAAUGAUUGUUAACAGUCCAAACUUAGUUAUUGACACAAAUAUGUACUUUUCUAAAAGUAAGAAAACAAAAAGUUUUUCAUGGCCAAGCAUCAAUUUUAAUAAGCCAGUGUGGCACCUAAAACACACAACGUACGGCACUGUACACAAACUUGUGGAGGAAAGGAUUCAUAUUGAGCAUCUAUUUUAUCCACUUAGGGAGACUAAGAAUUGAUCUUGUCACUCCCAUAUUCAGCCAAUACGCCACGUAUUGAUUCAAAGCAGAGCUUAAAAAUGAAACAAAAGCAGAUAAAAAACCCUAGACACGGCCAGCUGAUGCAACUGAAAUUGGCAAAUAGCAAAGAUGACAUGAAGUCUGGGACUUCACAAGCGAGGCUGAACGAGGAUGAAGCUGUGAGGGUUGCAUACAAGCAUGGGACGCCUCUUGAAGGAGGCAAAAUUGGUGAUUCUGAGCCUGUGGAUUUAUUUUCCAGUCCUCAUCAUAUUCCAAAGUAGGGCAAUAUGCCUACAAUACGAAGGCAAUACGAAGGCAAUACGAAGGCAAUAUGACCACAAUAAAUAUACAAUACGAAGGCAAUAGUAGGGCAAUAUGGCCACAAUAAAUAUACAAUACGAAGGCAAUAGUAGAGCAAUAUAAGUACAAUAUAAAGGCAAUAUUAGGGCAAUAUACAUACAAUACAUGCCAGGGCGGUCCCCUGGGUAACUCACAUGCUCGUUAGGAGGGCGUACAUCUGACAUGUUGAAGUAUUACUGGGGACAAUUCACAGCUGUUGCCUGCAACCAAACAAAUAGAGGUACAUUAAGUCUCCAGUUGUAAACGACUAUAUGGUUAGGUUGAGUGGAGAAUAUUUGCCUUUCAGUUAGACUAAUUACCUUUCCCGUUAAGAAGGUGCCUCUGUUGCAGUUCUAUAUAGGAAUGUUCAGUUAUAUGUACGAACUGAUAUGAGGUAAAUUGGGUUUUGUGUUGGUGCAUUAAAUUGAUGGGAUUCAAAACUACACCAUUAACUCCUUGGCUGUAAGUUACAGCAGUACAACAUGACAUUAACAACAAUAAAAUUGGCGUCCAAACGACAAAAAACCAAACCUUUAUGGGAAAUAGGAAAUUGUGGAUUGGAACCAAAAAUAGGACUAUGUAAGUAAGCAUUUAUUGCGAAUUUCAGAACACAAAAUAGGAAAAUAGGAAAAUGGCAAAACACGAAAAUUGGAAAUUUGGAAAACUGACAACUUAAAACUUGGAUAUGGGAAAUAAGGAAACUUGGAAAAUUGGAAAUUGAAGAAAAGAAAAAUUGGAAAAACGGAAAUACGAAAAAAUGGAAAGUUGGAAAGUUGGAAAAUUGGAAAAAGGAAAUAAGGAAAAAUUGGAAACAGGAAAGUAGGCAAUAGGAUCAAAUGAUAGUUGGAAAAUUGGAAAAUUGGAAAAAGGAAAAAAGGACACUUGGAAAAUAGGAAAUUUGGAAAUUGUAGAUUGGAAAAGAAAGCAACUUGGAAAAUUGGAAAUUUCGAAAUUGGCCAAAAGGAAACUUGGAAAAUAGGAAAAUAGGAAAUAGGAAAUAGGAAAGAAAGGAAACUCUGAAAACAUUAAAAUUUGAAAAUUCGAAAAAUCGAUAAAUCAGAAAAAAGGACACUUGGAAAGUAGGCAAAUAAGCAAAUUGGGAAAUUCAAAAUUGAAAAUUGAAAAUUGGAAAAUUGGAAAAUUGGAAAAUUGGAAAAUUGGAAUAUUGGAAUAUUGGAGAACUGGAUAAAUGAAAAAUAGGAAAUAAGGCAACUUGGAAAAUAGCAAAAGUGGAAAUUGAACAAAAGGACAGUUACCAAAAUGAUAAAUUUGAAAUAGGAAAAAAAGGAAACUUAGAAAAUAGUCGAAUUGGAAAUAAAAACAUUGGAUAAUUGGACAAAAACUUAAAUUUUUAAAAUUGGAAAUAGGAAACAGGGACACAUGGAAAAUCAGAAAACUGGAAACGAAUUGAAAUUGUGGAAAUGGGAAAUAAGACAAUUACCAUAUUGGACAAUUUUAAUUACUGUCUGAAUUAGGCAAAGUAGGCAACUUUUUAUAAGUACAUAAUGAGGGGAAAAUGGGAACAUUGAAAAAUUGGAAAACUGGAAAUAGAACAAAAGGAAACUUGGGAAAUUGCACAAUACGAAAAUAGGGAAUAGGAAAAAAUAAUGAAAAAUUGAAAAAUUGGAAAAUUGGAUGACACAUGGAAAAUAGGAAAAUAUGAAAAAUGGCAAAAUGGCAUACAUCAAUUGAGAUUGGUGAAAUGAGAAAUAAGACAAUAACCAUUAUUGGUCAAUUCGAAUGAGUUGGUGAAUUUGGCAAAUAGGCAACUCCCUUAUUUCAAUGACAUAAUGGGAAAAUGACCAAGUUGGGAACGUCCAACAUACAUAUUACAAAAAGGCAUAAAGUCAACCUGGGUAAUAACUCCCGCCCAUACUAUCCCGCCCAAUACUAUCCCGCCUAACACUCCCGCCAAUCCCUCCCGCCAAUUACUCCCCCUAAUCCCUCCCGCCAAUAACUCUCUCACUUACUGGUUUGGUCAUUAAAAUUUGCAGGUAUAUUAAUCAACCGAGCUGUUUGAAAUGAAAACUUCCAUCACAUUAACUGCUGCUUACAGCCACUACCUUCCCCACAGAUUUAAGUCACAUCGCAUUUAGUCCCCUGUUGUUCCAAUUAAGUUGUACACCAGCCAACAAUAAAUAUCAAAGACCAUGGACCAUAACCUCACACCAAACCCAACGAUUUCAAUUACUGAAGGAGGGGAGACUGAAACAGAAGCCAAGUGACCGAAUUCACUCCCUGCAGACUUGGUCCAUGGCAUACAGCAAUGUCAACGCAAUACCAUGUUUUGGAAAAAUCUUCAUGCAGACAUAGUUUCAAAAAUUGUGGAGGGCCAAGCUAGAUGGGGUGUCAUCAAAAACCGCACAAUUCGCUGUCGUUAUCAUGCGCGCAUGCAUCUCCUACAUAUAAAGAGAAUGAAAGAAAAAAUUGAACUUGCCCCUGCCACUGCAAUUAUGGUAUUCAAGGAAUCAGAAGCAAUGGCCAAGUUGAAGCAAGAACAAGUGGAAAGGGGAUUGGAACUAUUUCGUAAAUUUGCAAUAAUUGUGGAUCCGGCAGGAAACUGGGCCAAUAUCACUGUGGCUGGGGUCAUGAAUUUCAUGGGUCGCGGUCACCGCACUUGAAGAGUAUGCAACUUCGAAUUUGUCAACAGCAGGGAAAUGGAACUAUGAGGUGGCGUAUUUUUGUAUUAUGUAACCAUAGGGUGGCCUGUUGUUGUAUUAUGUAAGUUUGGAAAUAGGAAUGUAUGGAAUGAUGAAGCCUCAUUUUGUAGGGAAAUGGAACUAUGAGGUGGCGUACUUUUGUAUUAUGUAACGAUGGGGUGGCCUGUUGUUGUAUUAUGUAAGUUUGGAAAUAGGAUUUUAUGGAAUGAUGAAGCCUCAUUUCCCUUUUCUAUUUCUGCGUAUGCAGUUUAUCGGUCUCCAGUUCUGUGGCGAUAUAGCAGCAAUAAAUAUGCAAUAAACAUGCGGAUAGUGGCAAUAUUAUGUCAAUAUCAGUACAAUAGAGUGGUGAUAGAGUUACAAUAUGAUCCUCUUAGAGGACAUACUGCAUCAGAAUAUGUUUUAAAUUAUAUGGUCCAAAAAUAUACUAAUAAAUAAACAAAAAAGUAAUUACAACCUGGAAAAAGGAUGAAUUAAACAUCCCUUAAAAGACAGAUGGCCUACAGUACAGACCUUCAAAAUGAACUCUAUAUAUAUAUAAAAUGCAUGCCUUGUAGCACCAUCACAUCCCCCCCUAAAUGACACAAACAUGACACCCCAAAACCUCAUGCUCCUUCCUCUUUCAACCCCUAAAUUAUCCAUUGGAUGCCCAAUACUAGAUCACUGCUUGGGGGGUGGGAUACCCUGCAAGUCCAUAACAGAAUUAGUAGGGGAGAGUGGUUCUGGGAAGACGCAGCUUUGUCUCCAACUUACGGUACGAGCUCAGCUCCCACCCUCACAUGGCGGACUAGGGGGCUCCUCCGUCUACAUAUUCACAGAAUUCAGCUUCCCAUUUCGUCGAUUGCAACAACUAGGCAACCUUUAUCAUGCAUCAUACCCCAACUUAAUAAGGUUGGAGCCAUUGGAAGACAUAUAUGUUCAUGGUGUUCAUGAUGCUCACGAACUCAUCCAUGUCCUUCGAGACAUAGAAGCAUUUAUUGCCAUUGAUCACACCCGCCUACCUGUGAAACUCAUUGUCAUUGAUUCCAUUGCUGCAUUGUUCCGAUCACAGUAUCAGACAACUCCGGCAGAUUUGAAACGGCGGUCUGAAAUGUUCUUCAACAUAUCUGGGACAUUGAAGGGUUUAGCAAAUAAGUAUGGGUUGGCGGUGGUUGUCACCAACCAAGUGGUGGAUUUUAUUGGGCCAUAUCAUGGAGUGAAUGGGGUGAGGUUGGGAAACUUGGAGUCCCUGCACACAUCAGGCAGACGGGUGAAUCCAGCUUUGGGACUGGCUUGGGCACAUUGCAUAAAUUCAAGAGUGUUCUUGGCAAGACAUGAGCAAUCUAUUGAGGUUGACAUUCGUAAUGCUCCUUCAACAAGUAUAUGUAGUCAAACACAUAGGACAUUUCACCUUGUCUUUGCCCCACAUCUGGCCUAUGCAUCGGCCGAAUUUGUAAUAAAAAAAGAAGGUAUAGUCGGAGUAUCACAGUAACUGUGUAAUAUAGGAAUUCUAAGAACUUUAAUGUUUUGGAUCCAUUUGGAAUUACAUUCAAGUCCCUUUAAUUUCGCACUGAAAUUAUAAUUGCAAUCAGGAAGCAAUACCAGUACAAUAAAAGGUCAAUAUAAUGGCAAUAUGUCAGCAAUACAGCAUGCUGUAGCAAUGCAACCCAAAUAAUGCAAAUUUAAAAGAAUUCCCAUUCAACAUAACACGAAACCCACCACAAAUAAAAGUUGAGUUCACAUGACCUACCAAAGCAACACAAAUCUUAUUGUCUAAGAUACAUUGCGCAAUGGAAUAUUGUUUUUACAGGUGCUUUUAUUGUGGCCUGCGGAACCGCACCUUGAGCACUUUCUUCUAAUGCUGCCCUCUCCUUGCGAGGGAAUUCUUAACUUCUUUCGUCUGCCUGGCAUGACCCUUGCCAUGGGAGGCAGCACAACUCGACUUCGAACAUCUUCAGGAGUAUCCCACAUUCCGUGAGGUUGUACCGGGUAGAUGCUAUCCGAAUAAGCAUCCAUCCAGGUUUUCCGAGUGUAAUACCGAGAAGCCUUUGCGUAUACACUUACUUUCAAGAAGCGGAAAACUAUAACUCAUUUCACAUAAUCCCACUGAUAUUAACAAAAUAACCAUGAACACUACCUUUUCGGGGUCGGCAAUCCACUAGAGCUUCAAGGUUGCAAGCAGCUAUUCAGAAGACAUAGCUAAAGGGAAGGGUUCGCGAUUCCAAACAGAGACCAACAGAUCGAAUAGGGGAGAAAGAGAUAACGAAGCUACAGAGAGCAACAGAUCGAGUAGGGGAGAAAGAGAUAACCAAGCUACAGAGAUAAACGGCUGCGCUAUGACAAAGAGAGCAAAGAGAGAGACAGAGAGUUGUGCUAGAGAGAGAGAGAGAGAGCCAAGAGAGACCCACAGAGCUGUGAUAGACAGCUACCAAAGAGAAAGCCAGUUGUGCCAGAGAGAGAGAGAGCUGUGUGACCUAAGAGAACAGAACAAAUUUAUGAACUUGUGAAAAAUCAGCAAUAAGGGUACAAUAAUUUUAUAUUUAUAGGUGAUAGUUCCAAAUUUUAUAAAAAAGGGUGGUAUUUUCAGUUACAAUUAAAAAAUUGGUGGCAUUUUGGGCUAUUUCCCAAUAUUCUAUUGUUUGACGUCAUUGAGUAGUAGUUUUGGGAGGUCCCUCACCGUCUAAUAUUUUGUUAUUUCUCAUGUUUACGUGGAAAAAAUGGUCUGACGAUUGAGGCUGCAUCAGACUUUAUACCAAAAUACCUGAGCCUGGGGUUAUUGCCUAUGCCGUUUGUGUUUGCCUUUUCAAACCAAGAUGAAACCACAAUAGAAAAUGACCAUCUCUGCCUUCACUGAUUCAGAAUAAAUAAAACCUGUUCCAUUACAUCCAUAACCUAACCAACUUUAACCUGCCAACUGUAGAUGACCAGGAGUCCUAUUACAUUUGGAAAACAACAAAUAAAUGACCAUUCCAACCAAGAAAACAGAUACCCAAAACCAUGGGUUUUUCAUCUUUCCUUUUCCAGCGUUUUUUUCUUCUUCCAGCCGGUUUAUUUUCCUAAGCAAGCCUGGAAUGAUGUGCUUCGAUCUGGCACACAUCUCUGGGUCAGCCCAUUCCCAAAAUGUACAUCCAUUCCUCUGCACAAACGGAAGCAAUGUUUUCAAACAAAGACAUCUAGCAUCAGAUUUGGAAUACAGACAAUUCCCACAUGUCAGCUAAAACUUACACAUAAAUAAACUUACCCUUGCACAUACUUGAAACCUCCUUCCAGGAUGAGAAACCGUCCACGAUGUAUGCGUUUUGACAACGUUCCCACAGUAGCACAGCCGUGAACACACAGAACUCGCAGCUUCCAUUUCCCAGCGAGAUCUUGAAGUCGCGUCUUGACCGGCCAACCGAGACGUCACUGACUCACCCUCACCGGUACGGGGGCUCCUCCUACUCAUCUUCUUGUUUUGGAGGGUAUGAAUUGUUGUUCACGUUGUGCAAUAUUUAGGGUGCUGAAGAGGGUCAUCCCAAAUUCAAAGGGUUACACUUGCAUGUGCACAAUGUUUCAGUAACAUGGUGUGAGUGCACAAACAUGAAACCUGGAGUUAAUGGGGUGUUUUUAAAAAGGAAAAAUUUUUUUUUUCCAAUAUUUACCAUUGCCAACAGUAACUAUAGAUUGGGCCCAAUGUUAUUCAUAGCCUUAGUUUAUGACAGAUACGGCAUGGUAUACACUUGCAUAUACAGUACAUUCCAUUCUUAGUUGUUUUUAUAUUGGGCUAUUUAUGACGUAUUGGUAGGACAGUGGUAAUAUAUUGGUAUCAUAUUGUAACUUUAUUGCAUCGCUAUUGAUUUGUAUUGGUUUUAUAAUGCCCGAUAUUGGUGUUAUAUUGGCAUUCCAAUGUAACCUCAGCAUUAUUUGACAUUGGUACAGCUAUUAUAACAUUUUUUAUACUGUCUUACGUAUUGGUUUUGCAAUGUCAAGGAACAAGUCUACAAAUAUGGACGAUGUGGAAGGUAAUUACGUUAUAUCGAAUAUGAAAUGAAUGCAGCCAAACUACAUCAACUGCAGUUAUCAAAGUUCCUGCAUUCAACACAAAAGAAAGGCACCUGAAACGUACAUAUAAUACGAAGGCCACCUCAACCUGGCAGCAUACAAAAGCCAGGUGAAACUUACACAAGACAAAAUGUACAAAGAGGUGACCUCAAACUUACAGAAUACAAUCUUAACAAAGACGGCACCUGCAGCUUACAUUAAACAUAUGUACCAACGAGGCCCCCUUUCCCCAACAGAAAACAAAUGAAACAAAAAAAAAAGGGCACCUCAUACGUAUAUAUUACAAAAAUAGGGGACGUCAAAAAGUCCACUGUACUGGGUUUGUCCCCAAUAGUAGCCAUGGUAAUAUUACAAGGCAAACCCUCUCGCUGUGGCCCAAUUUCGAGUUGCAUACCCGUCAAAUGCGGCGACCGCGACCCAUUAAGUUCAUGACCCCUCCCACAGUGAUGUCCCACUUUCCUUCUGCAUCCACAAUUUGUGCAAACUUCCUAAAUAGUUCGAAGCCGGAUUCCAGUUGUUGUUGCUUCAGCUGAGCCAUUUCGUCUGAUUCUUUGAAUGCAAUAACUGCACUGGCAGGGGCAUUUUCAAUUCUACCUCUGACAGCCUUCAUAUGUAGGAGAUGCAUCCGGGCUUGAUAACGCGCCCGAAUUGUGCGCUUUUUUAUGACACCCCACCUAGCUUGGCCCUCUUUAAUUUUGCUAACUAUGUCUGCAUGGAGAUUUUUCCAGAACAUGGUAUUGGCUCGACAUUGCUGCAGUCCAUGGACCCAGUCUUCAGUGUCUGCUAUUGCUGCUUUGGCAGGUGUUUCAGUGUCCCCUCCUUCAGUAAUGGCACGGGUUGGGUUUGGUGUGGGGUUGGGGUCCAUGGGUGUUGGGUAUUUACUGUGGGUUGGUGUGGCCAUUAGUUUGACCAAACUGCCAUUCAUUGUGAUGUAGGUGAAAUAGCUGCGCAGGCAGGGGGGGUUUGAUGGAGUAACUGUGAUGGAAAUGUUGGGUGGAUGCAGCUGGGUUACAAUUAAAUAGUGGGAGGUAUUAAUGACCAGGAGUAAAUGACUGUCAUGAAGAGGCGGGAGUUAUUGGCGGCAGUUGUUGGGUCCAAUUUUAGGCGGGAGUUAUUGGCGGGAGUUGUUGGGCAACACAUUUGACUUCGCCUGUGCAUAAUAACAGCUGUAUAUAACUAUUCUUUACCAUUGGUUGGUGGUUGUUGUAUGGGACCCAUGUUGAAUUUGAAAUUUAUUCCUUUUGUCCUCUUUCCCCAAUUUCCCUCCUGUACCAAAACUACAAAUUGUCCCAAAUAUAUGAGUACGGUAAUUUGACAAUUAAUUGGCCAAUUACAAAAAUGGACCAUGAAAGUAUUUGUAGGUGGAUUCAUCCCACCUGACGUUGAUAGGUGUGUAUUUUCGUAUUUGGUCCGACUGUAAUGGGCAUUUUACAAUGCUGGCAGUGACAGAGAGGAGUAAUGACUGAAGACUGAUUUUGUAAUGUAGUCAUUGAAAGCAAUAUAAAACAGACAACUUCUUCUAUAUAAGAGGGUCUAACCUACUCAUUCAAUUCCAUAUAUAUCAUACACGAAAGCUGUACUAAAGCUCACCCUAUUGUUGGUAACGAAAAGGAAGCUCUAGAUUGAUUUUGUAACGUUAACUGUUUUUCAGGGUGCAUGUGUGCAUUAUCCCCAUUUCAAGUUGAAGAUGUCAGACGUAAUCCCUCCAAACGAGGUUGUUAGUUACCCAGGAGACCAGCCAUGGCAUGUCCCUUUCCCAUCUCCACCUGGGACUCCAAAUAACGAUCCCACGUCAUCCGGAAGUGAGGCAGACAACAUUGAUCCGCUAAAGAAAAUAGCUGAAGUGAAGCAUCACCUCCAAUAUUUGUGUACGGCAACGGAUUGGUGGGAAACCAAAUGCGAUAUUCAUGGCCAGGUGAUGGGCAACUUGACGAACAAGCUGAACAAAGCAUUUGCUAGAGAAGUUAAGCAAACAAUGAAAGCCGAAAGUCGAAGCGCGAAGUUAGCCUCGUUGACGUUACAAUUGGAAGAAACAAAGAAAGAUGCUGUCCAAAAAUUCACUGAAUCUGAAGAAUUUAACCAUGAACUGGUUGAAUGUUUUAACAAUGGGUUCGAGAUGUUCCGGGAUUAUGCUUCCGUCGUGUCACCAGACUACAAUUGGAGCGAAAUAGAUGUUGGUGGUGUCUGGCAGGUGCUGAAUAAGGGUGGCCAGGGAAUGGCUGAUCAUAGCCUUGUGCAUGCAGCGAGGAAGAAGACCAAAGAAUUGGAUCUAUUCAUGGACCUGUAAACAUGGUGAUUUUGUGGAAAGGUUUCUGUAGCUGGGUCAGGGUAAGUACGGGUGGAAUCAUUUUGUAUGUAUCUGGUGGCUUUUGUAUGAAUGUGGUGCCUUGUUUACGCCUUCCUCUUAUUCUCACCGUUGAGUGGGAAAUUACUUAGUUUGUAUACAUAUGAAGUACUGUAACGUGGAGGUGUGCUUAUUAAAUGUUUAUUGGCCUCAUAUUAGAAGCAUUACGGGUGUAUAUUGUGUUUGUAUUGUAUAAUUAUUGACACAUAUUGUAAUCGUAUUGUGCUUAUAGUACUGUUAUAUUGCUGCUUUAUGGAAAUACACCUCAUAUUAUAGCCUCUACAUCUGAGUAGUUAUAAACAGUGACUCUAGCAAUGGUCGUGUAUAUGGAGGGUUUCGGACAGAUCGAUGGUUAUGACGCGCGGAAUAUCCAUGGAAAUAUGGGACAUGUAUUGAUACCUUCAGGCAAUUGGAUACAAACCACGGACACUGUGCCCAACAAUAUAGAACACUAAUAACUGACUUUGUUAUUUUGCAAAACAGGUUGGAUUGGAAGAGUUUGUUCCUCUGUGUGUGUGACUUGAAGUGAAUAAUUAACUAUUUGAAAAGUCCAUAUGACGAUAGUAGUGCAGGAUGUUCACCAUGUGUACCUGCAUGGAUAGUUUCCCAAAAACUAUAUAUAGUUUGGUCUAUGGCAAUCAGAACAAUGAGAAAUCAUGAAGUACAAUGACGCUCUCAGUAAUUGCGUAACAUUUGCAUUUGAAUUACGUUUCAACAAAGGUACAAUACAAUACCAAUACGAUGGCAACAAGGGUACAUUACAAUACCAAUAUGAUGGCAACAAAGGUGCGAUACAAUACCAAUACGGUGCAUAUAAAGACAGGACAUAACGUUGUGUAGGAAAGGAAACCAAGUGAUGCCAACGUGACUACAAUCACAUUUCACAACACCAAAUCGAAUUCAAUUUAAAUGAAAAUAAAAGGUACAUCACAAACGAAUAGAAAUGCUAAUCUGUAAGACACAUUGGCCAGUGGAACAGUGUAAAAGUAAGCAGCUGGUUUCAAUAAAACAGGUAGAACUGUAUGUUAACAAAUUGCUACUAAUAAUAGGCUCUCAUUGCAAGGAACUUGUUACCUUGUUCCAUAUGCUUCACAUGACCGUUUAAUUGACGGACUUCCAUCCCUGCAGCAUCACCGAACCUAUUCAUGAACUUCACAGUUGAUGACAAGUGAGGUACAAACUGAACAACUGUGCAAUAUGCGCAAUUAGACACUUCAGUUCUUGAGAGGGACAGAUUGUUUGCAUGUAUUUCGGUAGUGGCCCUUCACACCACACCUUGAGCAUUUUUUUUGCCGGGAGUCCUCUCCUUUGGAAGGUACUCUUUGCAUUUUGCGACGGCCCGGCAUAACCUUACAAACAGGAGGAAGGAUUUUGACAUUGUUCAAAUGUUCGGGAAUAACCCAUGUGCCUUUAGGUGGUACAGGAUAAAUAGAUUCAGCAUAUGCAGCUGCCCAUGUAGCUCGUGUAUAAUAAGAAGAGGCAAAGGAGUAGGGGUUCAAAUUCAAGUGCCGACAUACCGCAAUAGCAUGCUUGCACGGGAGUUGCUCCAAGUCAAACUUCCUGCACGUACAACUACGGUUUGCCAAGUGCACCAGACCGUUCAAAUCACCAUCCAGAACAUUAUACUCAACAUCAUUGAUUUUGACCACAUUCAUCCUUGACGCAGCGUCUAACCUCUUCCUUAACUUCUGUUCACCCAAAUCAGGGCACAAUGUAGAAUGACAUUUCAUUGCUAAAUCUCGACGUUGACUAAACCAAGUGAGAAGUAAAUUUGUGAUUUCAUCGAUCAAGUGUAGGACCGGAAGCAUCCUUGCAAAACGAAGAACUGAAUUAAUGGACUCCACAAUAUUCGUUGUCAUCACAUUAUAGCGUCGUCCAUCACAGUGGGCCCGUGACCACUUCUGAACGCCUGCACGUAGUAGAUAAGUUCGCACUCGCUCAUUGUUUAUCAUCGAGAAGUGACGAUUGAACUCCGCUAGACGAUAAGACUUCGCUGCCCUUAUAAAAUACCCCAAUAUCGGAUCCCGUUGCUUCAAGUGAAAUGAGGCUUUCAUAUUGCCCUUCAAGUGAUAAAAGCAAAUACCAUGGCUUGCCCCAGGAAAAACUCUACGCAACCCAUGUUGUAUGCUAACAUUGCGAUCAGAUAUGACAACAAGAUUCGAGCAAUCACCAAUUGCACAAUGUAAUUUUCUCAAAAACCACUCCCAUGCUGCAUCCGUCUCCAAAUCUCCAAUCCCAAAGGCAACAGGAUAUAUGUUGCGAUUUCUGUCAAAUGCGGUCGCAACAAACAAAACACCUUUAUACUUGCACUUCAAAUGGGUAGCAUCAACAGCAAUCACGGGCCGCAUUGACGACUUAAAUCCUCGUAUGCAUGCACCAAUUGACAUAAAAAAAUAUAAGAAGUGGUCGGCUGCAUCAGUCUGAAUGUAUGUCAAAGUUCCCGGAUUUGUACGCUCCAACUCAUAACAAUAGGAAGGGAGAAGGGAAUACGACUCUUCUGCAGACCCUCUCAUUGUUUUGAAAGCUAACUCUCGGCUUCUCCAAGCUGUAGAGUAGCUUAUGCUGACACCAAAUUUUUUUUUCACAUCUGUCUUUAUAUCAGCUGCAGUAUAAAUGCUGCGUGAAUCCUGAAAUCUCCAUUUAACACAGUCAGACACCAAUUCGGCCGUAGCUUGAGGAUGGUGACUGCUUACAAACCUCAGAUCACAUUCAUGAAGUGGAUCGUAUUUAACAACCUUAAACUCAUGUAAUCCAACUUUAUAUGCCCGAAGUUUCCAAGGGCAAGGCACCUGCCAACAGCGAACACAAAACCGACGCUUCCCAGAUUGGACUGUUCUGAACCGAAAGUGGCCUCUAAUUGCUGCUAAACUGAUGGUUUUUAAAAGGGCAAUCUUAUUUGGAUACACUCGGCCAACCUUCAAAUUUGCUUCCCAAUUUAUGCACGAAAGUCCUCCACCAUAACCAAUAUAUUCCACACUCUCACCAUGCUUCGAAUCAACCCGAAUUGUAUGCAUUUCACUCGAACUUGAUUGCCGGGGAGGUUCAGAUUGCACCUGUCUACACUGCACAGUGGAGGGUUCCGCACUGCUGUCCUCAUGAGGAUGCAGAAUUGGUGCAGAGUACGGUUCCUCUUCAUUGCUAGGUUGAUUGAAAUCAGCAACUAUGUUUUCACCGCUUUCAAAAUGAACUUCUUCAACCCAAUCACUCCAAUUAAAACCAUUCCCACCAUUUUCAGUUUCAUUGUGCGAAAUUGCCACAUUUCUUCGUUCCACAACAAAGGUAGCAGGAGCAUUGCUACUCUCCACGCUUACAAUGCCAUUACACCCUUCAAUACCAUGCCCUUCGAUGUUUUUGAAGCUUGCUACUAAAGGGGUUACUUUAGAGGCCAUAACAUCUGUGUUGUACUUGAGAAAAUAUUGAACAUCAUCAUUGUCUUCAACCCUUAUCUGCUUACUGACAGAUGCGGAUACAGGAACUGAAUACUUCAAUGUGACACUAUAUUUCGUGGGCUCUGCAUCCAUGAUCUUAUAAAUGCGUUCAACAAGUUCAGAAAACGUUACGUUCCGUGACACUAUUAUGCCUUUAGCCUCCCCACCUUCAUAACUCUCAAUGUUAUCCUUCUUAACCCAAUUUCCAUUGUAGCAUACCAAAAUUCCAACUGUAUCCAUUUCUGCAAAAAACAUAAAUAAUUACUACACCGAUUCAUAACACUAAAAAAAUACAAAAUAGAUGAAUAAAAACAUGCACAACAAUCAUUCCACUACACAUAUCAUCUUCUAAAUCCUCAAAUCUUCAAAAGUUAAUUGUAGCUGCUUCAACAAUUAACUUUUAUUCCUUUUUGUUUUUUCUCUGAUUUAGAAGAUGAUAUCUGUGGGUUCCAAGUUAUUAACAAACUAACAUACACAUACAAUGGCAGAAAUAUGAACCCUCUAACCCUCCAAGUCUUUUGCACAAAUGUAAACACCUUCAACAAAAGGAUCAGGGAAGCAGAAAGCGUAUAAUGUAGUACAAGCUGAAUUACCAAAUUCGAAACCAACACACACAAACUAUACUUCUUACCAAAACAAACCCAGAAUGCCAAUAAAUUCCCCACAUUAGCAUCUAAAUUGAGCCUAACACUAGCCGUAUUUACAAAUUUGUAGGCCAGACAAAGUUAACCUAUGAUUUGUCUGUGUGCUGUUAUUUUCACCAUUAUCAAACACAUUGCACUACAUUAUACACGCAUUCAGUCAAUUUUAAACAAAAUUCAAGUUCACCAGACAGCUCCCACUGCAGAUAAUAUCACAAACUAUGAAUUUCAACAUAUCACAACAAGUGCAAACUGAAAAUUUAAGCUUUUAUGCCCUCUGUGGUGAAAAGGGGCUGAACGAUUUCAUAAUACACAUACACUACCAAACCAAUAUCACAACUCACAUCCGUUCACAACGACACCGGAAGUCGCCACUUUCCCUUCUCUCUGGAAUCGCAGCAGUCAGCUCGAUCUGGAGGUCAACAAUGGAGGCCGUGCCUUCCGGCUUCGCUGCGCCCAAACUAGGGUGCCAAGUUUGAGGACAUCUGGGUUAGGACGAUGGAUGGGUUGCGAACUGGAUUGCUCAGUGGGAACAUGUCUCGCAACCUGGAGUUCCCCCAAUUUUUGCCAACCUUCCAACACAGAGGAGAGAGAGUUGAGCUGAGUUCAGACAAGUUCCCUUUCAGAAAAGGGGUGGCAACGGGUUGAUACAUGUGCUUUUAUAUGGAGGGCAGUUUGGUCAUUUCACGUUCACAAGUGAUUAUAUCAGAACACAAUUUGUAACCUGAUUAUUUCAGAAUACCACUUGUGAAAAGUGAUUAUAUCAGCUUAUUUCCCUUUUGUUUUAGUUAAUUUAGGGAAUUCUUGUCCUUGGUCAUGUGUGAUGUGUGUGCAUUAAUUUUCUAAAAGUGUAGGAUUAGGAGAACAGAAAGUGAUUUAAAAUUUUUUGUAUUUAAUUUUAGGGCUCUUUAGUUUUAACCCAUAAAAAACUUAACUAAUUUGGAAGAAAGAUAAUUAAUUUUGCUUAAUUAAUAUAUAACCAAAGCCACCUAAUUUUACCAAAAGGACAUCCAACAACCCUAAAAUUACUACAUGUGCCAUUAUGCUUAACUGUCAAAUACAAUUUAUUUAAUUAUAAAUCAGAACUUAAAACUAUCAAAACGACAUAACAUUCCCACAAAACACAACACAAAACGACACUACUCAAAUUUAAUCACUUCAAAAACUGGUUUCGUGCGACCUUUCAUAUCCCACUGCAAACCUACAAACUAUUCUCCAAAAACGAAGCCGAUGAGCAGCAACGGGGACGACCAGAAACGAAGACGACGACCAACGACGACGAGCAACGACCACCGACGACGACCCAAGCUAAACUGUAAGAAAAUGAAUCAGUACUCUCUUCGAUUUUAAGUUUUACACCGACGACGGUUUCAGUACUGUUUCUUUCUUUUGGUUAAUUCAAUUUCAGAGUGCUUUUUGCUAAGGUUUAUGGGAAUGUUAUAACUGCUCAUGAAGUUAAAUUUGUUUUGAUAUUAGUUUCAAUACUGUUUUUGCCUUUUGGUUUCUGGUCGUUUGUAGCAGAUUUUGACUAGAAACUGCAAUGCAGUUUCUGGUUCCAUAAUUCAAUUUCAGAGUACUUUUUGCUAGGGUUUAUGGGAAUGUUAUAACUGCUCAUGAAGUUAAAUGUGUUUUGAUAUUAGUUUCAGUACUGUUUUUGCCUUUUGGUUUCUGGUUGUUUGUAGCAGAUUUUGACCAGAAACUAGGGUUUAUGGGAAUGUUAUAACUGCUCAUGAAGUUAAAUGUGUUUUGAUAUUAGUUUCAGUACUGUUUUUGCCUUUUGCUUUCUGGUUGUUUGUAGCAGAUUUUGACCAGAAACUGCAUUGCAGUUUCUGGUUCUAUAAUUCAAUUUCAGAGUGCUUUUUGCUAGGGUUUAUGGGAAUGUUAUAAUUGCUCAUGAAGUUAAAUGUGUUUUGAUAUUAGUUUCAGUACUGUUUUUGCCUUUUGGUUUCUUUUCACAUCAAAUUUUGAGCAGCAGUUUCUGGUUGUUUAUUGUAGAUUUUGACCACAAACUGCAGUGCAUAUCACAAAAUGGAACAGGAAAUGUCACCACAAAAGAAUGAAGCUGAAAACCAACCAAAGCGCAGAAUCAAAAUGAUGGCUCAAAAGAGUAAACCAAAGCCAAAGCCAAACUAUGAUCGGAAAGCAAAGCACCCGGACUAUGUCCAAUUUCGGUGCAAUGCCUAUGCUUUCAACAGCAUCAUUAGAGACAUAAAGGACAAGCUCAAUGAAAGGCAGAAGAAGCUUCUCAAGAAAACCCCUUUUCUGGAACUUGAUCGAGCUGUUUUACCGCCAGAGAAUUGACAUGAAUAACAUGAAUAAGUCGGACCUUGACUUAGUACAGCUGCUUAAGAAAUUUGAUCCGGAUACAAAGUCCUUCAAAUUUGGAACCAAAUCAUUCCAAAUCACAGGCAAUGCAGUGACUCAGAUUCUAGGACUGCCAAAUGAAGGCAAAUCUGUCAAACUUGUCAAUGAUAGGUACACUGCUACCUUCAGAACAAGGCACUUUGGAGAAAAGGGAAAACCAUCAAAAAACCAGGUAGAAGCAGAAUUACAAAAGACAAUUGCCUUGGCAAACCAACCGAAGAAAGAAAAGGCAAAGACAGAGCAAAAGAAAAAAACGAACAAAGGAAAAGAAAAGAAAGAAGCUGAAGAAGAAGAAGAAGAAGAAGUUGAUUACGACAAGGAGGUGGUCAGCCUAAUAUUGAUUCUGCUGUGCAUGACAUUUCUUUUUGCCAACUCUUCAUCUACUUUGCAUUGGUGUGAAUCCUUGACCGCAAAAGCAAAAGCAAAAGCAAAGAAGGGAGGAGAAGCCUCUAUAGGAGCUGUUUCGGGUUGCACUAUCCUAAUAUUGGUAAGUAAACAGUGGCUUAUGCAAUGCAUUUUGAGUUUUUGGCAAUGCAGUUUCCAUUUAGUGCAAUGCAGUUUCCAUUUACUGCAAUGCAAAAAUGGAAACUGCAACGCAGUUUCUGUUUUAUCCUAUGCAGUUUCCAACCUAAUUUCUGAUAUAUCUUGUUUUUGAACUGUGCAGUUUCUACUGUGUGAGAGGACAAACAUCAUACAACCAAUCCUUGGCAAGGAGAAAGAAACUCCUGCCAUUCUUAAAUAGAGUCUUGUGGAACUCCACACAAGAUUCAACCAAAUAAAGGACUUGAAUGACAUCGAGGUAUGCAAUUUAUCGCAUGUUCUGUUUUAAUGUAUCUUGAAUGCGAAUCCAUGCUAAAUCAUUCUCAUUGUACAGGGUAUUUUCAAAACUCCUAAAAAGCGAAAAACUACCAGGGAAGAGGAAGACACUGUUGAGAAGGUAAUUGAAAUCUGUAUACAGUGCAUUGCAGUUUGUGUUUUCUACAUUGCAGUUUGCAUUUUAUCCAAUGCAGUUUCUGAAUCAUUCAAUCUCAUUGUACAUGGUAUUUUGAAAACAUAUAAAAAGAGAAAAACUACCGGAGAAAAGGGAGACCCUCUUGACAAGGUAUAAGAAUCUCUAAACAGUGAAUUAUGCAUUUCAGUUUUCGUUUCCUCCAAUGCAAUGCAGUUUCUAAUUAGUUUCUGUUCAAUAUGCAGGAAAAAGAAAAAGAAGAUGAUGAGGGACAACAAGGAGAAGCAGAGGAAGCAGAAAACCAAGGAAAACCUGAUGAUGCUGAUCAAACUCCAGAAUUAAAAGAGGUUGGAAAGAAGAAAAUGUUUGAGAAUGAAGCUGGAAAAGAACCUCUUGUAAUUCAAGACCUCUUGGUGAAGUCCAUGACAGACCAAAUCAACUACCGCCAACAACAAGAUCCUAGCUUCGUUUGCCCGGAAAGAUUACAACUGUGGAAGGAUGAAAAAAAUGAAGACAGUGAGAAGAAAAUGAAGGAAUUGUGGGAUAUAUUUAUCCAAGCAGAAAAGAGAUCAAAGGAGUUGGAAGUGGAGUUGGCAACAUACAUAGAGAAAUUAGAUAAUGAAGAAUGUGUGACUGCCACCAUGACAGUGGAAUCUACAGUUCAGCUUAAUGAAAUACAAAAUCUGAAAAGGAGGAUUGCAGAAUUGGAAGGCAAGGAAACUCGUAUUGACAUGGAGAAGAUUGCCAAGAAAAAGGAGAUUCAAGGAAAGUACAAGGCAGAAAUUCAAAGCUUGUUGUCAGACCCAACAAUCUUUGAAAUGGAGAUGGAUCUGCUUACAAAACAACCAACACAACCAGUUGAAGAGAAAGAAGAAGAAAAGAAAGAAGAAAAGAAGCAACAAGAAGAGAGAGAAGAAGAAAAUGAGAGAGAAGAAGAAAAUAAAGAACAAGAGAAGCAACAAGAAGAGAGAGAAGAAGAGAAGAAGCAAGAUGCUCCAACACCUGAUGUUCCUUCAAGAGUACAAAGGGUGAAGAACAGAGAAAGAAAAAGGCUUCAAGCAUCUUGCUAUGUGUACGAAAAAAAUAAGAAAACAAAAAAGGAGGCAAAAAAGGAUGAUGAAGAACUACCACAAUUCAAGCUUAUCUCUUCCGAGGAGGUAUGCAAUUACUGCAGUUCAAGCUGCUGUUUUUUCUAUUUUCUGCGUUGCAGAAACAGAAACUGUAAUGCAGUUUCCGUUUCCUGCAAUGCAGUGUGUUAUCUGCUUUACAGAAACAGAAACUGCAAUGCAGUUUCCAUUUCCUGCAAUGUAGUGUGUUAUCUGCUUUACAGAAAUGGAAACUGCAUUGUAGUUUCUGUUUUAUCGAAUGAAGUUUCUAAUUAGUUUCCUUUCAAUCUGCAAUUAACACAAGAGGCAUCUCAGCCCGAUGCCACAAAUCCAAUUCCUGAUCCCCCAAAAGGAACGAGCCUUCAUGAUUCAAUACCUGUAGAUAUGCAAUAAUCAAGUGAUGAAGAUGAAGGACAAAAAAAGCCAACAAAGAAAAAACUAGGAUGGGGUCAGAGAAAGGUGUGGCAGAAAAUUCCAAAGGCGGACAGGGAAAGAAUUGAAAAACACUACUUAAGUACUCAACCUCGGUAAUAUCUCUAUUUCCAAAAAUAACAAUUCUUUCAUCUUUUAAUUACAAUUAAACUAAAACUAAUCUUGUGAAUUUCAUGUAUUCGAAUCCGCAGUGAUAACUUUUGGGCAGGACUCAAUGAUGAGAAAGUGACAAACCAUGAUCUCAAAGAUAUUGUAUGGGACCUGGAACUGUCACAAAAACGUAAGUAUUUACCAAUUCUAUAACACACACUGCACUGUAUUUUUUAUUUGUGCUACCUAUAUUACCCAUUUAUAAUUCCAUUUUUCUCCAAUCAAUGUGAAACAGGUUAUUGAGGCCUAUAUCCAAAUAGAGGAGGAUAAAAUAGAGCCCAUACAGACAGAGAGUCCACAGUACAUGUCCACAUGGACUUGGGUAAGUAUUAUUUUGAAAAUUCAAAAUUGUUUAAACAGACAAUGCACUGCAGUUUUCGAAAAAUAUAUACUAACAAAUUGCCAUUCUAUGAUAUCAGGCUUACAUGCAAAGCUUCCAAGAGCCAUCUUGGCACAGGUUCCUGUAUGAACACUUACUUGAAAAACUCGGGAAAUGCAGUGUUCUUUUCUUCCCGAUUAUUUCAAAAGAAGAGUUCCACUUCACACUUCUCACAUUUCACAAAAAUGAACGAAAGUGGAGACACUACAAUCCACUUAGAUCGUUGGGACGUAGAAAAGAAAAAGGUGCAUUAACAUUGCUCAAAACUUUGUAAGUGGAAUGAAACUGUCUUAAUUUCUCAGCACAAACACAAACAGAAACUGCAUUGCAGUUUCUGUAUUAUACAUACUGCCUAAUUUCAGACCAAAACUAUAAUAUGCAUUGCACUGAUUACCAUUUCUUUUUCUCUUUUUUUCUUGUUCUUUAAACAAGUUAAUAUUGUUGAAGGGUGGCUAGAAUAUAUAAGACCUCAAGCACGAGUGUUCAUAGAAACUAAAAAAAAAACCAACACUUGUGAAGCAAAAGGAAGGGCCCCUGACACUUGUACAAAAAGAUUUGACUCCAACUGAAGAACUCACUCUCAAUUGGAUUAUGCAAAAUCCAUUGCAGUUUCCAUUUGAGGAUGACAUGGAAUGUGCUCAACAAAGUGUAUCUUCGUAAGAAUAGUGUCUACUCAACUAUUCAUUACAGUUUGAAAUCAUUCAAAAGCAAAAAAAACUAAUCUCGUAUUUCAUUUGCAGAUUGGAUUGCGGCAUGUUCGUCAUGUUCUAUAUGGAUAAAAUAGCACAAGGAUAGCCCAUUCCAAAAAGUGUGGACAAGAAAUUCAUGAAUGAAUAUCGAGCACAAUAUGUCACAAAACUCCUACACCACAAAAACUGUGUAAUUAAUCGUCUCUAGUGAUUUGCCUUUCGUUAACUCAAGACAAUAUGUAUCUUAAUUCUUGUGGAUGUUUGUAAAUAUUUCUAAUUAUGGUAUAUGAGAACAUAUUUCCUAUACAUAUAAACUGUAAUAUAAUCUUGGAACAGGAUGCAACAAAACGAAAAGGAAACAAACAAACUGCACUGAAUUUUCUGGUCAAAAAUACUGAAACAAAUUAAAACUGCAGUGCAGUUUAUAUAAAUAAAUAAAAAUAAAAAAUCAGCUCAAAAAAUGUGAAAAGAACCCAAAAGCCAAAGCCAUAAUCAAAGUACUAAAACUUUGUUCAAAACACAUUUAAGUAGGUCAACAUUGAAAUGUAGUUUCUGCUCAUAAUCUGCAACAAAUAAACAGAAACUGCACUGCAGUUUCUGCAACAAAAUCUGAAAUAAACAGAAACUGCAAUGCAGUUUCUGCAACAAAAUCUGCUCAAAAUAUGAAAACAAGCAUUGAAUGGCAGUCGAAAACAAAUAUCCACUCAUUAAACAAUUGUAUAAUUUUCAUUAACUUCAAAAAAGAAUCACAAUAUCCAAUUAGAAGCUGUGUAGCCAAUUACAAGCAACUAAAACUGCAAUACAGUUUUUACAAAAAGUUCAACGCAGAAACUGACUAUACAUUCGCUAAACCAUAUCUAAAAUAAAAAAUUGUCAAAAGAGAAGGAGUGUUCAUAUAAUAGCCUUGCAAGUCUUCCUAUUGUGCCCAGCAACACUGCACCGACUGCAUUUCAAUGGCCUUUUAAAUUCACCAAAAACUUUGAUCCUCUUUGUUGGUGGUCUUUCGGCUGGCCUCUUUGUAAUUGGCGGAAGCACAACUCCAGCUGCAGAACCAUUGCUGCCCAAUCCUUUCCCAAUAUCUGGAAUAGGAAAAAUAGGACUCUCAUAGGCUUUUCGAAAAAAGUCGGUUUUGUAGUAACACUCCACGUAAUCAUAAACUGAAUCUCUCUUUGCUAGGAUUGUAGCCACCGCAUGUGUGCAAGGAAAACCGUCAAUUUGCCAAAGACGGCAAGAACAAGUCCUUUGCUCGAGAUCAACCAUCACAGAAUAAUCAGCAAAUACUUCAAAAACAGUGCAAUUAGAACGACGAACUGCCCAAGUCCUACCGGCCUCCGCAUUUUCACAGAGUCUAGUUUCCAUCUCCGGACACAAAACUGUUGUCCACUUCUCCGCUUCAAUUCGUCGUUGAGAAUUCAAUACCAUCAAUUUCUGUCGAAUCCCUUCUAUCAAAGGUAGCACCGGCAAAUCUCGAAACACACCAACCCAAUUAUUAAAGGACUCCGCUAAACUGUUUGCCAUCUCCCCAUAACGCAUUCCUUUGAAAAAUGCGUUGGCAUAGUGAUCUCUAGACAAAUCAGAUAUAAAUGCCUUCACUUUCGAACUCCCAACAAUCACCAACUCCUCCAUUGCUACCUUAAACUCUUCCUCCGUAACAGCAUAUGCGCAUCUACUACAUAAAUUGAUACCACGGUCUUGGAGCAGUUUCCCAUAACCUGACUUCGGGUACUUUGAUAUCAAAUUCUGUCUGAGGUGAUAAUAACAGUAAGAAUGAGGCCAUCCGGGAAACACAAACCCCAUUGCAUUUAACAAACCUUGAUUGCGGUCCGAGAAAAAGGUCACCACUCUCCCCAUCGGUAGCAAUAUAGAAGCCAAAUGUUGAAGAAACCAAGUCCAAUUCUCCUCUGUCUCAGAAUCAACAACUCCAAAAGCUAGAGGAUAAAACCUUGCAAAACAAAACCAAAAGCACAAGUAUAAGCAAAAAAGGGAAACUGCAGUGCAGUUUAUGAAAACAAAUCUGCUCAAAUAUGAAAGGAAACCAAAAGCCAAAUCCAUGAUCCAAGUACUAAAACUAAGUUUAAAACACAUUUAAGUUCAUGAGCAGUUACAACAUUCCCACAAACAUGUAAAAAAUAUUAAUAAAAUCGAAUUAUGAAACAAGAAACUGCAAUGCAGUUUCUGCUAAAAAUUGCAACAAAUGAAAAUCUGCAAUACAUUACAGUAACCAUACCUUGAUUUCCAUUCUUUCUCGAAGCACAGAGAAGGUGCCCCUUGUACUUGCUCUUCAAAAACGUAGCAUCAAUGAACAACAAGGGUAUGCAAUAUUGAAAUCCAGCAAUGCAACCGCCAAAAGACACAAAAAACCCUCGAAAGCGAUUAAUUCCAGCUUCACAAUCAAGAGUGCAGAGAGAACCAGUGUUAGUUUCCUUUACGGCGUCCGCAUACCACACUAACUCGUUGAAGGACUUUGACUCAUCACUGUGAACGUCCAAUUUAGCUAACUCUUUGCCAAACCAUGCCUGGUAGUAUGAAAUGUCUAUACCAUAAUAAUCUUUGAACUCGUGUAUAAUCUCAACUGGCUUUAGCUCUGGUUUUGCACAAAUUCUGUCCACAAUGAGGGAGGACACCACACGAGACCUCAUCAUCUUACUCUUUGAUUCCCGUAUCCGACCCGCACAUGUAUGAACAUUAUUUAACGUCCGAAUUACAAAACUGCCAGUAGCUUCACAACGAGAAGCAUAAACACGUCAGCUGCAACCCUCCAAUUUCUUAUUCGAAUAAACAGCAACCACCCGCUUCUUGUCAUUGCCGGCAUAUAAAAAAUUAAAUCCUACUUCAAGAGCGUACUUGCACAAUUUCAACCGGAACUCCUCUGCACCACCGUCAAACUUCUGCCCCACAUGAUGUAUGUAUGUCUCCCACUCAUUCGACAACAAAGGCUUAGCACUUGCUCUCUUCGACCUGCCCAAAAACCCGUUUCUGUCUUCGACAGUACUAGAACACGACGACUCGCCCUUUUCACAUGCUAUCAACUCCUUAUUUACACAAAAAUCACCACUAUAUUCACUGCUCCCGCAUAAAUCCUUCACUAAAAUAUCAACAGUCUUCUCAUUUGAUAUCAACAAAAUGUCCUCAUCAAGUCCAAAUCGCUAUCCGUUUCUAGAAAACAACUCGGAUAACUGGGCACUGAAUACCGUAAUGUGAAACAACCCAACUGCAAACCCCUAAACCUCAGACACAAAGUCUUCAAAAUAUCAACCAUGGAUGACUCUGAUGAAACUGAAAACAUGAUGGUUUCCGACUUAUAUGUGCACUUGGCAAUGACACACACCUCCAUUAGCCUUGAAAAUGCAAACAAAACAACAAACAAAAACAGAAAAUAAUUAAAAUCACUAAAUAAUGUACAUGAGCAGUUGUAACAUUCCAAUAGAAAUCCAAAUAUUAGUAUGAAAUCGAAUUAUGAAACAAGAAACUACAUUGCAGUUUAUAGUCAAAAACUGAAAUAACAGAAACAACAUUGCACUUUAUGUGAUAACAUACCCUUAAAUUUGAAUAGAAACCAAAAGAAAACCAUGUUCAAAGUACUAAAACUUAGAUAAAAACACAUUUAAAACACAUUUAACUCCAUGAGCAGUUGUAUCAUUGCCUUUAUGAAACCAGAAACUGCAAUGCAGUUUUUGCCAACACUCCAACAAACAGAUGCAGUUUAUAAAAGAGGAGGCAAAACAAAUCGAAUAGAAACCAAAAGGAAACCACGUUAAAAGUACUAAAACUAAUAUCAAAACACAUUUAACUCCAUGAGCAGUUGUAACAUUGCCUUUAUGAAACCAGAAACUGCAAUGCAGUUUCUGCGAACACUCCAACAAACAGAUGCAGUUUAUAACAGAGGAGGCAAAGAAAAUCGAGCCACAAAACUGAGCCACAAGAUCGCGUCACAAAAUCGAGCCACAAAACUAAGCUCGAAAAACUCAAAACUGAUAGAUUCGGCAUGAUAAUCGAACGAAAGAUUAUCCAAUUAGAAGGAAACAAACAAACUGCACUGAAUUUUGGAACAGGAUGCGGCAUGAUAAUCGAACGAAAAAGAUUCGCCAUGAUAAUCGAACAAAAAAACUGACAGAUUCGGCAUGAUAAUCGAACGAAAAAGGAAGAAAUAAAAGGAAAACCAACCAGAAAAUUGAGCUCCAACGGCGAGAACGAAAACGAAAACGAACGAAAUCUGCCUGCCAAACGAACGAAAUUUGCCUGCCAAACGAACGAAAUUUGCCUGCCAAACGAACGAAAUCUGCUGCCAAACAAACGAGGACGAAAACGAAACAGAGAGAGAACAGGCUCGCGCCUUGUUUAAACAUUCAGGGGCAAAAGCAUCAUUUACUUUGUAGGUUUACAAAUGGGCCAGGCUUUUCAAGAAGAAGGGUAGAAUUGUCUUAUCAGUUGUUAUUUUUUACCUGGCCUAACGAAUCUGGGCCUCUAUUUGGGCUAAUCCAAAAUAGUAGUUUUUUCCUAGGUAUUAAAACUAAAACCAAAAUAUCCAAUAUCUUACAAACUAAUUAAUAAAGUUAAUUAUGUCUAAAACCUAAUUUUUCUUUAAUUUUAAAUUAAAUUUAUAUAUACUAAAACCUGAUAUAACUAGCCACUAUUCCUAAGAGCAAUUCCAACCUCAUACCAAAUUUUAUGAAAGAUCAAGUUCGACUGAUACGGAAAUGGCAUUGGCUAGUAGGUGGAAAGUUUUGAAUAAAGAGUUAGGGAAAUGAAGAGAUGUGUGGCAAAAGCGCGGGACAACCAUCAGAGUAAAAUCUUAGCAAUGGGGUAAAUUAUUUGUAAUUUAUGUUUUAUUAAAUUUAAUGUUCUAAUUAUUAUUUUUUUUAAUGUUUCUUGCAUUUCCAAUUUUGUUUUUAAUAGAUUAUGCAAGCACAAAUGUGGUUCGAUGCCAUUGGCCAAGGCAGAAAAUUUUUCAACCAUGAAUAAUGUUGGGAGGUGGUGAAAAAUUGUUCACGAAUCAGAAUUAUUCUCACGGGUCUGACUGUUAUGUUGAACGAGAUGCCACUCCAUGAUUCAACGGCAUCGGAUUUCCCUUUGGAUUCCCCGAUGAGUCAAGACUCACCAAUUCAAAAGGAGUCGAGGCCUAUUGAUCGAAAGGCGGUGAAGGCGAAGAGAGGGAGUGCUUCUAGCAAUUAUACUGCAAAUUUUUUGGAGCAAAUUGCAAGGAACGGCAACAUGAGAAUUGAGUUAGACAUGAAAAAAGAUGAGGCGGAGAAUGCAAUGAAUGAAAAAUAUGCAAGAUAAAUUGAGUAUAUAUGCAAACAAGACAUUGGGAAGAAGGAUCGGGAAACCAUAACCAUGGAUACAAGCCAUAUGUUCCUGAAACAAAACAAUUUUGGAAGCUAGAACGAAGGGAUAUUAUGAGAAAAAGACUUUUCCGUGACGAUUGACCUAGCUACACCGAUUGGUUAAAUGAUAAAAACUAUUAAGUUAGUUUGCUUGCCUUUUAUUUAAUUGUAUUGCUUGUUUUGUAUUAAAGUAGUUGUAAUUCUUGUCUUUUAUUUAAUUAAUAGUUUUUUUUAAUUAGUUGUGUUGCUUUUUUUUUUUUUAAGUGAAUAAAGAAAUCAUUCAAUAAAAUACAUUUUUAUUCAACACAUUGUAUACAUCAAACAAAACAUAAUUAUAAUUUUUUUUUUAAAAAAAAAAAAUCACAACCAAAGCAUAAUUCAAAACAAAAUACAAAUAAAACAUACAUCAACACAAAGAAAAAUUAAAAACAAAGCAUCUUCACUUCACUUCAUUCACCGUUAUUACCUCUUACUGCUCAUAAGUGCUCCAUUAAGUCAACUUGACGCCGUUCAUAAAUAUAAGAUGAUUGCAUCUCCGUAUAUUGAUCAAUCAUAUGGUUCAUGACAUGCUCUAGUGGUUGUUCAUUUGCUCCCAUGUGCCUUUCAUAAAUUCUUGUAAAGGUGGUGUUCAUAAGAUCGGGUUCGAACAUGUCUGGAGCAUCAUAAUCAUACUCAUCUUCUAUAAUCAUGUUAUGGAGGAUGAUGCACAUCAUCAUAAUGUUUCGCAACACCUCCUCAUCAAACAUACACGUAACACCCCUAAUAAUUGCCCACCAAACUUAAAAGAUACCAAAACACCUUUCGAUAUCAUUCCUGUAACCCUCUGGACAGACAAAAAAUAAUUUUUAGGCCUGACUAUACUAUUCCACCAUGCACUUGAAUACUGAAGAAGACAAGAAAUAGCAGAGAAGGGAAAGCUGUCAGAGAAAGCUGGCAAGCACUCGCAUCUCUCGAGCAACACAGACCACUAACCAGUCCAUUGAAAAUUGAAACAUCUUUGCAGAGAUUCGCGUUACUCAACAUAAUGACCUUGAAGAAAUCAAAGGCCACGCCCCCUUCACAAACAGCACAAUAACUUUGUUUGUUCACCACACCCAUCUGCUUCCAUCAUACACUUUCCUUUUCUAAUUUUUGGAUAAUCUUUCUGGCUUAAAAACUUGAAGAAUCCGAAAUUAUCUUCGUCUCAUACAUCAAGUCGGGAAACUCCAAUCAGAAAAAGAAAUUCAGGUAGUUUUAUGUUGCAAUACAUGAAUUCUUUUUCUUUAGUUUUUAACGUUUCAUGCUGGAAGGAAGUGAAACAUAUUGAUGUCGUGUUUGUUGCAGUUCCAGUGGGUUAGUAGAAAUUUAAGAGAAGGGUCAGAUUUUGAUUGAUGAUGUUAACCAUUUGUAAGGGCUUUGCUCUUACAUAUGCAACCAACAACCUCCAACUUCCCUUUCAAAAAGAUAUGUUGUUAUUUAUGGCAUCAGGAGAGCGUUUUGGAAUGGGCGGUUUCGGAAAACAAGAGGUACUAUAAGUUUCAACCUUAUGAUUCUUUUUGUUUUGGUUUUCAAAUAAUAAAUAAUUGUUAUAUGAAUAUUGUUAUCUCUAUGGAAUUUUGUUACAUUUUGUUGUAUCUGCGCUUUCAUUUUUUUUUUUUUUUUUGUUUUAUUUUGUUUUGUUUUUCUUUUGAAAAUUUGCACUUCCAAAUUGUCGUUUCAUGCAUUCUGGAAUCUGGAUGACAAUGAAUAUUGAUUUUGAUUUUAAAAAUAUACAUAUAUAUUUAAAUGACUAGUUAUUAAGGCCUAUAUACAAAUCGAGGAGGAGAAAAUAGGGUUUACAUGGACUUGGGUAAGAAUUAUUUUCAAAAUUCAAAAUUGUUUAAACAGACACUGCACUGCAGUUUUCGAAAAAUAUAUACUAACAAAUUGCCAUUCAAUGCUUGCUGUCUUACAUGCAAACCUUUCUAGAGCAUUGAAUGACACAUUGCAGUUUCUGUAUUAUACCUACUGCCUAAUUUCAGACCAAAACUAUAAUAUGCAAUGCACUGAUUACUAUUUCUUUUUCUCUUUUUCUCUUCUUCUUUAAACAGGUUAAUAUUGUUGAAGGGUGGCUAGGAUACAUCAGACCUCAAGCACAAGCGUUCUUAGAAACUAGAAAAAAACAAAAACUUGUGAAGCAAAAGGAAGGGCCCCCUACACCUAUACAGAAAGACUUGUCCCUGAAUGAAGAACUCACUCUCAAUUGGAUUCUGCAAAAUCCAUAUCAGUUUCCAUUUGAGGAUAACACAGAAUUUGCUCAACAAAGUUCAUCUUCGUAAGAAUUGUGUCUACUCAACCAUUCAUCAUAGUUUGAAAUCAUUCAAAACCAAAAACUAAUCUCGUAUUCAUUUGCAGGUUGGAUUGCGGCAUGUUCGGCAUGUUUUACAUGGAUAAAAUAUCCCAAGGAUAGCUCAUUCCAAAAAGUGUAGACAAGAAUUUCAUGAAUGAAUAUCGAGCUAAAUACGUCACAAACCUCCUACACCACGAACACUGUGUAAUUAAUCGUCUCUAGUGAUUUGCCUUUUGUUAACUCAAGACAAUAUGUAUAUUAAUUCUUGUGGAUGUUUGUAAAUUUUUCUAGUUAUGGUAUAUGAGAACAUAUUUCUUACACAUCUAAACUGUAAUAUAAUCUUGGAAUAGGAUACAACAAAACGAAAAGGAAACAACAAACUGCAUUGAAUUUUCUAGUCAAAUACUGCAACAAAUGAAAUCUGCUCAAAAAAUGUGAAAAGAACCCAAAAGCCAAAGUCAUAAUCAAAGUACUAAAACUUUGUUCAAAACACAUUUAAGUAGGUCAGCAGUUGUAACAUUCCAAUAUACUUGCAAAAAUUAUUCUGAAAUCGAAUUAUGAGACAAAAAAAACUGCACUGAAUUUUGUGGUGAAAAACUACAACAAACGGUAGUGCAGUGUAUGCAAAAACAUAUGCUCAAAUCUAAUGUGAAAAGAAACCGAAAGGCAAAGGCAUAAUCGAAGUACUAAAACUAAUAUCAAAACACAUUUAACUCCAUGAGUAGUUGUAACAUUCCCAUAGACUAGCGAAAAUUAUUCUGAAAUUGAAUUAUGGAACAAGAAACUGCACUGCAAUUUUUGGUCAAAAACUGCAACAAACAAACGGAAACUGCAGUGCAAUUUAUGAAACAAAAUUUGCUCAAAACUGAAAACAAGCAUUGAAUGGCAGUUAAAAAUGAAUAUCCACUAAUGAAACAAUUGUAUAAUUUUCAUUAACUUCAAAAAAUAAUCAUAAUAUCCAAUUAGAAUUUGUGUAGCCAAUUAAAAGCAACUAAAAACUACAAGCACCGACUGCAUUUCAAUGGCCUUAUAAAUUCACCAAAAGCUUUGAUCCUCUUCGUUGGUGGUCUUCCGACUGGCCUCUUUGUAAGUGGCUAAAGCACAACUCCAGAUGCAGAACCGUUGUUGCCCAAGCAUUUCCCAAUAUAUGGAAUAGGAAAAAUAGGACUCUCAUUGGCUUUUCGAAAGAAGUCAGACUUGUAGUAACACUCCAUGUAAUCAUAAACUGAAUCUUUCUUUGCUAGAAUUGCAACCACCACAUGGUACAAGGAAAACCAUCAAUUUUCCAAAGACGGCAAGAACAUGUCCUUUGCUCGAGAUCAACCAUCACAGAAUAAUCAACAAAUACUUCAAAAAUAGUGCAACUAGAACGAUGAACUGCCUAAGUCCUACCAGCCUUUGCGUUUUCCCACAGUCUAGUUUCAAUCUCCAGACACAAAAUUGUUGUCCACUUCUCCACUUCAAUUCGUCGUUGAGAAUUCAAUACCAUCAAUUUUUGUCGAAUCCCUUCUAUCAAAGGUAGCAUCGGCAAAUCUCAAAACACACCAACCCAAUUAUUAAAUUACUCGGCUAAAUUGUUUGCCAUCUGCCCAUAACGCAUUCCUUUGAAAAAUGUGUUGGCAUAGCGAUCUCUAGACAAAUCAGAUAUAAAUGCCUUCACUUUCGAACUCUCAACAAUCACCAACUUGUCCGUUGCUACCUUAAACUCUUCCUCCGUUACAGCAUAUGCGCAUAUACUAAAUAAAUUGAUAACAUAGUCUUGGAGCAGUUUCCCAUAACCUGACUUCGGGACUUCGAUAUCAAAUUCUGCUUGAGGUGAUAGUAACAGUAAGAAUGAGGCCAUCCAAGAAACAAAAACCCCAUUGCAUUUAACAAACCUUGAUUGCAAUCCGAGAAAAAGGUCACCACUCUCCCCAUCGGAAGCAAUAUAGCAGCCGAAUGUUGAAGAGACCAAGUCCAAUUCUCCUCUGUCUCAGAAUCAACAACUCCAAAAGCUAGAGGAUAAAACGCUGUAAAACAAAACCAAAAGCACAAGUAUAAGCAACAAACGGAAACUGCAGUGUAGUUUAUGAAAACAAAUUUGCUCAAAUUUGAAAGAAAAUCGAAAGGCAAAUCCAUGAUCAAAGUACUAAAACUAAGUUUAAAACACAUUUAAGUUCAUGAGCAGUUGCAACAUUCCCACAGACUUGCACUUCCAAAACGUAGCGUCAAUAAACAACAAGGGUAUGCAAUAUUGAAAUCCAACAAUGCAACCGCCAAACGACACAAAAAAUCGUCUAAAGUGGUUAAUUCCAGCUUCACAUUCAAGAACGCAGAGAGAACCAGGGUUAGUUCCCUUUACGACAUUUACAUACCACACUAACUCAUUGAAGGACUUCGACUCAUCACCGUGAACGUCCAAUUUAGCUAGCUCUUUGCCAAACCAUGUGUGGUAGUAUGAAAUGUCUAUACCAUAAUAAUUUUUGAACUCAUGUAUAAUCUCAACUAGCUUCAGCUUAGGUUUUGCACGAAUUCUGUCGACAAAGAGAGAGGACACCACACGAGACCUCAUCAUCUUACUUUUUGAUUCCCAUAUCCAACCUGUACAUGUAUGCACUUUAUUUAACGUCCAAAUUACAAAAUAGCUAGUAGCUUCACAACGAGAAGCAUAAACACGCUAGCUACAACCCUCAAAUUUCUUAUUUGAACAAACAGCAAUCACCUGCUUCUUGUCAUUGCUGGCAUAUAAAAAAUUAAAUCCUACUUCAAGAGCAUACUUGCACAAUUUCAACCGAAACUCCUCUGCACCACCGUCAAACUUCUGCCCUACAUGAUGUAUAUACGUCUCCCACUUAUUCGACAACAAAGGCUUAGUACUUGCACUCUUCGACCUGCCCAAAAAUUCAUUUAUGUCUUCGACAGUACUAGAACAUGAUGACUCGCCCUUUUCACAUGCUAUCAACUCCUUAUUUACACAAAAAUCACCACUAUAUUCACUGCUCCUGCAUAAAUCCUUUACUAAAAUAUCCACACUCUUCGAAUUUGAUAUCGACAAUCCUCAUCAUGCCCAAAUCGCUUUCUGUUUCUAGUAAACAACUUGGAUAACCGGGCAGUGAAUACCGUAACAUGAAACUACUCAACUGCAAACCCCUAAACCUUUGACACAAAGUCUUCGAAACUUCAAUCUUGGAUGACUUUGAUGAAAUUGAAAACAUAAUGGUUUCCGACUUACAUGUGCACUUGGCUAUGAUACAAACCUCUAUUAGCCUUGAAAAUGCAAACAAAACAACAACAGAAAACAGAAAACAAUUCAAAUAAGUAAAUAAUGUAGAUGAGCAGUUUCUAGUCAAAAACUGAAAUAAACGAAAACAACAGUGCACUUGAUGAGAAAACAUAUCCUCAAAUUUGAAUAGAAACCAAAAGAAAGCCAUGAACAGUUGUAACAUUGCCAUACACUUCCAAUGAAGUUUAUGAAACUAGAAAUUGCAUUGCAGUUUCUGCUAAAAACUGAAACAAACAUAUGCAUUUUAUGACAUAAAAUCUAAACGAAUUCAAGUCCAUCCGCAAUUGUAACAUUGCCAAACACUUCCAAUGCAAUUUUUGCUAAAACACUGAAACAAACAGAUGCCGUUUAUGACAGAAAUUCAAAAAACUUCGAAUAGAAACCAAAAGGAAACUAAGAUAAAAGUACUAAAACUAAAUUCUAAAAACAAAUAAGUUGAUAUAAACGAAAAUAGGUUUUUAAGUACUCAUACCUCAACACCUAGGACUGCCAAAAAUCCCCGCAAAUAAACAGCAGCUCAAAAUCAAAUAUGAUCGCAAAAUGAAGAAGACAGAGUUUAGCAUUGAAUGCCACAAGAUCGCGCCACAAAAUCGUGCAACAAAACUGAGCUCGAAAUACCUGAACUAAAGAGAACAGAAAUCACCCAAAAUUGACCCUCAUUCCGUAUGCAAAUCGAACGUAAACGUAGUAGAAAAAAGAAAAAAGAAAAAAGAAGAAAAACGAACAAAAACCUACCAACAAAUUGAAGCUCCAAUGGCAAAAUGAGAACCAGAGCUCCAAAACCUCAAAGUCAAAGGAAAACGAAAGAGAAACCAAGACCAAAUCAUUUGUAGUUUAAAUAGCCAGGGGUAAAAGAGUCAUUUAAUUUGUUAGGUUUAAAGAUGAGCCAGGCUUUUUAAGAAGAAUGGUAGAAUUUUCUUUUCCGUUUUUAUUUUUGAGUUCGCCCAACGAAUCUGGGCCUCCUCUUUGGCCUAAUCUAAAAUAGCAAUUCUUUCCUAGGUAUUAAAACCCAAACCAAAAUACCCAAUGUCUCACAUACUAAUUAGUAAAGUUAAUUAUGUCUAAUACCUAAUUUUUCUUUAAAUUUAUAUACACUACUAUUCCUAAUAGCAGUUGCAACCUCAUGCCGAAUUUUGUGAAAGAUCGGGUUCGACUCGUACGGAAAUGGCCAUCGAAGUGGCAAAAUUUUUAGCAUUGAGGUAAAUUAUUUGUACAUAAUUUCCGUUUUUUAAAAUUCAAUGUCCUAAUUUUUUUUAAAAAAUGUUUCUUGCAUUUUGAAUAUAUAUUUGUUAAAUAGUUUAUGUAAGCACAAAUGUGGUUUGAUGCCAUUGGCCAAGGCAAAAAAUCUUUCAACCAUCAAUAAUAUUGGGUGGUGGUGAAAAAUUGUUCGCGAUUCAGAAUUAUUCCCACGGGUCCAACCGUUGUGUUGAACGAAACUCCACUCCAUGAUUCAACGGCAUCAUAUUCGCCUUUGGAUUUCCCGAUGAGUCAAGACUCACCAAUUCAAAAGGAGCCGAGGCCUGUUGGUCGAAUGGCUGUGAAGGCGAAGAGAGGGAGUACUUCCAGCAGUGAUACUGCAAAAUUUUUGGAGCAAAUUGCAAGGAACGACAACAUGAGAAUUGAGUUAGACAUGAAAAAAGAUGUGGACAAGAAGGCAAUGAAUGAAGAAUAUGCAAGAGAAAUGGAGUAUAUAUGCAAACAAGACAUUGAGAAGAAGGAUCGAGAAACCAUGGUCAUGGAUACAAGCCAUAUGUCCCUUGAAACAAAACAAUUUUGGAAGCUAGAACGAAGGGAUGUUAUGAGAAGAAGACUUUUCCGUGACGAUGGACCUACGUACACCGAUUGGGUAAAUGAUCAAAACUAUUAAGUUGGUUUGCUUGCUUUUUAUUUAAUUGUAUUGCUUGUUUUGUAUUAAAGUAGUUGUAAUUCUUGUCUUUUAUUUAAUUAGUAGUUUUUCUUAAUUAGUUGCAUUGAUUUUUUUUUUUUUGAGUGAAUAAAGAAAUCAUUCAAUAAAAUACCAUUUUAUUCAACACAUUGCAUACAUCAAACAAAACAUUAUUAAAAUAAAACCACGACCAAAGCAUAAUUAAAAAAAACACAACCAAAUCAUAAUUCAAAAUAAAACACAAACAAAGCAUACAUCAACACAAAGCAAAAUUAAAGACAAAGUAUCUUCACUUCACUUCAUUCAUCGUCAUUACCUCUCACUGUCCAUAAGUGCUCCAUCAAGUCAACUUGACGUCAUUCAUGAAUGUAAGACGAUUGCAUCUCCGUAUAUCGAUCAAUCAUACAGUUCAUGAAAUGACCGUCCCUAACCAACGGUUCAUGCUCCAAUGGUUGUCCAUUUGCCCCCUUGGGCCUUUCAUAAAUUCUUGUCAAGGCCGUGUUCUUGGGAUUAGGUUUGAACACGUUUGGAGCAUCAUAAUCAUACUCAUCCUCCACAAUCAUGUUAUGGAGGAUGAUGCAUGUCAUCGUAAUGCUCUGCAGCACCUCCUCAUCAAACAUACUCACAGCACCCCUAAUAAUUGCCCACCGAACUUGGAGGAUACCAUAACACCUUUCGAAUCUUUUCUGUAACCCUUUUGAUAGGCAGAAAAUAAUUUUUCCUUCUCCGAUGGAGGAUGUGGAAUUGAUUUGACGAAUGUGGUUCACCUUGGGUAGAUGCCGUCUGCUAAAUAAUACUCAUUCCAUUAGACGGUAUUGUUGAUUUUUUAGGUGAUAUUUGGGGCUUCACCUCCCAAGACAUCAUUGAAUACUGGGGAUUGACCCAACACGUUCAGGUUGUUUUGAGAUUCGGCAACUCCGAAAAAGGCAUUCCAAACCCAUGUAUCGAAUCCAGCAACGGCUUCGAGAAUGAUACUGUUUUGGCCUUUCCUAUUCCCAUAAUCCCCUUGCUAGGCAGUUCGCCAAUUCUUCCAUUACUAGUGCAUACUGUUGAUGCUUCCUAUGAUGCUUGGAAAACCUCGAGCUUUUUUGUAGAAUUCUUUGAAGGUCCCUAUGCGUAGGUUUGCGGAGGUAGUCCCUGAUGUAGACAGUUUCGAUUGUAUCACAGAAUCUGACCAAGGAUUCUAGAGUAAUGGACUUCCCCAUCCUAGAAAUCUCAUCCACUUGAUCAACAAAGGCACAUACACCAACAUUCAUUUAACAACUGUAAGCUUUUGCUUCGAAAGAAGCCCCAAAUCCCCAGCAUCAUCACACUUAUGAAAGAAGUAUGCAUCGUAAUUGCAAACAUCAUGCAUGACUUUAUUGAAAAAAUGGGGUUGCAUUCUAUAUCACCCUCGAAAAUCAACAUUAGAGUGCACAUAAUUUGGGAUAAAGUAGUCUUCCAAAAGAUUCUUACCUCAAGAAUGCCUAUGUCUGUUCACGUUCGAGCCACGACCGACUUGUGAACCACGGUGGCGGCCUUGACUUGAUAUAUCAAGCAUACCCAUUGCCAUGUCAACUUGUUCAUCAUCUUAUUGUUGCACCUUUUUUUCUUCAGCUCAUCUACGCAUUCUUUCUUUAAUUUCUCGCUCUUGCCUCUCCAAGCAUCUCCUCAUGUCUGACAUUGAGAGUGGAGUAUGAAAUCUAAAAUCUGAGAAAUGAAAGGAUAGACAAGAUCUAGUGUGAGAGGUAUGAGUUGAGCCUCUGGUUUUAUAGAUAGAUAUAGAAGAUAGAGAUGACAUGUGGCACGAUUUUAUAGGGUAAAAAUCUUAUCGAAAAUCUAAGAUUUGUAUUUUAUAAUAAAUAUCGACAAAUGGCACCCGAGAAUCUUAUCUUAAAAUAUUAUCUGAAAUUUGAGAUUUGUAUUUUAUAAUAAAUGUCGACACAUGGCGACCGAGAAUCAUAUCCGAAAAUUUUAUCCAAAAAGUUCAUUCAAAUUAUGAGAUAUGAAUUUUAUAAUGAAUAUUGACACUUGAGAACCGAAAAUCUUCUCCAAAUUAAUUUUUUUAGGUUUAAAAAAAACACUAAAAGUGAAUAGUAUUUCCCCUUUGCCAUGGCAAUGAGUGGAAACACACCUUGCCUUUUGCAAGGGCUGCCCCUAAUCACGUGAAUAGUAACAACCCUUACCUCCCCUUGCCCUUUAACAUGGCAAAUAGGUGGAAGUGCUCUAAGCAUACUGAAAGGAAUUAAUUGCCCCCGUUUUACUGUUCUUCACCCCCUUUUUUGUCUUAGAGCACAGUGAAAUGACGAAAUUACCUUUCUUAAAACUUUUGUGUCUUUCCUUUUUUAACCCAUUCCCCUUCGAAUCCCUUCUGCUGCAACUAUUUCAUUUGCUCUGAGAAAGCACUAAUUUCUGACCAGGCUGGUUGGGCUGGUUGGGGUUCAAGAAUGGAAGAUCUUGCUUCAUUGUUGAAGAUCCAUCUAAGACCGUUCAUUUCUGUUUUUGGCACUUGCUGCUAAUCGGACUGUCCUUUUGGUCUUCAUCUGAUCAGUUUUCCUCUAAGCUAUAUUACAUUUGAGUGUUUCAUCUUUCAGUCAGUUCCAGCUAGGCUUCAUCCUUCCUCUCAUACCACCGGGUAUUAAUAUACAAUUAAUGAUAGAUAGGUUAACAAUUAAAUUCCAGAUCAUGCAUAUUUACUACUAAAUCAAUGAUAGAUAGGGUAACAAUGAUAGAUAGGGUUCAUCCUUCCUUUCAUCCAUGAUUAAUUAUUAUUAUGGGUUUAACUCAAAGGGAUUUAUAAGUUUUCUUCAUUUGUUUGAUCUCUCUCAAAUAUUAUUGCUUUUUAUUAAUUUUAAGUUAGAAAAAAAGUUGAGAUUAAAUGGCUCUUAAUCUCUAUCCCAAGCUGAGAUUAAAACUAUAUCCUUUUUGGAAUCCACCAAGUCCUGUACAGUUUAAAAACCCUCUGUAUCGCUCAGGCACCCUCACUAGUAAAGUCUAUAUGGAGGAAUUAAAGUCUAACGUGUAACUAAAAGUCUAGACGCGAAGGCAAUGUAAAAGAAUAAACGGUCCACAAUUGUGCCAAACCUAAUUCAUAAGGCUGUCAUUAGGUUUUAUUACUGCAUAAUUGUCAUUAGGGUAUUCUUUUACAAGAUAAGGUCUUCAAAUCAGUAAGAUAAGGGUUUUUGUGUUGAAAUAUAAAUGUUUUAGCUAAUAUUAUUCUGUAUUUAGUUUAAAUUUACAGAUUUAAAUGUGAGCCCUUGGAUUACGGUCCAAGUGGACAGCUAAGAUGUGAUCUUAGAAUAGAAGAAUGGAUGGCUAGAUUUGGAUGAUGUAAUGUGGGAAUAUUCUGUUCCCAACAGUUAAGUGUGCACAGUGCGUGUGUGAAUUAGAAUGAGAAUUCAUCUACUUCUUCCUCAAGCUCUCUCUCUCUCUCUCUCUCUCUCUCUCUCUCUCUCUCUCUCUCUCUCUCUCUCUCCAAAAUCUAUCAUGGUAUCAGAGCCAUCCUUCAUGAGCACCUCUGUGAGAGUCAUCUUCCCAGCAUCGCUUGAUUCUUCUUUUUCUUUCUUCUUUGCAUCGGAUUCACCAGCUCAUUUCAAAUCUGAGCACUCUACUUCCUCAUUUCGAAUCUGAGCGCUCUACUCCCUUCUCAACAAACUCCCAUAACCCAUGAGAUUUGAAGAUGGUUUUCAUUCUUAUGCUCAGAAUUCAUAGUUCUCACUGUUGAAAAUUGGCGCUCUCAGCUCCCCACCAGACCCUGCCAUGCUACAAUAAGAAACCAGAGAAUUAGAGAAACCAGUGUAGCAGCUCAAGUAUGCUACUCAGGUAGAAUCUACACCCACUAUGUUUUAUGCUAGUAAUAAAUCUAAUACUAGUGUAAAAGAAUAUGAGGAUGUAUGGUAUGUAGAUAGUGGAUGUAGUAAUCAUAUGACAGGUAGGGAGGAUCUACUUGUUGAUAUUGACAAGAAUGUGACUGCAAAGGUUGAAAUGGGUACUGGACAACUUGUUGAAGUUACUAGUAAAGGAAAUCUGGUGGUUGAAACUAAAUUAGGCAAGCAAUACAUUAAGGAAGUUAUGUUGGUGCCUGGACUGAAAGAAAAUUUACUUAGUAUAGGUCAAAUGAUGGAGCAUAGCUACUAUUUGGUGUUUGGAGAUCACAAGCUCGAAAUCUAUGAUGACAGCUCAUAUUCCAACUUGGUUUCAAAAGUACAAAUGAGAGGAAAUCGAAGUUUUCCAAUGAAAUUGCAGUCUGGAAUACACACUGCCUACAAGGCUAGUGUAUGUCACUCUACUACUAUGUGACAUAGGAGAUUGGGGCAUUUGAACAUCAGUAGUUUGAAGUUGAUACAAGAACAAGAGAUGGUGGUAGGUUUACCAGAAAUUCAAGCAGCUAAAGAGGUAUGUGAAGGGUGUGUUCUUGGUAAACAAUGUAGAGAGGCAUUUCCAAGGGAAGCUACUACUAGAGCAUUAACUCCUCUAGAAUUUAUACAUAGUGAUAUUUGUGGUCCAAUGCAGAUUGUUACAAAGGCAGGUAAUAGGUACUUUCUCACCUUUAUAGAUGACUGUACACUACAAGAAAAAUAGCUUUUGACAACAUGCCACUAACAACGUGCGUCUAUUUCACGUUGUGGAAGUAUACUUUUGACAACAUGCACCAAGUGCACGUUGUAGUACGCUACUUAUAACAACGUUCCUUUAAUACGCGUUGUCAAAAUGAAAUUUAGAAAAAAUUUCGCAACGCAAACAUGCGUGUUGUGAUAUCUUUAAGUUCUACAACGUGCAAACCAUGUUGUCAACUUGUUUCAUUUUUUUAAAGGAAAUAUACGCAAAAAUUAUGCGGGAGAACUCCCUCUCUUUCAAAAUAUUAAAACAUUCGAAAGUUUUUUAAAACCCCUCUUUUUUCUGAAUAAUAUUUCACAGCCCCUCUUUCUUUUGCAAAUCACUCUCACACUGCUAAACCUAGGGAAAAAUCCAAUAUCCCAACCUCUUUUGCUCCAUCCCAGCCAUCUCUCUCUCUCUCUCUCUCUCUCUCUCUCUCUCUCUCUCUCUCUCUCUCACUCAUGGAUCCUCUCUUUGCUCAUCAUCCACUGCCUCUGUCAUUGCCAACUUCACAGCCUCUCAAUCUCUUAUCGCCGUCAUCAAAUCCCUCAAUGCUUUGCUCUCUCAUCGCGAACCACUACUUCUUUUGUCUUAGAUCUACAAUUCUUAAGGCCAAUCCUAAUAUUUGUUGUUCUUUGCAGGUAUUGGCCUUCAUCACCGAGCCCACCAGCAUCUUUCCACCACUAACUUGCUCAGCCUCAUUUAGGAAAAAAUUGAGUGGCCUCCAGGUACAAAAUUUUAGUGCGAAGGUUUGAUUUUUGUUGGAUUGUUCAUUUGAUUUUGGUAAUAUAAUAUUUGGGUUUAUAUUACUAUUUGGAUUGUUUGGUUUUGUUCACUGUUUCGAUUUUGUUCACUUAAUAUAUAUAUUUUUAUAAUAUACAUUAAAUAGUGUGUUUAAGGCUCUUCAUGUGCUUAUGAAUGCCUUUUUUCUAUGAUAUAUAUAUAAUUUAUAUUCCCUCAAAAUUUUCUGAGUGGAUAUGCCUUCAAGGAUUAAUUUUAACUUUCAUCAGAUUCCUUCAUAUUACAGGUUUUGAUACUGGUUUUGUGCUGAUUACAUGUGUUGAUUUUGGUUCCCUUUAACAAAUGGGUAAGCUUUCAUCUUUCAAAAGCUGUCCCUUUAAUAGGGGUGAGUUUCGGAUUUUUCCUUCAACUUCUUUUGCAUUUUGUGUGUUAAUUUUGACAUAUGUUUUUGUUGGGUAUCUUGUCUUGGUUAUGAAUAAUUUCAGUUUAGGCCAGAAAACUUGAGUAAGGUUUUUCAGUGCAAACAGAUAUAAGAUCAUAAUAGUCUUCUUGUACAUACUUAUUUUCAAUUGUUUUAUGAAAAUUUCAUGUCUGGCUACAAAGCAAUUUGCAUUUUGUCUUCUAAUUUUUGCCAAUAUUGUAGCUAUGCAAUUUUGUCUUCUAACGAAAUAAUUUGCAUCAUGUAUGAUUGUGAUUAUUGUUUGGCUUAGGAAGAAGAAAAUAGAAGGAAAGGGCGCAUUAAGGGUCCUCCCGUUGGACAGAUAUUGAUGUUAACCUUUCCUGUACGUCUCUGCAUUAAACUUGCUGUAUUAUGAUAAUAUAAGUACAAUAAUUUUUUCCCCUGAUAUGUUGUAUAUUACUCUCUAAACUACCAUAUCUUUGAUUGAGCCUUGAGGGGAUUGAUUGUUAAAGAUCUUUGUUCUCUGUUCUGUUAUGCAUUUUCUCUAAUUUAACUUCCUCUCUUACUAUAGUUCAUCUCAAACUUAGAGAAAGAUAAGAACAUAGUUUAGUUGGUUGGAUUGAGUUAAUGGCUAAUCAUAGGUUACUAGUUUUGCAAACUUUCUAUUCCUAAAUUUGCAAUUUCUUAACUAUUAAAAUUGUCUUGUUUGAUUUUUUUUUGUUCAGAACUUCUGUGCGACCUUAAGAUGGAUAGUAUGGGUGCUUCUUGGAAUGAUAGGUGCACAUUGGUUAGAUAAUAUUCCGCAAUUGGACAAAGGGUUUGAAACACAACUAAUCAGGUUUCUUGAUAAUGCUUUACAAGGAUUUUAAAUUGUAAUUAUACUAUGCAUAGUUCAAUUUCCCUUCAUAUGGAUAAAUGUAAGUUGACAAUGAAUCUUUCUAUGGAGUUAUUUUUUGAAUGAAAACUCUUUAUUAUGGGUUACAUUAUGAUUUUUAUUUUAUCAAAGGUUAUAUUAUGAUUGGGAAGGAAGAAAAUAGUCACACUUAACUAAAGCUUGAAUUUAUGGAUCAACUCUAUUGUUAUAAGGUGAUUAUGAAUAUAAUUUUUUUUUUAUUAUAAAUAUUUAUUAUCACAACGUGCAAAGACUGUUGUUAAAAUUGAAACAACAACAUGUCUAUGAACGUUGUCAAUAAGACAUACAACAACAUGCCGAACACGUUGUUGUCCAUUGAUUCUACAAUGUGUGCACGUUGCCGUUAAUGGCAUGGACAACGAGCACUUAAAUCAACGACCACAUGCAAAGCCUGUUGUCGAAGGGCCUUGACCUUUUAACGACAUCGGCUUCCACAACAUGCGCCGUGUGUUGUCAAUACCCUUCAACAACGCCCAAUGAGCGCUGUGAAAGGACUUUUUUCUUGUAGUGGUACUCGGAUGUGCUGGAUUUAUUUUUUGAGAUACAAGUCUGAAGUAUUCAGUGUAUUUAAGAGGUUUAAGGCUACUGUUGAACUGCAAAGUGGAUAUAAGUUGAGGAAAUUGAGAAGUGACAAAGGAGGAGAGUAUACAUCCAUUGAAUCCAAUAGGUUCUGUGAAGAAAUGGGAUGGAAAGGCAACUCACUGUGGCAUAUUCACCACAGCAAAACGGUGUGGUUGAAAGGAAAAAAAGGACCAUUGUGGAGAGGGCCAAGUGUAUGAUGUUUGAGAAGAAGAUGCCACUAGAAUUUUGGGCUGAAGCUGUUAACACUACAGUAUAUAUCCUAAAUAGGUGUCCAACUAAGGCUUUGGACAAGAAGACUCCUUUUGAAGCCUAUAGUGGUAGAAAGUCAAGAAUUAAGCACUUAAGGAUGUUUGGUUCUUUGUGCUAUGCAUAUGUUCCAAGUCGACAGAGACAGAAGCUAAAUUUGGCUAGCACAAGAUGUGUGUUUCUGGGAUAUGGAAGCUGUGAAAAAGGCUACGGGCUUUACAACCUCGCAUCUGGAAGAGUAGUUAUUUCUAGAGAUGUUGUAUUCAAUGAGGAAGCAGGCUAGAAUUGGAAUAUGCGAAAGGAAUGCAGUAUCUCAGUUCCACUCACUGAUAUGCUUACUGAGAAAGAAAAGGAGACUGGUGCAGCUAGCUUGCCUCAAGUAGAGACCUCAGAAGAAGAACGUGUUGAAAUUGGUUCAGGGCCACAAGAUAUUGAUCACACUCCUCUGAAAUAUAAAAGUAUUGCUGAAAUAUAUGAAAGAUGCAAUCUGUGCAUCAUUGAGCCUGAGACAUUUGAAGAAGCUGUUAAAGAUGAGUCAUGGCAGAAAGCAAUGGAGAAUGAAAUUGCAAUGAUAGAGAAGAACAACACUUGGGAGUUGGUUAAUAGACCAUCUGAUAAACUAGUAAGUGGUGUCAAAUGGGUCUAUAAAACCAAGUUGAAUCUUGAUGGCUCGGUUCAGAAAAAUAAAGCAAGGCUUGUUGCAAAGGGUUACUCUCAAAAGCCUGGAAUAGACUUUAAUGAAACAUUUGCACCUGUUGCUAGGCUUGAUACAAUUAGGACAUUGAUUGCUUUGGCUGCACAGAAAGGCUGGAAGCUGUUUCAACUAGAUGUGAAAUCAGCAUUUUUGAAUGGAGUAUUACAUGAGGAAGUAUAUGUUGAUCAACCCCCUGGAUUCAUUAAGAACAAAGAGGAUAGAGUUUACAGACUCAAGAAGGUAUUAUAUGGCCUUAAGCAAGCUCCAAGAGCUUGGUACAAAGAUAUCAACUCUUAUUUUAUAAAGGCUGGUUUUCAAAGAAGUCCUAGUGAAACAACAUUGUAUGUGAAAUCUGCAGAAAGUGGAAUACUCAUUGUUUCCCUAUAUGUGGAUGACAUUAUUUACACUGGAAGCUCAGGAGAAUUGAUGAUGGGUCAAAACUGAAAUGAUGAAACANNNNNNNNNNNNNNNNNNNNNNNNNNNNNNNNNNNNNNNNNNNNNNNNNNNNNNNNNNNNNNNNNNNNNNNNNNNNNNNNNNNNNNNNNNNNNNNNNNNNNNNNNNNNNNNNNNNNNNNNNNNNNNNNNNNNNNNNNNNNNNNNNNNNNNNNNNNNNNNNNNNNNNNNNNNNNNNNNNNNNNNNNNNNNNNNNNNNNNNNNNNNNNNNNNNNNNNNNNNNNNNNNNNNNNNNNNNNNNNNNNNNNNNNNNNNNNNNNNNNNNNNNNNNNNNNNNNNNNNNNNNNNNNNNNNNNNNNNNNNNNNNNNNNNNNNNNNNNNNNNNNNNNNNNNNNNNNNNNNNNNNNNNNNNNNNNNNNNNNNNNNNNNNNNNNNNNNNNNNNNNNNNNNNNNNNNNNNNNNNNNNNNNNNNNNNNNNNNNNNNNNNNNNNNNNNNNNNNNNNNNNNNNNNNNNNNNNNNNNNNNNNNNNNNNNNNNNNNNNNNNNNNNNNNNNNNNNNNNNNNNNNNNNNNNNNNNNNNNNNNNNNNNNNNNNNNNNNNAAAUGAUGAAACCAAUAUGAGAUGAUUGACCUUGGGUUAUUACAUUAUUUCUGGGUUUAGGUGUGAUACAAACAGAGUCCUACAUCUUCUUGCAUCAGAAGAAAUAUGCAAGGACAUUGCUGGACAAGUUUGGUUUCAAAGAUUACAAAUCACUUGCUACUCCUCUUGCAGUGAAUGAAAAAUUAUCUAAGGUAGAUGGGAGUGAACAAGCUGAUGAAAGUGUGUAUAGGCAGAUAGUUGGAAGUCUGUUAUAUUUGACUGUAACAAGACCGGAUCUCAUGUUUGCAACAAGCCUUUUGGCUAGAUUUAUGCAUGGUCCAACCUGAAAACAUAUGGGAACCACUAAGAGGAUACUCAGAUACAUUCAAGGCACACUUGAUUAUGGCAUAGCAUAUGGGAAAGGGAAAGAAGCAAUGCUUAUUGGCUACUGUGAUAGUGAUUGGUUAGGGAGUGAAGAUGACACGAAAAGCACAUCUGAAUAUGCAUUUAGUCUUGGAUCAAGUGUAUUUUCUUGGGCAUCUGUCAAGCAAAGCAGUGUUGCUUGACAGAUAAACACUUAGAAGGGAGUGUUGAAAUAUAAGUGUUUUAGUUGAUAUUACUUUGUAUUUAGUUUAAAUUUACAAAUUUAAAUGUGAGCCCUUGGAUUACAGUCCAAGUGGACAGCUAAGAUGUAAUCUUAGAAUAGAAGAAUGGAUGGCUAAAUUUGGAUGAUGUAAUGUGGGAAUAUUCUGUUCCCAACAGUUAAGUGUGCACAGUGUGUGCGUGAAUUAGAAUGAGAAUUCAUCUGCUUCUUCCUCAAGCUCUGAUCUCUCCAAAAUCUAACAUUUUGGUCAGUCUGCUUACAAGUUUCAAUUCUUUUUGUUGUUCUAACUAGGUACAACAACAUAAUUUCGACGGAAUCCGAAAAAGCUCCCACUGUAAGAAAGUGGAAAAACGAAGUGGGAAAAAAAGCAAUGCUCCAGAUGUGGGGAUAACAUGGGAUUGCAUCUGCAUCAUCUGGAAGAAGUUGGUGUCAUCUGAGGAGAGGCCUAAGAAUUUAUUUUAUUUUUUGCAAUUUUGAGAGAUGAGAAUGAAGCCCCCGUGGACCAAUAAAAAAUCAUGUAUUUUUCAGAGAUGGGAUUUGUACGGUUGUACAAUUCUUUUGAUUCCACUUUAUAGUGUGCAUGUGAAUGACUAUUUAAUAUACUUAUCUCAGCUUCCCUAUUUUCCGUUUAAAGUUAUUCAUAAAUCAUUUCUAUUCAAUUUCAGUUCUCUAAUCAGGUUUCGAAUUGGCUAUUUAAUACAUGUUGGUAAACAUUUGUACUGAACAAUUUCACUAAUUAGCUGGAGCCAAGUCGUGGCUCCGCUCUUUGUUAUAAUAUUAUUUUGUACUCGGUAACAAUUUCAGUAAGUUGAAGUCGUCUUUUUUGCAAUAUAAUUUGAAGUUGCUGAAGAGAGAGUCUCAACAGUCGACUAUGUAGAAGAGAAAAAAAAAGAGAGAAACUGAAGAGAGUUGCCACACCUUCAAGUACUGGAAGAUUUAUUUAUUUAUUUGAAACAAGUGAAUCGAGUUUGUAGCCCCAACUAAUAUCCAUUUUACAAACAUUUUAUUAGUGUUGACAUUCAGUAAUAGUCAAACCCAGUCUACCAAUAAGAGAUCAACAUGUGGACUCUAACCACGAGAGAUCAACUAACGGCUCGGUCAAAUGUCGACCACACCCCAUGAGAGGGGUGGCCCCUAGAAUUUUCCUCAGGCGGCCCUGUGCACCGCUUUUCAUUAGAGCAUGUUUAGCGCUGCUGGUUUGCUCGGGCAAGAGGGAGUCUAGGCCCAGCUUUUGUCUCCAACGCACAAAGGCAAGACCAGGCAAUUGAUGGGGGCCACAAGCCUGGGCAGGCCCAAAGCCAAAUCUUGCUUGAGUUUGCUAACGUCGUUGAUGACGUCAGCAACUAAAAUUUUUUUUAAAAAAAUCAAAAUUUUAAAUACCUAGUCUUAUUUUUCACUUCUUAUGCCAAAAUUAAUGGUUUAAGUGUAAAAAAUAUAAAAUAAAUUAAAAUGAAUAGUAAUUGCCCUUGCCCUUGCCAUUUGGGGUGGAACUAAAAAAGGCAAGUCUAUUAAAAUGAAUAGUGAUUGCCCUUGCCCUUGCCAUUUGGGGUGGAACUAAAAAAGGCAAAGCUGCCACUAUUCACGUGAAUAGUGGCAGCCCUUGCCUUGCCUUAGCCUUUUGGGUUGAAUUUGCUCUUAGAAGAGAGAAAAUGGGGGAGGAGAGAGCAAAACACACCCCCCCUCCCUCCCUAAAAAUCUGAAUUUUUUAAAAUUACAAAAUUGCCCUUAACUACCGUAGAUCAUAACUCCUUUGUUUUAACUCAUAUUCGAGCCCAACAUGAUAGGACCCACCCUAGAUUCUCCCUCAGAACCCAUGACGAACCCUGCUUCUUGUCCGACAUCCCACUUUAUUAAAAGUCAUUUAGCCCUAAUUUAAACUGAUCGACUAUUCGACUUCUACUAAAAUUUCGAUAGAGUCCCCACUGUAACUGGAAUAUUUCCUAAUUUAUAGUACCUGCAAACAAAUGCAAGAAUAAACCUAACUUCUAGCAUGCACAAAGUGAAGUCACGCAAAACAGUUAAGAUCAUGCCUUCUACCCAAACUCAAAACGAGCAAGCAGAGCUACUAAAAAUUAAGUUUACAACCUGGGGAAAAAUAAAAUGUACAGAGUGAUAGUAGCACACUACUAUGGAGCGGAUAACGAUGAUGCCUCGACGACGUGGUCUCAACCUCAGCUAUCUAGAACCUGGGGGGGCGCAAAACAAAAAAUGUGAGUAGACGAAAACAAGCGUUAAACAUCAUUUAUAUUCAACAUAAAUAACCCCUCCGUUUUAGAAAAUAAUGUAAACUUGUUAAUUUAUUCCUUAUUGUAAAACCAUAAAUUCAACACCACUAAAGUAAACCCAUUAGUAUAAAAUAUAAUCAUCAAAACCCAAAAUUCUUUUUCCAGCAACCAUACCCUUGUAAAAAUACAAUAAGCCAAGUAAUUUCCAAAUAUCCCAUCUCAAUUCCGAAAUUCAUUUCAAAUGUUCAUUCCUGUGCAAAGUAUUCUCAAUGCACAUGCCCAAGAAACCUCAACAUGGAAAUAAAUUCACAUAUACCCAUAUAAAUGUGUGUGUGUGUGUGUGUGUGUAUAUAUAUAUAUACACGCACAAACAUUCACCAUAACAAGAUAUGUACCAGGGGAAACAAUCCAACUCGGGGACUGUUUGUUCUCAACCACAUGUCGGGAUUCUGCAUCAUACAUGUGUAAGGAUGAGUAGUCCAACCAGGGGACUUUUGCUCCCCAACACACACAUGGGGACCUGCAUUGUACGUGUAGCUGAAUCCAAUCAUACGCGUAGACUAACAUCCUCACAUACCUCCCAAAAAGUAUAUGUGUGCCCUGAUGGGUCCCAAAGACCAACUUUAAUUCUUUUCCAUCAUCCUUUUCAUAUCGAACCAGGGGAAGGUACAACAAAUGGUGUGUAGCCACAUAAAUCCCAUAUCCCAAAAUAUAUCAAAAUCCAUAUACUUUAAUAAUAAUAAUAAAAUAAUAAUCCCUAGAAAUCCCAUAUCACAAUGUAAAAGCCAAGACUAGCCUGAUAAUAUAAUCCCAUAAUCUCAAUUAACCCAAAAUAACCAAUUUUCCAAUCAAAUCAAAUUUAUGCAAGCAAUUCCAUGUUUGAAAAACAAUGUUCAUUUAAAAAUAUAUGUCCACUCACAACAAGUCCAAUGCUGCUGAAUUCUGAGAGGACUCUUCCUCUGGAGUAUGCGAAGUGUGGUACCUAUUCGAGAGAAUACACGGACUUAAUUACCAAACGUACCUAACAAUGAACUUUAACUCAAAACUCCAGUUCCCAAGUCUCGAAGUGUGCACAACCUUUAUGAAGGUUUACAAGGUCAUUCUAGUACUUCAUGAAGGAUAAGACAGUCCUGGAAGACUCAUGGUCAACCGAGCAGUCAAACUUUCCAUAUUGGUCAAUCGGGCCAGCGAGGCUCACAAGGCCCACGACCUCCGAUUUCUGAUCCGAAAGUUUCUACACAGUCCUAGAGGUACCAGGAACAACAUAGUUAAAAUUGGAACCGAUCGAACGGUCCGAACCUAUCGAAUCUGGAUAUCGCAUAAUAGGUGCAAUAUCCAUUCAAUAGUCAAACGACAACCAAUUCCAAUUUCGAGCAUAGAGUCGUGCUCAGGACGACAUGGGGAGUAUUUUAGGACAUAAUGGGCCGACACACAGUGGCCCACGCAUCGCCAACCACUGCGGGCAGCGUGUGGGUGUCUUGAGAAUUUCACGUUUCAAUAAUUAAUAAAAGUAAAAGAAAAUUGAACCAAACAAAUUAAGAAAGUCCCAUCUUCUAUUUCUUCACUUUCUCCGUCUAAACAACUCAGGUCUCAUAGAAAACCUUUUUUCUUUUUUUCUUUUUUUAUCAUUAUCAAAGCUGCACCGGUUUGUUGGGUCACAAUCUCUAGAUCCUCUCAAUUCUCUGAUAAAUUUUCUGGUCUUUUUCGGCAAGGCUUAUGGUCUCUACGGAGGUUGAAGACAAAAAUUUCAGGGAGGCAAAAACAAAGCAUUGAAAUAGAGGGACAAAAAGUUCUCAAUCUACAUGUGAAAUCUGCUAUUCCACCAAAGAAUUGUGAUGAUGUGGAAAGAGAAAGUGAAAAGAGUUCGUGUUGGUUUUGAUCGAAGUUGGUCCUAAUUUUUUCUGAGUCCGAGGAGAUGGGUGUUGUUCAUGGUGAUUUUCUCGGUUGUGAAGAGGGAGAGCUAGCGUAGCUGGGACGCAUUUCAGUGUGUUUAGAAAACACUGAAAUCAGGGGCGGAGCUAAAAUUGUAAAAGUGGAGGGGCCGAAGUAGAAAAUACAAGUAUAUAAAACACCUAAGUAUUCAAUACUUACAUGUUUAGAAUUAAAUAUUUCUAAUUGUGCCAUGUCUAAUUUGUUUUAGAGGAAAUUUUAACUUAAAUUUUAAGUUGUUUAUUACAAAUUCUAUAUAUCAUAUAUAAUAUAAUAAAGGUGUGAUAAAAAUAUAAGGGGGCCAGGGCCACUCCAGGUCUAGGAGUGGCUCCGCCACUGACUGAAAUAAGACUAGGUAUUUUAGGAAUAAUGGUGGGUGGAAAAAUAAGAUUGUAUUUUUUAAAAUUUAUAUUGUGGGUGAAAAUAUAAAGUGGAUGGAAAAAUAAAGCAGGUUGGUGGAAAUAGCAGCCCUCAUAAUUAAUAAUUCAAGUUACAAAAAUAAAUCAUAUAUCAAUAAUCCCCAAGAGUUUUCACCCAAACUCUAAAUCAUAAAAACUUAACAACAACAAUUAAAAUUAGAAAUUGAAUAAAAAAAGAGAAAAACCUACCAAGAUUGAAGAACCCACUGAAGAUAGGUUGGUACAAUUUUUUUGAGGGAGAGAGCUAUUUCUUCUUAGGCUCUCAAGGUUCAAAUAUAGUGUUUUGGGUGGCUAAAAGAAAAAUUCUAAUAUUUGCUUCUAAUCAAAUUUAUAUAGAUUAUGAAUUGCAUGUUUAAUAUUUCUUAUAUGCUUCAAGAAUGGGCUUAUUUCUACAUAGAGGACUAGGCUUAUUUUAAAUAGAGGGCUGACUAUUAUUUACUUUACCUAGAUUUCGCUUAUACCACUAAGCCUUAAAAAAAAAAAAACAAAACAAAAACAAAAACAAAAACCAAAACAAAAUCUCCGAGAGAUGUAAGUUGGGGAAGCAAAUAGUGUUGGGGAAAAGUAUUUUUGACUCUUAAUUUCUUUUGUAUAUUUAAUAGCCAAAAUGUUAGUUAACUUAGAAAUUUGACUCUCUUAAUUUCUUUAUUUUCUUCAAAGAAUUGACUAAACAAAGAAUCAUACAUUUGAGUUUGCUUUUGGGGCUUCCGCAUUAAAAGCUUAAAGAGUACGAUCCUACUAAUGGUUUAGAAUUAAAUGAAUUAGCUUACCUAAGCCGACUCCCUAAUACUUGUCAAAUCACACCCCAACCUUGAGUUUUGAUUGAGCUUGACUAUAAAGUAUUUUACCCGAGCAACAUAUAAGAAAGGGUAUCGUGUAUUGAUGGGGUCGACUUCUAUUAGAGAGGUGGUACACUAUAAAAAUGUGAUAUGCCUAGUAUUUUUCUAUAAGAAGGGACACUACAUGUUGGAGGCCACAUAAGUCCUUGUGAUUAUUCAGGCUGGAGAUUAUCAAAGAUAAACCUCUAAUAUUACCUUCAACUGGAUUACAGAGGUAUAUAGUUUGAUAUAUAAAUUAUUCUAAUCAAAUAUCACAAAAACAAAAUGCAAGAACAAUUUUAUUCGUUAAACAAUUAUACAUUACGGAUAAACCUCAAUGGGCUUAAACAUGAAUAUUACAAGCGUAUAUGUAAAUUAUUCCAAACCAAUACAAGCCGGAGAGGAGAAUAUCAAGGAUAAACCUCAAUUAGAUAUCUUAAACCGCAAAUGGGAGUUAUCUUAUAGUCACUGAAACCUGCAUCAGAAAAUAGCUUAGCCCAUUCUUUCUCAGUCCUUUCUUUUCCUGUAACCAACACCAUCAUCAACAUAUCGAAGAAGAGCUGCGUCUCAAUUGAUUGGUCAUCUCCCUUCUGCUUCAUUACCAUGUCAAUGAUAAUCACCUUGCCUUUCUUUUCCUUCCUUGUAAUUGCCUCUUUAGAUCGCUGAAGUAUUUUUAUACAUUCUUCAUCGGACCAGUCAUGCAAUAUCCACUGCUAGUCAUGAGCAGUCACCAUUCAUAAGAGACGGAUAUACAAAUAGAGAAUUUCGAUCUUAAACAAUUAUUAAGAUAUAUAAUAAACAGUCCCGAUCUCUUGGACCACAAGAGUCCAAGAGAUUGUGGUCACCCACCGUUGGAUAUUAAUCCAAUGGUUCAAAAUGAUAUAUAUAAAUGCAAUAUGACAUAAAUGAUUAUUACCCGAUUCAAGUCAACCGUUGAAUUUACAUCCAACGGUGGGUGACCAUAAAUCUCUUGGACUACAGGGGUCCAAGAGAUCAGGACUGAUAUAAUAAAAAUGAUACUAGUCGGUGCUAUAAUAAAAAUGGAAUAUGUACAUAAAAUUUGAAGAUAAGAACGAAAACAAAGCAAAAGGAAAGGGUAUAAACAAAAAACAUGUAGUUAAGGGAAAUAGCAUACGUGUUAAAAAUAAGGCCAAUCGUAUGUUUGUUGGGAAACAUUAUCUAUGCUAUGUGUUCAAUUUCUUUGCUUCUUCAAAUAAUUCAAAUUAUUAGCUUCACAAGUUUGAAGGGGAAAUGUCCCAAUGUUAACUAAUUUCUUAGCUUAAAAUAUCUGCAGCAGGAGGGUAAAAUUUAAAAGGUUUAAUGAGUGGUCCUUGUUACUUGCAUGCAUGUAAUUAUCUAAAGCAACCUUAAAAUCACAUAGCACCGACUAGUAUCACAUAGCACCGACUAGUAACAUAAUCUCCGAGAUGUACGUACCUUCAUUAAAAUUGCAUCUGUGUGAGGAAUGGCCUCAAACAUGUCCCCUCCAAAAAAUUUCAAGUUCUUACUCCCUUUUAGGUCAGCGACCACAUGUGGGAGAUCAAAUACAAUGCAUUCCACAUGGGGAAAUACAUCAGCAAUGGCCUUGGCCAUGGUUCCUAUACCACCCCCAACAUCAACCAAGGACUCCAAUCCCUCAAACACCCCCUUGUACUCAUUACUCACCACCUUCGAGAUUAGUCGAGCAUCACUAGCCAUGGAAUCAUUGAAAAUGUGGGAAAGACUUGGCUCGAGGUACCCGAAAUCCCAAAAUGUUGUCCCAUGCGCCGUGAAACAUGCUGUAGGGUCAUUAUUUUGGAACCAAGUGCUAAAGUAAUGCCAUGGUUUGGUCAUAAAAGGAUCAAGCUGGCCAAGUAAGAAGGGUCUUGCGCUUAAGGGAUCGUCCUUAAGAAGGAGCCUGGAAGCAUCCGUCAGCACAUAACCUUCUUCCUCAUCAAGUUCACUAAGCUUUUGGCGACCGAAGAAGCCCGAGUGCACUAAGAUUCGCAUGAGCCGGUAGACACAAUUGGAUUUUGUUGGGUGGAUUGGCAAUGCAGAUAUAAGCUCAGAAAGGCUCAUGGGAUUGCCAUGUUUCUUUAUGAUGUCUGGUAUACCUAGUUGAACUGCACAUUUGAGAGACAAAGGGUUUAUGAAACUGAAAAUGCAAUUCCAAAUGUGGGCUUGAGCUUGGAGUAGGUUGGCAGAACUCAUUUCGUUACUCAAAUCCAUGUAUUUGGCUCCAGAUUAACUAGUGCGGGAUAGCAUGGCUAGUUAGGAAUAAUAUAUCCAAGUGUUUAUGGGUCGAAUGUACAUGAAUAAUAUAACAAAUAUUAGGCUAGUUAGGAAGAGGUUUGUAGUUUAAAUGAUUAAGAAUAUUUACUAGCACCUGAGUUCCUAGGUUCGAUUCGCCCCAUCCUCACAACAUCUUCUAUAAAAAUAAAAAAAAUUGUUAGCCUGGUUAGAACUUCACAAUAUUAUGGGUCAGAAAUUGAGGGAUGGCGACAUGUCCCAAACUGGAAGAACGACAUGAUGUAGCACGAUCUUAGUCAUGCAAACCAAUAUUGGCAAUCGAGCAGAAAUGGCAAUGGAAGCCAUGUGCCUUAUCUCUUUCUAGGCCUACCAUUUGGUUUUGGUCAGAAAUUGAACCGACUAAUCACUCCAAUUGUUUUGGUAUUGGGAACCAAUUUUAGUGAUGCACACUGGCUAUUUGCAAUGGAGCAUUAAAAUGACAAUGGAAGUCAUGUGCCUUAUAUCUUUCUAGGCCUACUAUAUAUUUUCUUUUGAACAGAAAUUGAACAGACUAAUAACUCCAAUUGUUUUGGUUUUGGGAUGUCGACAUGUUCCGAACCCAAAGAGCGAUGUAGCACAAUCUUAUUGAUGCACACUAGCUAUUUGCAAUGGAGCAUAAAUGCAGAUGGAAGACAUGUGACUUGUCUCUUUCUAGGCCUACUAUUUGGUUUUGCUCAGAAAUUGAACUGACUAAUAACUCAAAUUGUUUUGGCUUCACAUGUGGACCAUUAUGUGGUGUUUCCACAUGAGGGGUCGUGUUGAACAAUAUAAAGUCUCACAUCAAAAUGUUCACACAACAUAUAAGUGGUUCCACUACUAAUACACCUACUGAAUAUGAAGGUGAUUAAGUUGGGGACAAUACUGAUAUAUGUUGCUAGUAGUGGACCACUAGCAUGCCGCUCUUAAAUUUAUCAUAUAUUAUUUAUAUAUUAUAUAAUAUAUAUCUAGAAAAUGUCCUCAUGUGAAAUAAAAAUAAGUUACCCAUCCCUUUUUACAUAUCUGAUACGUAAAUUAUAUGCACAAUAUUCAAAUAAGUACAAAGUCUAUAAAAAAAGGGAGAUAUUUAGUCAUACACCCAUUCUUAGCACUAAUGAUAUAGAUAAAUCCUAUACCAUUUAAUUACUAUAAACAAACGAAAAAAAACCCAAAAAUGACACAUUUGAUUAUUAAAUUACUUUGAUGCCUUAUUGAGUGUUUUGAGUUUUUUUAUGAAAUUUUUGGUUAGUCUUGUUUUAAGAAAUUGAUGGCAAUUUUGUAAUUUAUAAUAAGUUAAAAGCCUCUUUGUUAUGUUGUAAAUGAGCUUUGAGUGUGUUUCUAAAGUCUAUUUCAUAUUCGGAUUUUUUUUAUAAUUUAGGCCAUAUUUUAAGUAUAAUAAUGAAAUCCCCGAAAAAAAUUUGGUACACCAACGUAUAGAUUGAAAAAUUAGUUUCACAAACAUAUAUAACUACAAUUUGGGGGUAGUGCUCGAGCUUUGUGCAUUAUACAUGCACGAAACUCCAAAUGAAAAUAACAUUUUUAUUUCUUUGCUAAGUAGGUUUUUAUUUCGUGAAAAAAAGGUAAAUGAUUUUUUAUACUUAUAGUGCUCUCAACCCUAAGAGAAAUAUCACUAAAUUAAUUAUUAGUUGGUAUCUGUAUAUUUUACGUAGGUACACUAACUUGUAUAUAGAUACCACCCAAAAAAUAUAUAUAUUAUAUAGAUAGAUAAUAAUUUUUGACACUAUAGAUAAGUACAGGGUGUGGCGCUCAAGCCAUUAUACAUGUCUGCAUUUCCAAAUAAAAAAAUAAUCACUACUACAAAAAUUGAAAUAGACGACGGGAAACCACCGUCAUCUAGAAGGUUUUUCAACCGUAGUGAAAUCGAUCACCAUCUUUUGUACAAAAAACGACGAUGGUUAAUACUCGAUGUCGUUAAGGCAUUCAACGUUCAGAUUUAUUACGAACCGAUGUGUAAUUACUAUAUAAUUAGCCUAAAAUGAAAUCUUCGACAACAUUAGAUGACCGUUUUAUGAAAAUUGAGACGUCUAAAGAGUGUUACAUGUUAAGAUCAAAAGAAGAACCGACGUACAGAUAAUUAUCCAUGUCCCAAAAUGAAGGAAAAAAGACUUGGAUAAGAUAGAAACCGUCGUGGUUAAUUUAUACUACGUUAAACAAACAAAGAAACCAACGUCUACAACAUAAACAAUGACGUGCACACAAACCAAUAGACAUUUAAAGAGUAUUACAUGUCAUUUGUCUCUCAAUAACUGUCGUAACAUGCCAUAACCACAUCCUGCACCUGGCAUCACCGACGCUUAUGUAAUUAUCCAUGUUGCGAAAUAUAAUAAAAACCGACGUGUUAAGUUUAUCCCACGUUUGUGUCUUGCGAGAAUCGUUGUUUAAAUUGUACAAAGAAGGCCCUUUGACAGAGUUAGACGUCACUUUUUCUGAAUAACCGACGUUUAAAAGAUUUAAAAUUACAUAAUAUUACUCAAUAUCGACGUGCAAAAUUGUAACCAUGUCAGUUUUUGUCAAAGGAUGACGUUAUAAAUAAUAUUGAAGGUGUGGAUUGGAAAACAACCAACGUAGAUUAUGUAUUCAAUGACCGUGGCAUUAAAAUAAAGAAAGUGGUUUAUUAUUUCACUACGUCUAGAGAUCCACCUGCUUGACGUUGUAAUUGCUUACCACGUCGGUUUUGAUUACAUAAUGUCGUGGUUAUCCUUUCGAAAGUCGCUCAUUUGACCUUCCUUGACGUAUGUAUGCUCGGAGACGUCAGUUGUUUUAGACUAGCCGACGUGCAGAACAUCUGUCACGAUAGUUAAUGGAACUGCAUGGCCUUUAUUUCGGGCUUUAGACGACGGUUUAUUUUAAGCAAACCGACUUCAUUUCUUUUUCAGAUGUAUGUUUUUUUGUUUUACGGUCUUUUGCCUUUUUAAAAUCUGACUUUGUUUUUAUUUUAGACGUCUGUGUUUCCAAUUUUUUUACUGGACCGUCGUACUUUGCAGCUUUAACCCAGCUUUUUUAAUUUUUGAUUUGUCGUGCCCAAAGCCUGCAUAAUCAAAAUGUGAUCAGAAUUAAAAUGAUGUACAGAAUUAUUAAUUAAUAUCAUAAAAUUAACUGAAUAAUUAAUGUCAUACAUUACAACAAUCAAUCAAUCCAUAUAUCUUCACACCCAUCUCUAAUAUUUUCAUUCCCAAACUCACCCACUAGGUCAUCAAAUAUGUCAACAUUUGGUAUCCCCUCUAGUAACUGGCUCACACUCAAUUCUAGUAUCACCUAGCACAUCAUCACCAAUAACAUCAUUAUAUUCUGUAUUAGGCAUUAAUAACACUACCGACAAACCACGAUGCAUUGGGUUGUCAACAUAAAAUACUUGUUUGACUUGAGAAGCCAUAACAAAUUGGUCAUUCCUAUGUCCAAUGUUACUCAGAUCUACAAGGGUAAAUCCAAGUUCGUCAACUACAAGGCCCGAAGUGUUAUCACUACUACAAAAAGUGAAAAAGACGACCAGAAAACAACGACGGUCUAAGUGAAAACCGUCGUGGUUUUUAAAAAGACGACGGUUCUAAAAACACCGUCGUGUAAUACCACCUUAGACAACUAAAAAUGGAGAUUCAAAUGGCUGUUCAAAAACAACGACGUACCUAAUUAAAAAACCGACGUCUAUUUGAAACAGAUUUCCGCAGUGUAAAAUCAAAGCCAACAAAGAACGGCAGAAGUUAUGAAUCGACCGACGUAGAAAGUAAAGACGACGAUUUCAAUAAAAGCCGCCGUUUUUACUCAUAAAAUAACACGACGAAAUUUUCGUAUAAGACGCCGUAUAAUUACAAACAAAUCGACGGCUUUAAAAUACAAAAUGUCGCCGUAUUAAAUUAAUGUACAACGACGGAAAAUAUAAAUAUAUCGACGUCAUUCUCGUAUAGUUCUACGACGUUAUCUUUAAAUCGUACUAUAAAAUUUAACGUCGUAUUUAUUAAUUUUAUACGUCGUACCUUUAAUUUAAACCGUCGUCUUAAUAAGAAUUUUUGUUAACAAUUUUUUCCUUUAUUUUCUUAUCCUACGUCGGUAGAUCUACUUAAUGACAAGAAUUGAAAUCUGUCAUCCAAAAAAGAAACUUUACAUAAUCUAGAACAUUAAUUUCCUUCAUUUUAAAUUUCCUUAGGAAAAAAAACUCUAUUUAUAAAGCACUGUAAUUGAAAAAUAAACUGAAAGGUCACGGGAAAAAAAUUUCUAUUCAUAAUUUAACAAUUCAAAUCCACGUCGGUUAUAUUAAACCUAACGACGUAAAUGAAAAGAUUCCACGUCGCAAAACAAAUAUUGCGUCGUGUUAGUUUAUGGUUUCUUUAAUAGUUUCAGUUUCUUUAACAGUUUGGUCCUUUAUCUUUCUGCAGGACUUGUAUAGUUCAAAGCAUUGACUUGUAUAGUUCAGAGUAUAGUUCAAAGCACUGAUUCGAUUGCUCAUGCUUUAUCGCAUUCAUGAAACCCAUCUUCUUCUUCUGAAGCUCUACGGAUAAAGGAAGAGGCUAUCACAAAUCUGACGGAUCUUCUUAGCCAAGAAAAUCAAGCAGAGGAUCAGGCACAUCUGAUCUUCAGAUUUCCCUGAGAAGCGAACUUUCCUUCGACAGCGAGUGGAGGCCAGGCUUGCAUCUCUUUUAAUGGAAAGCAAGGAGUAUUCAGAAGCACUAAAUGUCCUAUCAGGCUUGAUCAAGGAAGUGAGAAGGCUAGUUGACAAGCUUCUUCUUGUGAACAUAGAUUUGAUGCGAGUAAGCUCAAUUUCUCUUUGAGAAAGACAUCCAAAUUACUGUCUUUGAGAUGUGAGAGACAGUGUCUCUGAGAGAGGAAGAACUUGGAACCCUAAAUGUAAACCGAAAAUGAAUGAAAGCGACAAAUUUAUAGAAUAAAUUUUUAAAACCAACGGCAGUCCUUACAAAAAAACCGCCGUUUAAAUUGCAAAAUCAACGUCGUUAUUACCGACGUAUAUUACAUAAAUCCACGUCGGUAAAUUAAUAAAACCGACGUGUUAAAUGAUCUACCAUGACGCGAGUUAUUACUUAUGUACUUUAAUUUUUGAGUUUACUACGACGGUACCUACAACACUACUGUCGUACUUAUUUACCACGUCCGAAGUUAAACGUACUGUCGUAUUUUGUAAUUUAUACGUCGUAAUUAUAUGUAACCGCCGUAUUAUUUUUUGAAAUGGUUUUAUAUGUAAGCAACUUUUCGUGUACCUGACUUACACAUGCACUGUUUCCAAACCCGAUUAAAAAUUUCAAUCUCCCAGAGAAAACUUUUAGACUUUUUUCCUUGUCAGAGCACUUUCAGAGUAUCUCAUCGUCUUCCUCUCGUCUUCUUCGUCGUCUCUGAACUUAAACAUCGAUCGUCUUUCUCUUGCUUUCAUUGCACGCAAAAGGUAAGCUUUCAUUUUCACUAUUUUGGUUGCUGUUUUGCAUGCUCAUACGUUUUUUGUUUGAAAAAUCUUUUUACCUUUUUUCUGGCCAAAAUCAUUUUACUUCUUUCCAAGUUCGAAAAAAUAUACAGACAAAGAGGGAAAGUUUCCAACUUUGAAGACAACUACCUCAACUAAAUAAGACGACGGUAGCUUCUUAUUUACGUGGUUAAAUAUGUAGACCACGACGGUUCGUCAGUCGUUCUAGCGUCGUCUGAAAAUUGACAAAGUUGUUUUUAAAAUUAUAGUCUUUUUUUUAUUUGCUUGUUUAAUUGCAGGUUUGAUUUCUCUGAACAAUGGUUUUUGUUUUUCCCUAAUUUGAUAAAAUAUAAAGAAAAAGAAAUUAGGGUUGGUAUCUAAUAUAGACGACAGUAUCUUAUUGUUUUACGUCGUGUGAAUGUUAAUACCACGACGUCAUAUUAAAAUACCGUCGUCUAUAUAAGAUUCCAAAAAUUUCUUUCUUGGCCUUGUAUUUUAUCAAAUUAGAAAACAAAAACCAUGGUUCAGAAAAAUCAAAUCUGCAAUCAAACAUUCACAGAGAAAGAAAGAAGGGUUUUGGAUCCUUAUAUAGACGACGGUAUAUUACUACUGACGUCGUGUGAACAUCAAUACCACGACGUUAUAUAAAUAUUCCGUCGUUUAUAGUUUAUUAUUACGUCGUUUGUAGUUAAUUAUUUCGUCGUUGUUUAAUUACCUUGGUUUUAAACAUUUAUUACGUCUGAUAUUAUUUCAUUGCGUCGUUUAAAAUCAUAUCAUACGUCGUCUUUUAUUAAUAACCGUCGUUUGUGUUCUUAAUCUUUUCUUGAAAUAUUUUCACUUGCAGUUUUGUCUGUAAAAAUGGUUUCUCACCAAGACCAAAGUAAGGAUUCUGGCUCCAACAAAAAUGGAGGUAAGGAGCAAGUACCUCCUCAAGAGAAGUCUUCGAAGAUAAUGAAGUCUUCGAAGAAGAUGAAGUUUGCUUCAUCAUCUGCUGAUACAGAACCAACCAGCGCGACAACAAUCUCUAAUGAUUCAAAGGCUGGUCGAGGUAUGAGCACAAUGCCUCGUGUUGUGAAGAGAAAACUUCAGAAACUGAGGCCAAUUGUUGAGUACAAUAAAAGGGGGAAAGGAAUUGGCCAAGCACACAGUGAGAUGCAGUCCUAUAUUGGUGUGUUGGCACGCUCCAGAGUCCCACUUGUGGACUUGAAAUGGGCUCAAAAACCCAAGGAUAUAAAGGAGCAGAUUUGGGAAGCAGUUGACAUUGCUUUUGUAGUAGGUCAAGGGGGCAAGAGCUCUGUCUUAGCUUCUGCUGCCAAGAAAUGGAAGGAUUUCAAGUCUACACUAACGAGGCAUUAUAUCCUUCCAUACACCAAUGACAGGGAGAGAUUAAGCCAACCCCCUGAAACAUAUAAAUUCAUAGAGAAAGCACAAUGGGAUGCCUUUGUAGCUUCAAGGCUAUCCAAAGAUUUUGAGUCUGUGCAUUCUCAACAUGCACAGAUUAGGGAGAAACUCGAGUACAAUCAUCGAUUGUCUCGAAAAGGAUAUGCUGGUUUGGAGGAUCAAUUAGAGGAAACCAUGCCUGGGGUAGAAAUUGAUCGAUCUACCUUAUGGAAGAGAGCUAGACAGGACAAACAUGGUAACAUCCCUGAUCCAAAGGUGGCAGAGAAAGCAAAAAUUAAUUGUAAGCCUACUCACUCUGUUUUAAAUUUUUAUUAAACUGUGAAUAAUUCUUAUUACGUCUUAUGUUAUAUUUUGCGUCGUGUGAAUGAUAUUACCACGUCGACAUUUUUUAAAACACGUCGUUAAAGGUCUAAAUAGGAAUCACAACUCUGUUUUCUGUAAUUAUAGCAUAAGAUGUCGGUGGUUCAAUUUCGCGUCGUCUGUAUUAAAUUACUACGUCGAAAUGUUUUAAACAACGUCGUUAAAGGUUUGAAUAUUGAAUCAUCCCUCUGUUACAUAAGACGUCGGUGGUUUAUUAAUUUCGUCGUUUUAAAAAACUAACCACGUCGGUAUAACUACCGUCGUGAUAAAUUAUAAUAACGUCGAUUUAUAUGUUAUUGCGUCGUGUGAAAUUAUAUAAUACGUCGUUUGUAUAUAAAUAACCGUCGUGUGUUUUUGUUCUUACUUUUUUAUAUAUCUUUGUUUCAGGAUGAUUUGCAAAAACAAGUCUUGGAAGGCAAAGUCACCGUCUCUGGCAGCAAUGAUGUGCUGACCAUGGCUUUGGGCCCCGAGCAUCCAGGCAGAGUCAGAGGAGUAGGUGCUGGGAUCUCACCAAAGCAAUAUUUCAAUUUACCCAAACCACAGAGAGUGAGCUUUGACGACCGUUUGAAGGACAGUUUAAGAGUUCUCCUUCAAGAAGAGACUAGAAAGAUGGAGGCUAAGGCAAGGGAAGAGGCUUUAAGGAUGGAGGCUAGAACGAAACAAUUGGUAGAGGCUGAGAGGGAGCAUUUCCUGAGUCAGCUUUCCCAAUUAAUUCCCAAUUUUGAUCCAAGCAUGCUUAAACCCAGAAUUAGCCAAAGUCCCAAAAAUCCAAUGUCUGACAAAGCAAGCUGCUCUGGAGGUGAUGUGAGAUCCCAGCAUUUUGAGGAUGAUACUGCCAAAAAUGGGAAACAUCAGGAAGAAAAGGUAACAUAUCUGAACUUUGAAUUCUCUGUUUUUUUAAAAACCAUUAGACGUCGUUAUUAUUAAUAAAACCAUCGUUUGAAAUACAUACCACGACGAUGUUAAAAAUAAACCGUCGUUUGUAUUUCAAUACCACGUCGUAUUUAGUUUACUUGUUUUACACGCCAUUAGACGUCGUUAUUUUUAAAACUUUGUGGUUUUUAGACGACGGAGUUAAUCAUUCCCGACGUCAUAGAUGAAGAGAAUAAAGAAGAAAAACAAGAUGAAAAGCAGAAAGAAGAUAACGACCAGGUAUGUUCACAUAAGUUUGCCUUUUUUAUUUGUUUUUCAAAAUUCCAGACGUCGAUAUUUUUCUUUAGACUGUCGUUUGUUUACAACUUAGACGGCUGAAUUGUUUUCUAAGACAUAAUAAAUAAUUCACCACGACGGUUUUUUCACCAUCGUUUAAAUUGUUUUCAGACGACGUUUUAUUCCUUAAACCGUCGUUUUUAUUGAAUUACCACGUCAUUUUUUUUAUUUCUUUAAACAGGUUAAUAAAGUUGUUGAUUAUUCAAAUAUGGAGGCGCCAUCUUNNNNNNNNNNNNNNNNNNNNNNNNNNNNNNNNNNNNNNNNNNNNNNNNNNNNNNNNNNNNNNNNNNNNNNNNNNNNNNNNNNNNNNNNNNNNNNNNNNNNAGUUGAUUUAAAAUGGAGGCGAUUCUUCUUUAAAAACCCUUUGUCGUUUUGUGGAAACGACACUCCUGCCUGAGGAUAAGACAGUCCAAUUUACAAUUGAUAAGGAGGUGUUUGGUGGUGAGCGCGAUACCUUCCUCCUGCCUGAAGAUAUUACACAAUUUGCAGGCAUGGAAGAAAUUGGAGCUACUGUAUUGGCUGUAUAUAUGAGGUUUGUACUUCUAAAAUAAUAACUCGUUGGUUUAUAUAUUGCGUCGUCUUAACUAACUAACCACGUCGUCUUAACUAACAACCGUCGUGAUAAAUAUAUUAUAACGUCCUCAUCUAUUUCAGUACGUCGUUUGAAAUAUUAUAAUACGUCGUUGUUUUAUACAUAACCGUCGUGUUUUGUGUGCUGACUUGUUUAUAUUAUUUUAUUUGUUUAGGUACUUACACGAUGUUUUGAAAAAAGCCAAUAUGUGCAGUAUGGUUGGCUUUAUCGACCCUGCUACAGUUAGUGCCAACUCUGGCACAAUAACUGCCAGAUCACGACUGGUAGCAGCUCGACUUCAGAAGACAGACGGUGAACAGAUUUUCAUAAUGCCUUACAAUCCAGGGUUAGUCUCCUUAGGAUUUUGUUUUUAUGAUUUUCAAUAAAUGACAGCUUAUAAACUAACCACGUCGGUGUUUUAUUUUAUUUAGUCGUUUGAAACUACUAACCACGUCGGUAUUUAUUUAUCGUCGUGAUAAAUAUAUAAUGUCGUCGUUAGCUACUUUACUUCGUCGUGUGAAAUACUAUAAUACGUCGUUUUUGUAAAUAACCGUCGUUUUUAUAUUAAUUUUGUGCAGCCGUCAUUGGAUUUUGCUGAUUGUAAGAGCAAAGAGAGAAACCGUCUAUUUUCUGGAUCCUCUGCCAGGAAAUCGUGUGGUCGAUGAAGAGGCCAAAAACAUCGUGAACAGUGCUUUAAAAUUAUAUAAUACCCACAUAGCCCGAGCAGGACGUAAAAAUGUAAUUUGGAAAACUCUCUCAGGCACACCAAAGCAACCCAGCAAUGUCGAAUGCGGGUAUUAUGUAAUGCGCUUCAUGAGGGACAUCAUCAUGGAUCCUUCCUUGGGGUUUGAGAAUAAGGUAAGAAGAAAUUACCUUCAUACAUUUCACGUCGUUUUUUGUAUUAUCAACGACGGUCGUGUAAAAUUAACGUCGUUGAAUGGAUAUACUACGUCGGUUAUGAAAAAUAUCGUCGUCUGUGAUUGAAUUUCUUUUUAUUAUAAACCCUAAUAGUCAUUGUUUAUGCAGUAUGCCAAGGGAAACCAGGAAGCUUCAUACCCCNNNNNNNNNNNNNNNNNNNNNNNNNNNNNNNNNNNNNNNNNNNNNNNNNNNNNNNNNNNNNNNNNNNNNNNNNNNNNNNNNNNNNNNNNNNNNNNNNNNNNNNNNNNNNNNNNNNNNNNNNNNNNNNNNNNNNNNNNNNNNNNNNNNNNNNNNNNNNNNNNNNNNNNNNNNNNNNNNNNNNNNNNNNNNNNNNNNNNNNNNNNNNNNNNNNNNNNNNNNNNNNNNNNNNNNNNNNNNNNNNNNNNNNNNNNNNNNNNNNNNNNNNNNNNNNNNNNNNNNNNNNNNNNNNNNNNNNNNNNNNNNNNNNNNNNNNNNNNNNNNNNNNNNNNNNNNNNNNNNNNNNNNNNNNNNNNNNNNNNNNNNNNNNNNNNNNNNNNNNNNNNNNNNNNNNNNNNNNNNNNNNNNNNNNNNNNNNNNNNNNNNNNNNNNNNNNNNNNNNNNNNNNNNNNNNNNNNNNNNNNNNNNNNNNNNNNNNNNNNNNNNNNNNNNNNNNNNNNNNNNNNNNNNNNNNNNNNNNNNNNNNNNNNNNNNNNNNNNNNNNNNNNNNNNNNNNNNNNNNNNNNNNNNNNNNNNNNNNNNNNNNNNNNNNNNNNNNNNNNNNNNNNNNNNNNNNNNNNNNNNNNNNNNNNNNNNNNNNNNNNNNNNNNNNNNNNNNNNNNNNNNNNNNNNNNNNNNNNNNNNNNNNNNNNNNNNNNNNNNNNNNNNNNNNNNNNNNNNNNNNNNNNNNNNNNNNNNNNNNNNNNNNNNNNNNNNNNNNNNNNNNNNNNNNNNNNNNNNNNNNNNNNNNNNNNNNNNNNNNNNNNNNNNNNNNNNNNNNNNNNNNNNNNNNNNNNNNNNNNNNNNNNNNNNNNNNNNNNNNNNNNNNNNNNNNNNNNNNNNNNNNNNNNNNNNNNNNNNNNNNNNNNNNNNNNNNNNNNNNNNNNNNNNNNNNNNNNNNNNNNNNNNNNACGUCGUACAGUAAAACAUACGACAUGGUUUACGCUUUAAACGACGUCAUUUUAAUAUGUAAGUCGGUUUAUAUAAUUUACAACGUUUUUAAUUUCUUAACACCGACGUGGUUUCUCAUUUUAACGACGUCAUUUUAACGACUUAGUAGUCUAUUACAAUUUACAACGUCUACAAUUUAUUUAACACCGACGUGGUUUGUUGUAUGGUAAGAAUAUUUUAUUAUUUUUAUAUCAAAAUAUUCAAAAUAAAUAUAAAAUAAAUCAGAAAAUUGAAAAGUCAACUCCUAUGAAGUCAUUGAUAUAUUUUCUUCCACAUAAACCUUGAAAAAAUUCAUUUUGAAUAACAAAAAUUUAAAAUGACCAUCCAAAACAAAAUUGUUUUGAUGAGUCAUAAAAUCACUUCUAGUUUAAUGGUUUAGGGUUUAGAGUCUAGGGUUUAGAGAUUAGUGUUGUUAUUUAUUGGGGUUUAUUUUUAAAGUAUAAUUUUUGGGUAGUCUAUGUUAUAUGUUAGGCUUUAAAACCAUAAAACCUUUUAUAAACUUAAUUUUUUAAAUUGUAUAAUUUAAUUUUAUGGGUUUAGUGUAUUAAUUUUUAACGACGGUGGUUGGGUCGUGGAAUACAUAUUUUACGUCGUACAGUAAAACAUACGACAUGGUUUACGCUUUAAACGACGUUAUUUUAAUAUGUAAGUCGGUUUAUAUAAUUUACAACGUCUUUAAUUUCUUAACACCGACGUGGUUUUUCAGUCGUCGUUAUAUAAAAAAUUCAAAAUAAAUUUAAAAUUAAUCCGAAAAAUGAACGGCCUUACGUUCUUAAUCCGAAAAAUGAAGUUUCCGUCGUGGAAUAUUAAAUUUACGUCGGUACUUGUAGAACUUUCGCCUUGAUUUUUCUUUCGACGUUUUAAAGAGCGCGCGCUCUCAAAAUUUUCGCGCGUCCUAAAUUUUUUUAUAUUUGGCUCUUAAUCUUAUUUUUCUAACCCUGAACCUAAAAUUUCAGAUUUCACGCGACAUAACAUUUCGCUCUCUCACUUCUGCUCUAAUUAAAAGUUGCACUCUCCAGGCUCGUCGAAUCUGUGAGCUCGUCCAACCUGUAAGUACAAACCCUAUCUUCCCCUUGUAAAUUCAUUGAAUGAUAUUAGGUUGUUUUGUUAAAGGGUUUUAGGUAUAUGCUUUGCGAUCUGUUAAUAAUGUGCUUAUAAGUAUGGGUUCAUGGAUUUUCUGUUUAAUGGGUUCAUGGAUUACAUUAUCUGUUAUGUUGAAUUGGGAAUGGAUUUAAUUUUGUCGGAUCUUUUAAUCACCCUAUGUUAUGUUGAAUUGGGAAUGGAUUUAUUGUUUUCAUGCUUGGUUUCAUGUAUAUGUUGUUUUCUUGCUUGGUUUCAUAUAUAUGUUGUGUUCUUAAUGGGUUUUGGGUUCUUGAAAAUAAACUGAGACACGACGCCUUUUUAGGCAUACGACGACGAUUACACGACGGUUUAUGAAAAAACCGUCGUUGUAUUACUUAUACACGACGGUGUUUUCAUAUACCGUCGUUUGUAUUACUUAUAUUAGACGAUGUCUGUUGAAAAUCCGUCGUCUAUAUAUGCCAAAUACGUCUGUUUUUGUUUAAAACCCGUCGUCUCUGUUGUGUAUUACUUGCUAUUAGAUCUUUGUAUAAUCUGCUAUAGUGAUGGUCAUUGCCUGUAUUUUCACUUUAUUAUAGAUAAUAGGUUAUAGUGUCGGAGAUGGAUAAGUCAUGGAUGCACUCGGAUAGAAGAUCGAAGGCAUAUGAGUUUGGGUUGGAAGCAUUUUUGAACUUUGCUGUAGAAAAUCUUCUAACUACAACACAUAUCCGUUGUCCAUGUGUUAAAUGUGUUAAUUUGAAGUUGUUUGGGGUUGGAAUUAUAAGGGAUCACUUAUACUUUAAUGGAAUUGACCAAAGCUAUAAGAAUUGGACAUUUCACGGAGAACCUUGGGAAGCAACUACUAAUGCUAGUAGAAAUGUUGAAGAAGAUGAUGGCCAUAGUAGGUACAGUUUUGUGUCUGAAGAAAUUGAUAUGGAUGAUAAUGAUUUUGGUUCCGAUCCGUAUGAGUUUGCCAAUGUGAUUGGGGAUGGAGAUCAACCAGUGUACCCUGGUUAUAGAAAGUACACGAAGUUAUCGGCAUUAGUGAAGUUGUAUAAUUUGAAGGCAAAACAUGGGAUGAGUGAUGUCUGUUUUACUGAAUUAUUGAUACUUCAAGGCGAUUUGCUUCCAGAAGGAAAUACAAUACCAACCUCUACGUAUGAGGCUAAAAAGACUUUGUGUGCAUUGGGGCUGAGUUAUGAGAAAAUGCACGCAUGCCCCAAUGAUUGCAUCUUGUAUAGGAAGGAGUAUGAGGAUUCAACUAAUUGUCCUACUUGUGGUAUCUCAAGGUGGAAGGAAGGCAAAGAUUCAAUCUUGAAAGAGGGUGUGCCAGCGAAGGUGGUGUGGUAUUUUCCUCCAAUUCCAAGGUUUAAAAGGAUGUUUCAAUCACAUGAGACAGCUAAGAGUUUGACUUGGCAUGCUGCUAGAAAAUCAAUUGACGGUCAGAUGUCUCAUCCGGCGGAUUCCCCGUCUUGGAAACUUCUUGAUGAUAAAUGGCCUGAGUUUGGUAAUGAGCCGAGAAACUUGAGAUUGGCUCUUUCAUCUGAGGGAUUCAAUCCCCACAGUUCUCUAAGUAGCAGAUAUAGUUGUUGGCCGGUUAUCUUAGUUACAUAUAAUCUCCCUCCAUGGCUGUGCAUGAAACGAAAGUUCAUGAUGUUAACCUUAUUGAUUUCCGGUCCUAAACAACCCGGAAAUGAUAUAGACGUCUACUUGGAGCCUUUGAUUGAUGAUUUAAAAUCUUUGUGGGAUGGGAUUAGAGGAGUGUAUGAUGCACAUAAUGGAGAAUACUUUACACUCAGAGCUGCAUUAAUGUGGACAAUUAAUGAUUUCCCCGCCUAUGGAAACUUAUCUGGUUGUGUUGUUAAAGGAUAUAAAGCUUGUCCAAUAUGCGGCGAUGAUACACCUAGUCACAGGUUGAAAAAUGGCCACAAAAUUUGUUACGUUGGGCAUAGAAAAUGGUUACCAAUCAAUCAUCCAUAUAGAAGGCAACGUGCAGCUUUUAAUGGGAAACCUGAAUAUGGCAUACCUCCCGAGCCAUUAACCGGAGAAGAAGUGCUGCAUAUGGUUGAAAAUGGUGACAGAGUUUGUUGGAAGAAGAAGUCAAUAUUCUUUGAUCUCGAGUAUUGGAAAUACCUUCCUGUGAGGCAUGCCCUAGAUGUUAUGCACAUUGAGAAGAAUGUUUGUGAUAGUAUCAUUGGUACAUUGCUGGAAAUCCCUGGAAAAAAUAAAGAUGGGAUUGCUGCUCGAUUAGAUUUAUUGAACAUGGGGGUCAAACCUGAUUUGCAACCCGAGUAUGGAGAAAGACGUACUCGUUUGCCUCCUGGGCCUUGGAAUUUGUCAAGAGCAGAGAAGAGAGAGGUUUGCAAUUCUUUCUAUGGUAUGAAGGUCCCUGAAGGUUAUUCUUCAAAUAUUAAAAAUCUUGUAUCUUUACAAGAUUCAAUACUUCUUGGCCUUAAAUCACAUGAUUGUCAUACCUUAAUGCAACAAUUGCUCCCUGUGGCAAUUCGUUCUGUUUUGGAGAAGCCUGCAAGGUAUGCAAUAACUCGUUUGUGCUUCUUCUUCAAUGCUAUAUGUGCAAAGACUGUUGAUGUUUCCAAGCUAGAUAAGUUGGAAGAAGAUGUAGUAGUUACUCUGUGUUUGCUUGAGAAGUACUUUCCCCCUUCAUUCUUUGAUAUCAUGGUUCAUCUAGUAGUACAUCUUGUCAGAGAAGUUCGUCUAUGUGGGCCAGUAUAUUUUAGGUGGAUGUAUCCGUUUGAAAGAUAUAUGAAAGUGCUGAAGGGGUAUGUUCAGAAUCGUACUCGUCCCGAAGGUUGCAUUGCUGAGCGGUAUAUAGCUGAAGAAGCGGUAGAGUGUUGUACUCAGCAUUUAUCUGAUGUUAGUACAGUUGGAGUGCCUUCAAGCCAAAAGAUGAGACUUUCAAAGCCAUUAUCAGGUUGCACAGUCAGCGUAGUUGAUCAGGACCUGUUGAAUCAAGCACAUCUAUAUGUCUUGGAGAAUACGGAGGAAGUCCUACCUUAUAUCGAGUACGUAUGAGCUUUAUUCUUUAAGUUUCCAUUUUAAAUUAUUUCUUAUGUUUAUCUUCUAUAUUUAGGACCGUAAUGCUUGAAUUUUUCGUGUCAUGUAGGCAACAUAUGAUUCACAUCAAGACUGCUUAUCCAAAAUUUAGAAAGGGAACAAAGUGGCUGCAGGAUAAGCACAAUAGCACUUUCAUUCAAUGGCUACGCUUCAAGGUAUAUGUUGUUGAAUAACAUAUUUCUCUUUUAAUUUUCUUCUUAUUUAUAUGUUAGAUUGAAUUAAGAUAUGAUUAAUUUGCAGGUUCAAAGUGAACUUGAGGAAGACAAUCAUGGCGUAUCAGAAAAUUUAAGGUGGCUAGCAACUGGUCCAAACAUGUCAGUGCCAUUAUAUAGGAGCUAUCUUAUUAAAGGUAUUAAAUUCAAUAUCAAGGCACAAGAUGAUGUGCGGACAACUCAAAAUAGUGGAGUUUAUUUACUUGCACAUACCAUGCAAGUUGCUAGUGCCAAGGAUAAAAACCCAAUUCUCUCAAAUAUGGGUUUCUAUGGUGUCAUUCAAGAAAUUUGGGACCUUGACUACCAAAAGUUUACAAUCCCAGUCUUUAGGUGUGAUUGGAUAGAUAGUUCUGGUCUUGUAGUCGACGAACUUGGAUUUACCCUUGUAGAUUUGAGUAAAAUUGGACAUAGGAAUGACCAAUUUGUUUUGGCUUCUCAAGUCAAACAAAUAUUUUUUGUUGACGACCCGAUGCAUCGUGGUUGGUCGGUAGUGUUAUCAAUGCCUAAUAGAGAAUAUAAUGAUGUUAUUGGUGAUGAAGUCUUAGGUGAUGUGAUAAUUGAGUGUGAGCCAUUUACUAGAGGGAUGCCAAAUGUUGACACAUUUGAUGAACUGGUAGGUGAGUUAGGCGGUCAAAAUAUUCGAGAUGGGUGUGAAGAUAUAUGGAUUGAAUGAUGCUUAUGUAAUUGGCAGUGUAUGACAUUAAUUUUGUAAUAUAUUGUAAUGCGAUUUCUUCACUUUCUACGUUCAAAUAAAACACGACGUUAUUGUGAAUCAGUUAUUCAGCAUAUUUACCGACGUCUUAAAGCAACGUAACAAUGAAGAACCACGACGCUAUUGUGAAGCAAUUAUUCAGGAUAUCACGUCGGUGAAGGAUUAAGAACCGCCAUGUAAUUCAGAAUAACAUGACUCCAAUCCCAUAAUACCGACGUCUUAAAAAUGAGAUAUAUAAUCUGAACAUUAAAAAAUACGACGUCAUCAUACAUUUUCCACGUCGCAAGUUCUUUUAUAAACGAAGAGGAACGAAAUGAAUUCCGACGGAAAUUCAUUAUAACCGCCGUCUAAUAACAAUUAAACGACGUUAUUUGUAAUACGGCUCUCAUCAUAAUCUACGCCGUCUAUAUGUUCUGUAAUACGGCUCUCAUUUAUUUGGAACCGACGUUGUUUAGAAGUUCAACGUCGUCUAUAUAUUAAGUGCGUCGUGAGUAAUGAAUACAUAUACAUACAACGUCGACUAUAUAAAUGUAUACGUCGUAAUAAUGACACUGACAACUAUUCCACGUCAUUUUAGAAAAUCGAAGUGAAAAAUUUAUUUCACGACAGUUUUUGUAAAUAAGAGACGUAGUAGAUUUCAAUAACGUCGUCUUCUCAUGUAUUUAAAGACGUCAUAUUUUUUCUUGUUGUGUAAAUUAUAUUUAACGGCGUAGUAUUUUAGUUGUCGUCGUUGUAUGUAUAUCUUGCGGCCUUGUUCUUUUAAUAUGUGUCAUAUUUUUCCUUUUUAAAGACGGUGAUUUUUUUGAGUUGGUCGUCUAUUCUCAUCCUCGACUAUUUUCUAGAACUUUAGCAGACUAAACACGUCUGUUUUUAUUUUUUCCGACGUUGUUUUAUUUAACAACGUCUAAUAUUUAUCGUCGUUGUUUGUUUCUGAAAAUAGGACGUAUAAAUUUUGUAAUACGACUCUCAUAUAUUUGUAACCGACGUUGUUUAGUUUUUCAACGUCUACUCUAUAAACAUAUACGUCCUAAAUAAUGACACUGACAACUAUUUCCACGUCAUCUUUUAUCGAAAAAUCGAAGUGGAAAAUUAAUUUUACGACGGUUUUUUUUAUAUAUGCGACGUAGUAGGUAUCAAUAACGUCGUCGUCUAAUGUAUUUAAAGACGUCAUAUUUUUUAUUAUCGUGAAAAUUAUAUUUAACGUUGUCGUAUUUGUAUUUUGGUCGUUGUAUGUCUAUCUUGCGGCCUUGUUCUGUGUCAUAUUUUUCCUUUUUAACGACGGUGGUUUUAGAGAGUUGGUCGUCUAUUAUCAUCCUCGAUUGCUUUUUUUAGAUCUUUUUGCAGUACAAAGACGUCGUUUUGUAUUUGUUGAUGACGUUGUAUAUUUUAACAACGACGGUUAUUUAGCGUCGUGGUUUAUGAGGGAAAAGAUGACGGUGGAUUCCACGACCAUUGAAAAACCCAAUACACGACGGUGAUUUACCGUCGUCUUUUUGCUUUUUUGUAGUAGUGGAGACUCAAGAUAUGAUUGCUUGUUUAUAACUAGCUUAAUUUUUGUUAUGACCAUAUUAUUGACAAUAUAUUUAUUUUUAAUGGAAUACUUUAUUUAUUUUAUAAUUAAAAUAAUCUUUAGCUAAGGUAAUGACCUCUCAAAGCAUGGCAUGUGGAUGAUCUAGUCUAACUAAUUGCUCGGUCAGUUACGGUACUAACAAGUUUUGAUAUGGUACGAUCUUAUUUGUAAUUAGCAGUUCCAUUAUCAAGCUAGAGACCAUGUGACGGGCAGACAACAAACCUGCAAAGCUUGGAGUGCAAUAAAUAUUCCAUUCUCACUUCACUUGUGCAGUGUGUUGAACUCCAAUUUUACUAGUAGCCAAGCUCACGAGAAGGGACUAGGGAUGAUAAUGGGUCGGGUAGGGGCCGUGUAUGACAAUACCAUCCUCAUCUCUGGCCUCAUUCCCGAACCCAUCCCCAUUUAAUAGGUUUUGGGGAAUCUUCGUCCCCGUCUCCGUUGGGGGACUAUCUCCCAUACCCGCCCCGAAUCCCCUUUUUUUUUUCUUUUUUUUUUUUUGCAUAAAUUUUUUUUAUCAUACAUUUUAACAUUAAGUUUCAUAUUAAUUUAUCAUUCAACACAUCCAAAUUAACUAUAAAGUUCAACUCAACUAUUCAAAAUCACUUCAAUAUGAAAUUCCAAAGAAGAUUAGGAAGAAUUAGGAGAGGGAGGUAAACUUAGGGUUAAACAUAAAUAUUAUAAUUAUUUAUUUAUUUAAAUAUAAACAUAUCUAUUUUCAGGUCGGGUUCGAGGAUGGGCACCCCAAUAUCAUCCCCUUCCCAUACUCGUCGGGGAUUUUUCAUGUUCAGGGAUUCCCAUACCCGAUACCAAUUUGGCCCCGAAAUAUCCCCCUGUUAGGGUCGGGGACCCGCACCCAUGGGGAUAUUUGUGUUUGGGGGCUGUUGAAAAUCACGGCCGGAUUUGAAGUUUGCAAAGAGAUAGCGGCCGGGCAGUUCGAGUGGAGCUAGAAAUCUCGGCUGGGAUUGGAGAAGUUCGCGGGCAGAGGUGUUGGAGAUCUCGGCCGGGAGUCGUUUGAAGUGCGGCUGGUUGGGCUGUGCUCGAAAGUGGCUAGGCACGGCCGAGACUUGGGAUAUCUAGGCCGGGUUUCGAAGGAGUAUUGCAAUCGAGAUCUGGAGCGGCCAGAGAUGCCCAAGAGAUGCUCAAGAUAGAUUUUUCGGGCAGAAAAAUAUGCGGUUGGGUUUUGUUAGUAAUUGCGAAUUGGCUGAAGGAUUCAUAGGUCAAAAAACUAAUUGUUAUAUAUAUAAGCAAAGAUUUGAGAGGUUUUUAUUUGCAAGCUGCCCACUUAUAUAUAUAUAUUAACUUGGGAGUUCUAGGAAUUCAAAGGUUAGGAGGGGCAUCCCUAUAUUAUUUCAAAGGUUCGGAGGUCCAAGUCCAAGCCAUGAAUUCGAGUCCAAGAUCUCCAGAAGGAUUAUGGGCACGUGACGGAGGCUUCACAAAGAAGGAAAUCAAGGAUGACGAUAAUGACUCCGAAAGUUCCAAAGCAGGAAAGAAUCAAGCAUGUCAGAAUAUUUCCAUCAAUGCAUUCCUAUGGAUUUAGGGGGGCCUUGGAAGGAAAGAAGUUUUAAAAGAGUUGAAUGCAACAACUGUACAGCAAGCUUCAACCGAUGAAAGGGCAUGGCGUCAUGGAAAAUCUUGGCCAGGUCUACAUUCGAGGUUAGAAACUCACAGUAUUUUGAGGAUGUACAUUCCACAGUCGCCCCUGAAACAUAGCGAAGAAGUUGUGAUUCAUUGUACAACAAAUCCAUUUCAUAAGACAAUGUGGUUAGGUGGAAUAUUACUCACCCGCCUACUUGUUGGGGUGCAUCCAUGACGCGAAUAACUGGCCACUCACUUUUCAGAAGUAGACUGUCGCCAAUAUAUCCAGAUUCCUUUAACAACCGGGGCAGAAUUUUCACCACCGGCUGCACGGCCCGUUGGAUGGCUUGAGUUCUGCACAGAUCUACUUUUGAAUCAUAUGCCCUUACCUCACACUCUUUUAAAUCGACAACAAAUAAGAUCCAGUGCUUCUGCCUUUGUAGGUUGAAGGGAAAACAAACGCGAUUCACACAAAACCAUGAUUUAGCCAACUUAGGCCCUUCGCCCUUGACCAUUCCUAGUAGACCCUUGCUGUGCUGCCUAUCCUCCUUUCCCACAUACACCUUCAUUUGCUUGUAAUCCAAGGCAGCACAUUUCUGCAUAGUGGCACACGAGUUAUGCAUCAUAAUGGAUACCGAAUUUGAAAAUAAACAAUGCUUAAGAAAUAAUACAGACCUGAAAAGUGGUGUCCAGUAUCGUCCAGUCAUAACCUACCCAGUUGCUAGAGCUCUUGUGCCGCUCCCAUAGGAAAAGCAAGGCCAUGUCUAUGUUCUACAUAACAGGGUUGUUUCCAUUAUUAAAUCAAUAAAUCACUACAUAGCAUGGACAUUUCAAAAAAUCCCCAAAUCAAUAAAUGCUUACCGAGUUAUCCAACCAACCAUCCUUGGUCAGCAAUCGAACAAAGAAGUUAUGCGAACCUUCCAUACCGUCUCCUCCACAUAACACACAUGUGAACUACAUUUGUGAAUCAUUAUUAUUAUUAAUUCCAUUUCACCAUUCACUCAAUAACUAAUCAUAAUAAACCAUUUACAUUUCACUAAGCAGGGGUAGUGGGAACUUACUUUUCUUCUUGUCCCCAUUCCAAGCAAACCAAAAGGGAAUCACGAGGAACAUGCCUUAGGGGGUCAGCAAUGGUGUCCUAUGAAAUGUUAGGAAUCUCCCGACCUGUCCAUGGAGUUUCCCUCACCACUGCCCUUUGCCUCUUCAUUGCAGGGCCAAGAAUCUCACUCUUUCCCCGACCCCUCUUUUGUCGAACCCCAACUAUAACAUCUUCGCCACAUUCACCCUCAACAGUGGACAUGUCAAUCUUUCGAGGAGGAUUCGUAAGAAAUUUAACAAGGGUGACACACACCACACCCGGGUCUCCCAAUUUAUAUAAUGUAAAAAACAUCUCCAAAGCAGUCGAAUUUGCAGCAUCUACUGUUGCAACCAUUCCUCGUUUUUCAGAACUAUUGCCACUCGAGGAAUUCAUAGCUUCUUUACGGGAUUUCAAAACCAAAGGAAAACCUACAGAAUAGAAAUGGAAAGUACAUAAAGUUCCAAGAGAUCAAUUACUACCAACUAUGAUGUGUAUAUUCUAUCAAGGGCACAACCAACGUUAGUGUAAUGUCCAUAUAUCAACUUUGUAUUAAAGAAAUAUUCACCAUUCACCCAUCUCUGUUCUGUGUCAUCGACAUAACCCGACCAUUUUUUUGGUGAUGAAAUAUAGUAGCAUUACUUACAGUAACUUCUUGGUUUUUGAUCAGAGAAAUGUACUUCAUAGAAACAUGACAAUCAAUGCAAACAAUUAUAUUCUUCAUCACCCUUACUAGUGCACUCUCAGGAGUGUUCAAAAAGCCAAAAGCAAUGAAACCGAUACAGAACUGGUGAGCUAUGAAACCUAUUUCAAAAUUCAAAACAAAAUGAACUACAUAAAAAACUGUCCUUUUACUCUCAUAUUGCAAAUUAUUUGCUCGUGAAAUUUUUUCCAGAAACUUAUUUCCUUUCCUUUCAAACAUCUAUUAUCUCUUGAAAACGUCAAAAGAGUUUUUUUCAUUUUUUAUUUUAUUAUUUUUAAAAUAAUUAAACAAAAAACAAAAAAACGCCAUGAAGACAUGCAUGCAUAUUGGAAGAAAACAUUAUAACCGCUGAAAGAAAAGUAAACAAAAGUGUCUUACUGCAUGCAUAUCUGCAUGAAAGAAAAACAUGCAGAAUAAAGUAGUGCCUUCCACUGUUCCACAUACAAUUCUCACUACAAUUUUCUUUCUGUUUACCCUAAAAUAAACAUGCAGAUUUGAACUUUUGUUUACCCUUCUUUCCGUUGACUUUUAUUUACGCUUUCUUCCCGUAAAAAAAUAUUUAUCCAAUAAGCCCCUAAUUAAUUUCUGUAUGAUAUUCCAAAAUCCUUUUAUAGGUACAAAGUGUUUCAAUAUUACAUAGUCUCUAAUUUCUUGUAGAUGGAAUUAUGAGGUAGGAAUCAAAUAAAGCUAAAAAUCCUACAGAGUUGCGCCCUCAACACCCUUCUAAUUGCACGUGUGUUUUGCAAAGAAAUUUAUUUCAUCAUUGCUUACUAUUCUCAUGCGCAGUACGUAUACUUCUUCUAUAUGAAGCCCAUGCAGCAUGCCAGCCAGUGCCAACUUAUAUUUCCAUCAUUUCAUCACUGCUUUUAUUGAUCAUGGUAUUUAUAGGUUUAACAUCUUAUGUCUUCGUUGAAAACAUAAUACCACAAAUUACAUGAACAUGGUAUUAAUAAUCGAUUCAUGAAUUAAUGCUGGUGGAAUAUUAAAGCACGCCAGAACCCCAUUUUUUUGUUUUUGUUUUUUUUGUUUUUUGUUUUUAAAUUUGAGAAACAGUAGAGAUUCAAUUGAAGUACAGGACACAAACCCAAAAUACAACAGUAAGAACACAGCCCCAAAAGGAGGUUCUUGCUAUUCAGAGACGGUAACAACAUCACCAACUACUCACAAGUAUUACAAGAUAGUUAGAAAACAAAUAUACAACUUGGAACCCAACUAACAAGGAGUUACAGAUGAGAAGUACCCAAAUCCCUACAGCAACCAAUGCUCUUACUCAGUUAAUGUGUAAUUGCUCUAUUAUUAUUAAUAAAAGUAAAAUUAAUUAGAAGUUAGAAAGAAAAUAAAUGAACACCUGCAUUUCAAUACAGUUUUGUAACUUAAACCGUAAGCAUGACUUUACAACAGGCUAUGUAGUACAUAAUUCUUGUAUGCAACAGAUUCCUUGUACAAAACCAUAUGAUACAACAAACAUAACAAUAAUUCAUCCAUUUUGUCCAGCCCAGUCAUUUAACUCCCGGCUUUGUCAUCGAGAGAACUGGCUGAAACUGCAAGAGACUCAACAAGAUAUGAUUGCUUGUUUACGACUAGCUUAAGGCCCCAAUUGGGAUUACUUUUUUUGGCCAAAAACAUGCUUCACUUUAAAGUUAAGCAGUUUAAGGUGUUUGGUAAAAAUAAAAUAUCCUGAUUAUUUCAAAAAUAGUGGCAUUUUGACAGCAGCUUUUAAAAGCAGACUCUGAGUUGCUUUUCAAAGCUGCUUUCAAAAGAAGCAGAGAUGAACUUUUAAUGAAUUUUUUUAAUUCCCAAAAAACCAUCAUUCAUUUUAAAAAAUGACACCACCGCCACUUCCACAUCCAACUCCACCACUUGCACCACCACAUUCACUACCUCCACAACCACCGCCACCACAACCAUAACCACCACCUCCUCCACCACCUUCACCACCACCUCCUCCACCUCCACCACCACCACCACAACCACCUACUCCUCCAAAACCUCCACAUCCACUACCACCUCCACAACCACCACCAUGCUGCCACUACCACUGUAAUAACCCAAACAAAAUAUCCUAAAAUUAGUAUUAAUUUAUUCUAGCGAAAAGACGACUUUGUCCUCACCUCUUUUAAGAGGGGGAAAAGUUGACUUUUUGACCGAGAAGGAAUUUGGGAAUUUCGUUUACGCCGUUGCGUAGAGCACGGCGAAACGAGUUCGUAGACACGGAGUAGACCCGAAUCAGAGUUGUAACGAAGGAGUUAUAGUCAAAAGAGUCUCAGUGGCAGAACCGUAAAUAUUUCGAAGUUCAGUUUUAUAAACCCAGUUUUUCUUCCUUGCGACCAUUUGGACGAGCCAACUUCAGACAGCGGUUUCUCCCAACACGGGCCGCUGUUUCAGGCGAUACCGGUCCCAAACGAACCACCUCACUUCCCUCUAUCAGUUCUGCCCCACCUCAGCCUCCAUCCGCUACUGCAGUAGCCGGAAACAGCCACGAAACAGGCCGGUUUCAACAGUUUUUCUGGAAUUUUUGGGAGCUCGUUCUCCCUUAAUUCUUUUCCGAAUUGGACGAGUAAGGUAUGGUUUUCUACCUAUUUUCCAUGCUCUAGCUGUUGGUUGAGUAGGAUUUCGUUAAUUUUGAGCGUAGUUCAACUGAAUUCCAACUUAGGUUUUUGCCGGUUUUGGGUCUCCGAUUCCGGCCACCUCCGGCCAUUUUUUGGGGGUUGUCCAAGAAUAAAAGUGACUCCAAAUGGGGUGUUUUACCUAGGGUAGGAUUUUGGAGUCUCGGUUCCAAGAUUUUUUCCGGCACACCCGAUCGCUUUGGACACCCGAUCGGUCCGCGCGUGUGGCGGCGCGUGGGCCAGGGUGGUGGCACGGCUCUGGUCCGUUUUGAGACCCUCGUGCCAUCACGAGCGCGUAGGAUUUUGCGGAUCUCAAUUCGGAGUCCGUUUGAGCCCCGAACGGAUUUUCCAUAUUAUGCGAUCCCCGGUUGCAGCGUCGUCUAGCCGUUGGAUCGCACCCCAUUUCGGAUAUGUUGUUCUACAUUGUUUCAGGAUAGCGUAGGAUUCGACGGAUUGCAAAUCGGAGUCCCGGAUACUCCGGAAUCACGAACCCUGGGGCUAGGGUUAGGGUUUUAAGCGAUAGCGCGAUUUUGGCCAAUCCGACCGUCCAUUUCGGACCAAACUCGCAGGACAUGGGUUUUACACAGUGAGGAACCUCUAGAGAAUCCCAGAUCGGCCAUCGGAGAUCGUGGACCCCACGGGGUUCCGGAUCGGCCGGUCUAACAGUUUAUCGCUCGGUAAGGUUUCCGGUCUUUUAAGGCCAUUCUAAUUAUCUGAAAUGCUACAGUGGUCAUAGAGUUGACUUUACAAUGAGAGCACGCAUUUCUAGGAGCCGGGGGUCAGGGUAUUUAAUUUAAUGUUUUUAUUGAGCAGUUUAGUAAUUGAAUAUUCAUGGUUAAACAGGCAUCAGAGGCCAAACUGAACCACAGGAGGGACCUUCAAGAGGUCCAGCUAGCUCGGACCAGCAGUGAGUGGACCUUUCUUUUUUAAAUAAUUUUCUGAAUCAGUUUUAUUCAGUGUGAUUUAUUCCUAUGAAUUUAAAGGUUCCUUCUAUACAUUGCUUAGCUGAUUUUGCUAAAGUUAUUUGGACAACAGACUUUGAGAUUUAUGAUUCAGAAAUAUCUAGCUCAGAUUUUAUCAGAAUACAGAGGAUGUCAGAUUUUAUCCAAGAUAAUUAUUUUAGACCACCAUGAAUUAUAGAAAGCAGAGUUUGAGUUUUCUAUCAGAUAAAAAGGGCAGCACAGUUAUAGAUUGAAUAAAGAUUCAGUUAUUCAUCAGAUCUUUCAGAAAUAUUAUGAUAUUUAUAUUUGAUAUUUUCUCAGCAGUUAAUAUUUUCUUAAACCACUGUGGAUACCCGGUUAUAGAAACAGGUUGCCGUCAAAUAAGACGAUGUCUACGGACAUCCAGAUUGCCUUUGGUUUAUGUUGCCUUCGGAUAUGAUGAUGUCUACAGACAUCCAGUUUACUUUCAGUUACGUCAGUGCACUUGACAUUUGCCUCACGAGUUUUGGGGACGCCCGGACAGUGAGUGCCAGGAUUGCGAAUCAGGCUGACUACGGUCUCCUGAAUCCUGCCAGGAUUGCGAAUCAGGCUGACUACGGUCUCCUGAAUCCUGCCAGGAAUUGCGGAUCAGGCUGACUACGGUUUCCUGAAUCCUGCCAGGAAUUGCGGAUCAAGCUGACUACGGUCUCCUGAAUCCUGCCAGUUUGCGGCUCGGAUACACUAUGUGUCGCCGAGACCUGCCAGGGGAAUUGACGAAUUUACAGAAAAAUUGACGGAUACCAGGAAUUGACGGAAAUUAAAUGGGUACACCCAGUUGGUAACUUUAGAGGAAUGUCAGUGCAAUUAUGCAAAUAUUGAUUUCAGUGAUUUUACUUGAGUUUCUUAAUAUCGAGCAGUAACGGUAUAUAUAUGUUUACCUAAAUGCUUUGGACUUAUCAUAAUUCAAGUGCAGUUUAAAUAUUCAGUCGUAUGAUUAUCAUUAUUUUUACAGUGGGGGUUAUUAUGUUCAUAUACUGUUUUCUAGAACUUUAUUUUGGUCCACUCACACUUUGAAAUGUUUUGCGCCCCCCAGGCAGUCGAGUGUGCAGGAAUCCACCACCAGGCCUUCUCCUAGCUCCCACGCUACUUCCAAGCUGUAGGAUUUCUUGUAACCUACUUAAAUUCUUGUAAACAAUUAGUAACUGCUCUGAUAUCUGGUUGGAUUAGAUAACCAGAACUGGUGAAUAUUUAAUUACCCUAUUCUGGUAGUUGGUGUGGAUUUAUCAGUUUGUUUGACAGGUGGAAAAUUUGGGUUUAGUCAAAUUACAGGGGAGUCUCUGCCGAAAUUAAAGCAGGAGUCCAGAGAAGGUUUUAACCAUAUUUAUCUCCAGGAAGGGUAAAGAGGUCAUUGUGCCCGACAAUUGCCAGGUGUCGGACACGCACAGGGCUUGGCUCGAAUUCCAAAGCGGAAAUUGGGUCGGGUCCUGUCAACCACCCCCACCACCACCACCACCACCACUACCACAACGACCAACUCCACCUUCAUCACCACCACUACCUCCACUCCAUCACUACCACUACCACCACAUGAUUAGUACAUAACACUUUUAACAUCAUGUCCAUUUUAGUCAUUAUUCACAGUUACAAUAAAUUUAUGUUAAAAUUUACCAAACGGUUUUUACACUGCUUUUUGUACUAACAACACUUUAAAAUAUUGUUUACCAGACAUGGAGCUGCUUUACUUUACAGCUAAUUAUUUUCAAAGCACAGCAGAAGCAACUUUUUUUUUUUAAAAGUGACACCAAUUCCAAACUAGGCCUAAUUUUUGUUAUGACCAUAUUAUUGACAAUAUAUCUAUUUUUAAUGGAAUACUUUAUUUAUUUUAUAAUUAAAAUAAUUUUUAGGGUGUGAUGGAAACAUAUUUAAUACAAAAAAAAUAUAUAAGAUAAAGUGAAAGUGCUUUUCCUUUUACCAAACACUUGAACAGAAAAGUCAUUUCAACAUAAUGCCCUUUUUAUUCAUUAUACACAACCCACAAUACUUUCACACAAAAAUUUACCAGACACUUACAAACUGAUUAUUGUACAAACAACACUUAUAACGAAAAUUUUACCAAACACCAAACAGCUUUCUCUCAUAGCAAAUCUGAAAGCGAUUAUUUUCACACCACAGCAAUACCAAACUGGCACUUAGGCACUUAAUUAAGGACUUAAUUAGCGGGCAGCAAUGCGGACACUACGCAGUACAACAGUCUCCACGGUUAGCCCUGGCCCGAUCCCAAUCAGAACACCCCAUUCCAGCCCUUCACCAGUCGUGGCUUUUCCUUCCUCCAUUGACUUCUUCCUCAUCUCAUCGAGAAUAAACAAAACUGAUGGAGCUCCCAUGUUCCCAUACUCCCUCAAUACGUGCCUGGUUGCUCUCAGCUUCCCCUCAUUCAGACCCAGUUUUUCUUCAACCUUGUCUAAAAUGGCCGGUCCACCUGGGUGAAUGCUAUAGAACAGCGAGUUCCAAUCAUUAUUUAUCCCAUCAAUUUCGCUAAACCCUUUUACCAAAAGCUCCUCAAUGUUUGCACCAACCAACUUUGGCACAUCUGGUGAAAGAUAAUACUCAAAACCCAUUUCACGCAAGUGUGCCACCACGCCAUGCUCCGAGUAUGGGACAAUAGUCCCUCUCGUUGACAUAAUCUCAAACACCUGGCGUUCGUUAAUUUUGGGGUCAGGAUUAGCACCAACAAUUAAAGCGGACGCACCAUCUGAAAACAAAGCCUGUCCUACCAAAACAUCCACAUGGCUCUCAGUGGGUGCUUGAAAAAACAUAGUUGUGAUCUCACAGCACACCACCAGAACGCGUGCGCCGGGGUUGUUUUCUGCGACGUCCUUGGCAAGACGUAGGACAGUCCCACCAGCGAAGCAGCCUUGUUGGUAGAUCAUGAAUCUGUUGACAGAGGGGUCAAGGCCGAGGAGCUUGACGAGUUGAAAGUCGGCGCCAGGCAUGUCCACGCAGGAAGCUGUGCAGAAGAUGAGAUGGGUGAUGUUUGAAAUGGGCUGGCCCCACUCUUCGAUGGCCUUCAAUGCCGCUUCCUUGCCAAGCUUGGGUACCGCUGGAAUCAACAUGUCCUGACGUGGAUCCAGUGAGGGUGCCUUGUAGCUACAUAUGUUUGGGUUUGCCUUUAGGAUCUCUUCCGUGAUGUGUAGAUAACGCUUCUUUGUCUUUGAUUUUUCACCUGUUAAUUACCAAAUUUCAUAAAAGUAUCCACAGUUCUCCUCCCGCUUAAUUUUACUGACUUGGCUCUUUUCGUCAAAUUGAUUACCCUACUCUAGUGACCCCCCCUUUUUCAAAAAUGAAAGAAAGAAAAAUCUGUACCGUAAUGCCACUUGUGAUAUUUUGUGAUUGCCUUUUCACGGUGUUAUUCACUCAUGUUAUAACAUGUGUAUUUAAUCUAUUCAUCAAUAAUAAUAAUGUAUCAUGUGUUCAUGAAAUAUUAACUUUGUCAUCAACUCAUAGUUUAACAAAUGAAUUAGCCGCACCACGCGAUUGUAUAGAAAUCAUAACUAAAUAUAUUUCUCCCAACUUUAUCAUUUUCAGAUGGGUUAACUUAUUGCAUGAUAUUUGGAAGAGGUCCCAAAUCUAAAUGCCCUGCGAAUUAAUAAUUCAUAAACCACUUAGUGCAUGAUAUAAUUUUAUUAAGUAGUAUGAAUUAAUACAUUAAUUUUAUGCAUGCAUGUAUGUGUUGUAUAAAGAGUACCACUUACAUAUGCGCUUGAAUCUGUCUUUCAAUUCUGUCAUAUGAUCGCUAUUGGUAACUCGGAAUAGAAAAUCAGGAUAAUCUUGUUGGUAGUAACAGUUGGCUGGGUUUGCCGUCCCAAUGGCUAGUAUUGCCGCCGGACUCUUGGCUUCAAUCUUACUCAUAGACAUCUCUGUCCGUAUAUAGGGUUGGUUGGAUUGGAUGGGUUCAAAACUGGAAACAAAAAGGCUAAGGGUCGUUUGAAGGUUGCAAAAUAAGAUGAAAGCAGUAGCUCAUUCCUCGUAAGUUAUAUAGAUAAUAGAUGAUAGAUCUGAAAUUUGAUAUUUCAAGUGGGGCCGCUAGGGCAGACCCGAAUGGUAGAUACACAAUUAUUUCAACCUAACAUUUGGAUUCGUAUAAUUAGGAGGAACAACAUUUAAUGGAUACCAAUAGAUUUUAUAUUACCUUAAAUGCUUGUCAUAAAACAUGUGGUAGUGUUUUUUGGGGUGGUAAAAAUUGACCGAAUCCGCCAAGAGUUGAAUUAAUGCUAGCGGCCGCUAGAAGAACAACAUAAGAUAUCUUGUGCUUAAAAGAGAGAGAGAGACCGAAAGGCCAUUAAAGAAUUCUUAAGAUAUCUAAUAUAUGGUGUGAUAUAUUAUAUAUUGUUGUAAAAUAACUAGGAUAUGUGCGAAUAUUGAGCUGCACAUAAAGUAAAUGAGACACAGUAUUUAACGAGGUUCGGC
RNAcentral lists this long non-coding RNA (109668 nucleotides) under Prunus persica (peach). RNAcentral's name for it is "long non-coding RNA (PPER_LNC004446)". Lineage: Eukaryota; Viridiplantae; Streptophyta; Magnoliopsida; Rosales; Rosaceae. The record is from RNAcentral.